CAUGAUUAGGCUGGAAAUUGUUUAAAGAUAAAAGAGAAAAUUGAAUACACAAAAUAGUUAUAAAUUAUCGUGUUUUAUUAUACGAUAUUGACUUAUAAGGCUCUCUAUGCCUCUAUCGAUGCUUUAGCUUUCACGGAAAUAUGGAAAAAUAAAGAGGAAGAGGUUGUAUCCAAUUUGGAAAAGUAGAGAACAAUUCACAGAGAAAGGUCCCAUUUACUUAUCCCUUAAUUUUUUUUUUUUUUUUUUUUUUGAUCAACUUACUUAUCCCUUAAUUAAAAUAUUAGUUUUUUCCUUAAUUUUUUACGAAUUCUCUUUUAUCACAUGUAAAGCAAUUUUAAUACCAAGCAAUCAUAUAUAUUUUGUUUUAAAAAUCUAAUGUUUCAGUGCUGGGGUAUAUAUAUUUUUGGAUGGAUUGUAAGAACUAUUACUUUAAAUAAAGGAUAUGUAAGAAAUGUCAUGACCUAACACCUAACUCAGCAAGGCACCCAACGUUAUUGUUUUCGUAAGCCUAUUAAAUUGGAUUAUGUUGCUUUCACAACUAAACCUAUCGAGAGACCUAUUUUUAUUUCUGUAAUCAGCUUUUAUUUUUUUGGGUUUUUGAUUAGUGCAGGUUUAACCAAAACGGCACGUAUUGUUUUAUUUACUCCUCCAUUGAAAGCGCGUAAAUCAUUUCUCUUUUGUUUUGUUUUUUCCUUACUAUCAUCAUCAUCAUCAUCAUAUAUAUAUGCUUAAUGGAAAUUUUAACAUACUACACCAUAUUAUACUCCAUAUGAAUAUAAAUACUGUAGAUUAGGAAUUAAGAUAUGUUGACUUUAUUUCAAUCUAUUUUUAAUUUCCCCACAAUAGAGACAACCCUUUUCUUUUCUUUUUUUGACAAAAACAAUCAAGACACAUUGAGAGGCCUAAAAUGUAGACAAAGAAGUAAAUGAUCUUGAACAUGUAUUUUAUCUAAUUUUAGAAGAUGCAAUUUAAUUUUUACAUCGAAAAUGUAUAAGACACGUCAUUUGAGAAUAUUUUUCCUCUAUUACUUUUUUUUUUGUUUGUCCUUUUUUGUCUAAUCCUUUAAAACUAGGACAUCAAAUCGAAGACUAUACAAAGAGGUUCAAGUUCAACCAAAAAACCUCAUUCCAAUACUUUGACACUCGUCAACGCCGUCUAAGUGGGCUUGAUUAUGAAAAUGCCUUUCUAUGAAGCCCUUUAGACUCGUGCACAGUACAGGCAUGAGACAAUUGAUCAUUUUUAGAUUGACGGUACAUUAGAACAAAAAUUUAACUACCUUCAAUCAAAUAUAUAUGGUAGUUAAAAUAGUAAUGAAUAUGAUUACAAACAUGCAUUACUCACGAAUGAAAAUUACCUCAUAAGUUGAAAGGAAUAACAGGAAAUUUUCAUAACUAAGCAGAAAUAAUUAUAUAGUAUUGUAACAAUGCAACAGCCUCUUUUCUUUUCUUAAAUCUACAAAUGACUAACCAGUUUUCUUUUUUUGACAUCUAUGCAUAACCCGCCAUACCGAUAUGGGAGGAACCAGAACGGUUUGCUUUGUGAGCAGGUGGUGAAGAGACUGACUUGGUAAAAUACAUGUAGUAGUAGACAUUAAGGACCAUGGUAGCAACUAUAAACACUGCCCCUGCAAUGAAAAUUCCUUUACGCAACGAUGCACACGAGAAAGUUUGCGAGCUUAAGUACUUAGUGUGGUAUGCGUUCUUGGUCGCUCCUGCUAUUACACAAGCUUCUGCUACCAGAAAUGUCAUCCUACACUUGUCAAAUUGGGACUAUUAAACAAUGGGGGUUUUCUAUAUUAACAUUACUGAUCUAUUGAUAUUUCAAAGCUUCAAAACUAGAAAUAAAUCUAAAGCUAAAUUUGAAGAUACAUUGAUUCAAUAGUCUUUAAGGUAAUGGGGACUUACCAAGAAGAGAUAAAAUAGAUAAUAGACCAAGCACGGUCACUUCCAGGGGAUAAAGGUCUACCAAAACACAUGCAUUUGGUAACACCCAUAAGCAAUGAUUCACUAGAGAGGAGGAAAAGAAAAGCUCCAACGCCAUAUCCAGUGGCUACAUCAGAGUCAUAUACGCAGAACGUUAUGUUUGUUAUUGGGUCUUGGAUAGAUUUUCCCUGCCACACAAAAACAGAGAAAAGAGGAGACCUUAAAGAAGUGCCACAACAGAGCAUAAACUCAGUUUUAUAUAUGUUUGCUUCGUUACAAAGAUGUUUCUCUAGUCUCAGUCUACAAGAACAUGAACAUAGCUUUCAGAAAUGGUUAUUUUCUGAGAAGAUUUCUCCAAUCUCUUGAUUCUGAAUUGAUUCUUGAAAAAUCAAGAACUCAAAUUAUAGGCAUCAUUACUAAAUCUAAGACAUGUUAGCUAAAUUGCAAGUAACCACGAAACUAAUCCAGAUAUAGAAAUAUUCAGCUGCACCAUCCUAAUGAUUAUUAUUAUUUAAGAAAUCGAAGCUCAGAGAACUAAAAACCCUAGCGGAGGGAGAGAGAAGAGUGAUUCUUACGAUGCUGCGGCGGCGUUCGGCGGCUAUGGAGAAGCCGAAGGCGACUAAACUAAGAGCGACGACGAGGAUAAAAACAAGAGUCGAGGCCUUCCCUUCUCCCAUUAUCUCCGGCGACGAACCAAGUGUGGAGGAGAGAAGUGUGAGAGAGAGCUGGGUACGAGUAAGUAAAGUGGAAAAAAAAAAAAAAAAAAAACACGAGCUGUGAGUGUCGUUGAAACGAAGAACACGAUCGAGACAGCGCGUGUUUGUCACGUUGAAGCGUUGAUUUGUAUAAAAGCUUCACGUAUAGUGUGAGACGCGUGAGGAAGCUUUUUUGAAAUUUGUGUUUUCUCCUUUUUGGAAAAGUUAGAAAAAAGGGUAAAGGUAUUUUUAUAAGAAGCUGGGCUUAAUGGGCUAAAAAGCCCGAAUCUUGCCAAUUUUAAGUUACGGUAAAGCCUGAUAUAUUUGGGUUAUAAGAGGGUCGUCUAAAUUUCAGAGUGUGGUAGGAAGAAAGGUUAGGAGAAGUGAGUUUCCAUUUUUGGAAAAUCAUAUGUAAAAAACUUAAUUCUUGUUUAUGUUUAGGUUUACUUAUACAAAAUUUGAAAUAAAUUCAUAAAUUCUUUUAGUAUACUUUAAAUAAAAUUUAUGCAUUGAGUUUAAAUCCAAACGCUAAGUUUGCCUUAGACAUAUGCAUUGUAUGAAUAUGAAUAAUGAAAAAAACAUGUUUCAUAUUUGCUAAAUUGUGAUUGAUACAAUCUAGGCAUAGUACAUCUUUUGUCUACUUCAGGUGAAAGUUACAUAUGUGUCAUGUUUAAUUGAGUUUUAAUCAGUUUUUUUUUUUUUUUUUUUUUUUGUCUUUACUAGUUUUUUUUAUAUUUUUGAUACGCUACUUAGAAUAAAUCAGUGAAGUUUUGAAAUAAAGCAAGCGAGAUUUCCGGCCACAAAGUUUGACGAAUCUUUCGGGUUUGAUUGACACAUCUUUUUAUUUUGUAAUUUUGUUUUUGUUUUUCGAUUGACACAUUUAAAAAGCGAAACAAAAGAAAAUAGUAUAAUAAUUGGAUAAUUUGUGCAAGCUGUAAUGAAAUGUAAACAAAGGAAUCGAAAUAGAUCAUCCGGGUGGGGUGAGGAGACAAGGAAAAAUAAAAGACUUGUCCUCAUGUCACUUGGCUGGUCCGUACCUCUAACAACUGCCCAUGUAUCUUUACAUUUUUCUCUUCUAAAGUUUCGUUUAUUUGAUUUUAUUUUAUUUGAUGUUCCUUUUUGUUUCUUGCAAGGCAGCUUAGUUUAUAGACUUAUAUUCGCUAUAUAUUUGAAGCAAAUUGUAUGACCAAAGGAGAUUGUAUAGUUUAUUGAUUGAUGCAAAACUCUAUGACCAGAAGGAGAAAUUAAGUAACAUUUCCCGACUUAAUAACUUCCCAAAAUACUUUCAAUACAUAUGUUGAACAAAGUAUGUUUAUACACUAAUUAAUGCAAAUCUUGAACAAUUGUGAGUACUCCGUUUACAUAUAGUAAUACAUUAAUCAUGAAGAGAAAACUGUUGAACUGUGGACAAUGUUGCUGACUUGUAUUUUGUUUCGUUAUCUAAAAUAGUUUAACUCUAUUACAAGUACAAUUCUUUUGGAUUCAACAAUAUAGCAUUGAGUGAAUCAUUUUACAUUGUGUAUAGAUUUAAGUAACAUCGCGUAUGUGGUAAAGUAUAUAAAAAGAUUUAAACCUAAGUAACAUCUCGUAUAUGGUAGAAAUUAGUGAAAUCACACAGUAUGACGGUAAUACAUACAUUGACACUCUAAGUACGUGAAAACGAUAAGUUUACAAUUCAUCGCGUAUGUGGUAAAGUAUAAAGAACAUUUUAACUUUAAAUAACAUCGUGUAUAAAGGUAAAGUAUAAUGAAUAUUUAAAACUUGAAGUAACAUAGCUUAUAUGGUAAAGUAUGAAGAUAACUUUAAACUUGUAAGUAACGUAGCGUUUAUGGUAAAAAGAUAGUGAGAUCACGAUCGAUAACACAUACAUUGAAACUCUAAGAACGUAAAGAAACCAUAAUAUACAAUUUCAUCAUCACCUUAAUGUUUGUCACAAAACAAGAACUAGUAGUCCAUAGAGAGAUACUCCUAGCAAAAUGAUCAACUCCUUUGGAAAUUUACACAUCUAUCUGUAAAAAAGAGAGAGAGACAAAGAUACACAAAAAAAAAAGAGAGGGUAGAAAUGAUAUCUUCACAUUUCAAAACUCUUUCGAGCUUUUUCCUUUUUGUUACAAUAAGGAAGAAACACUAUGCUCUUAUUUUUUUCACUAAUAAUAAAGACACCCAAACUAAACCACUCUCUCUUCUCUCCACCCAACUUUUUUAUCUUAAUUACAAAAUUCCUUAGAAAUUUGACACCCAAAAACCCUAAUUUUUUAUAACAAUCCCUCCCCCAACUUUUGUUUAUCCAAGAUAUUUACACAUUUUAAUCAACAAAAACCCAUCCCAUCAUAUAUUAUUAAUAUCCAUAAUCAAUUCCUAAUCCUUUUCUUUUUAAGCCUUCUCUGUUGUUAUAUAUAUAUAUAUACUUGGACUUGCUCUUUAUGCAAGAGUCGAAAUGCUACGGUUGCGGCUGCGUCUGUCACAGUCGAAUCCCACGACACGAACCUGUGGAUUGUUCCCGAAGCUCGCCGCUGCCCUGACACAGCUUCCGUUCCUUGGAGAAGACGGCGGCUGCGGUUGGGUACCCCGAGGAGUCGACGGAGCCUGAGGAGCCACCGCGAGAAGCUCUUGUCGAAAAAGUGAGUCUUUUGUUAGUGGGUUAGAAACUCUACUUGGUGGUGACCCUGUGAAGAACAAAGGAGACGUCAUCGUCUGAUCUUGAUCACCACAACCACCCUGCAAAACACAUCAUCACAUAAACAGAGGAAUAAAAAUCCAAACUUUAGAUAUUAAUCAACAGAGCUACAAAAGCAAAAGGAUCGUUAUUGAAUUAUAUACCUUUGCGAGGAUGAAAUCCAAAAUCUCGCUUCCUGAAUUCGAUUCACAUAACUCCAUCUGAUGACUAAACCAAAAACACAAACCCAAAAUAAAAAUCAGAACUUUGAAAUGUUUUCUCAACCAAAAGUUAUGAACUUUAUAAUAGAAAACAAAGUGAUGAACUUUAUCAUAGAAAAAAGUCUCUUACUUGAGUUGCCAACGGAGAGAUCGAGAAGAGUGGUGGUUAAGAACACCGACACGGCGAGGUUUGGGACAAAUCACGGCGUCUCUGCGAUCAUUCACGGCGGCGUUUCUCCUCAUCUCUUCAAAAGCGUUUUGUUGGACUCCACAGCUGUUCAUCAUCUUUUCCUUUUUCUUGCUGCUUUCACAAGAAUCAAUCAAAAACCACACACACACCAAAGGAGAAUAAAAAGAGAUUGAAAGAUUGAGAAAAAAUGAUAUAUAUAAAUGGAAAAAAGAAAAAAAGAUAAGGGAAGAGAGAAGAGAAGAGGUGGUCAAAUGGUAACGUGUUUUUUAUGGAGAUCUGGUCAUAAGCAGAUUUAAUUAAGGUUUGAUUAAAUUUAAUUAAAGAGAGAAUGGUAAGGUAAGAAGGAAUAAGCCACUUGACUAAUAUUCCAUAUUAUUUUAAUUUUUUUUGCCAUUAUAGUGAAUGAUGUCAAGAUCAUAGUGGAGAGACAGAUUUUUUGUAAUUUUUUAAGAAUAAGUAAAACUCAAACAAACAAAAAGAAAGUAUUCAUGAGAAAAAGUCUAAAUUAUAACAGUGAUACGUUCAUUAAUUCAUUAAUUAUGAAAAUUUAGACAAAAAUUAGCAUAGAUCGAGAAGAAACAGAAACUAAACUUGAUGUUUUGUUUUACGAUCAAAACACAAGAACAACAAAAAGAAUCAAGAAUUGUUAGAGAUCCAAGAUCUAGGUCAAUUCUUGAUCCGAAAUGAAAACGAAUCAAGAAAGAUACCUGGAGGUGAAAAGAGAAGAGAGAUCGUUCGAAAGCUUGAAGCUUGAGCAGAAGAAGAAGAAGAAGCAAAGAGAGAGAGAGAGAUCUGAGAAGAGAUGAAAGAGAGAAACCUGCAGACAACAAAGCUAUGGAAUCAUGUAUUUAUUUAUUUAUUUUCCUGAUUUUCUUACAAGGCAAAUAAUAUUUAUUUUCUUUCUUUCUUUUUGUGUGUCUGUGUAUGUGUCAAUUAAUAAAUUGUCUUGUGUUUAGAGCAAAACGCUUGUUUUAGUUUAAAACAUUUAAUUCACUACUUUAAUUUUAUUUAAAAACAUUUAAUGAAACCAUAUACACUUAUGUUUUAUUUGUACAAGAUUACAACAAAGCUUUCAGUUUCAUUUUAGAUUUUGGCUUUUUUUUUUUUGGGUACAAAAGGCGGUGCCUAACCAGACUCUGUCCUCGUAAAUAUCUUUCAAUUGGGGUUAUUAAUGUCACCGACGAGAUUAUAUCAAAUUUUUAUUUUUUUUACUUACAAAUCUCUUUUACUUUAUUACACUAAUCUCUAAUCAACAUUUGGAGAGUUUUUGAUGAAAAAGAUAAGCCACAGACGGUUUCAUACAACUUGUUUAUUUUCCUUAAAAUGGGUAAAAUGGUUGAAUACUUGAAAAUAUUAAAUUUCUAGAUUUUAUUUUCUAACAAAAAUUGAUGAUAUCUUUCUUACAGAAAGAUGGAUUCUUCUUCUUUUUAGUUUACCGCAUGUCGCCAUUUGUCUUGUGAAAUUUAUGAAGUAUUUUGGAAAAGUUUAGCUUUCUAAAAACACAUUACAUAUUUACAGUUGUUCUAUUCUAUGCAUAGAAAUAAAAUCAGGAUUAUAUUGCAAGCUUUACCAUGAAUUUACAUCAAUAAUCAAUUUUUAGUGUAUCCUAUCAAUAUUAUAUAUAUUUUUUCUUAACUAUAGAUGAAGUUUUCUACUUAUCUUCAAUCAUGUCUUUAGAAAAGUAUUAUGAAAUAACUUACAUGAUACAUUUAGUUUUAUAACUGAACUAUAUUUGUGUUCUAAGUAUCUGACUACAAGGGUUAGCAAGUUAACUAACACUUUUUUUUGAAAAACUUUCGGAAAUUAUACCUUACAUUCUUUAGAUUUUAGGUUUUAUUGUUAUAAAACUCACAUCGGUGUGAAAUUAACAAUGGUAAAAUUUGUUUGGUGUGUAAUUAAAAAACUAGAGAAAUAAUAAUGAUAAUAUUAGGGUUGCAAACCCCAAUAGUGGCAACUAAACACGGGAUUACUUUUAUUACAAAAUUUAAUAAAAAUAGCAGCGGUGAGAAAUGAUGGAAAUAAAAUGAUAAAGAUGAGAUAAUGGCGGCGCGUAAUAAAGAUGACAUCGUUGAGAAAUGACAAAAUUACUGAAAUAAAAUGAUAAAGAUGAUGGCGGCGCGUAAUAAAGAUGACGGCGUUGAAAAAUGACAGAAUUACGGAAAUAAAAUAAUAUAAAACAACUUAAAUGAUAAAAAUGAAGGCAGCACGUGCUAAAAAAUGACGGCGGUGAGAAAUUUAAAAAUUAUGGAAAUAAAUUGUUUCCGCUUAUUGCGGGACUUUAUUAGAUUUAAUAAAAGUGGUGAUAGUAAGAAAAAACAAAAUUAUAAACAUUAAAAAUGAAAUAAAAGGAAACUUAAAAUUAUAAAGAUGACAAUGGUACGUGAUACAAAUUUAAGAAAAUAACAAUGACAAUAGUUAUUAGAUUUACAAAAAACAACGGUGGCAUAUAACUAAAAAUUUUUGUGAAAAUAACGAUAGACAAUAUUUACUAGAUUUAUAAAAGGAUGGCGGGCUGGGCGUAAAAAUUAUGGAAUCCGUAAUGAAUCCGUAAACUCAUAAUGUUAGGUUUGUGUAAUUUUGAGUUGUCUAGCAAUUUUGAUCUGUGGAUUGUGCGUUUCAGUGUGUAGGAUUAAUUGCUUUUGAGGAAAUAAAAGUAAUCACUCUAUAGCUAAAAGUCCCUCUCUCAAAUAUGAAAUAUUCAAAUCUUUGGCUGCACAUUGAUCCUCUAACUCUACUUCGUUUGUUUGACCAAUCUGAUGUUUGCAUGGUCUUAGUUCUCUUGUUCAAUUUGAGUCGUAUUCUGGUUCUACUAGAUCUAGAUUAAUUAACUUUGGGGACUACGUAGCUAUGGGCCAAUGGGCUUUGUAGAACAUUGUAUAUUUUAUAUAUCCCAACGUUACGUUGAAGCAAUUUGGAGACAAAAAAAAGUUCCAAAUAUCAACAAGAAGCUUUGAUGUAUCGGCACAAUCUAAAAGAAGCGAUAAGUCAAGUUUACUUAUAGCUUCUUUUCUCCCUGCUACUUUCAGCUGAAUCCAAAGAUGAGUGAUGUUCUUAAUUGAUUCUUUUGGUUAGGCAAAUGUUUUUUGGUUCUUAAACUUUGUAUUUAUCCUUAAAUUUCUUAUAUAAGCGAAACCUAAGAAAUUCUACAACUUAUACUAAUAUAGUAAUUGAUAUGUAUACGAUUUACAAAGCUGAUACUUGUAAUUAGUAAAGUUUUAAUAUGUUCUGAGGGGGACCAAUGUAACAGCUACCUACAGAUCAGAGAUCAUAAUGAAUAAGAGUAAUGACUGCUGCCUUCAGCCUCAUCUCUAAAUUUCAGGGCUUCUCUUAAAUUUCUCUGUAACUUCUUUUCGGCAUUUAAAGGAGUGAGAAUUUAUAUAUAGGAAUAUUUCUUUUCUUGGUAUAAAUGUGAAUUCAUUUGUGUAGAAGUAUAUUGCAAAAAAAAAAAUGCCUAAUUUGGUAUAUCUAUCUUGGCCAAUUAUUUUCUGAAUAGCAGAAGAGAAAAUAAGAAUUUACUAUCAAAACUAGUUUUGGAGUAUGUACACACUCUUCUUUCGUUUCCUACUUGCCAUCAGUGUGUUGAUAUGUUACUAGUAUAUUACGUAUCAUAUAUGUUUCGGUCAACCUCUAGGAAAGAGGUUCCUUCGUGACUAUUGUUUUCAACAUCAACCUAAUUAUAAUAUUUUGAAUGAAAUAUGAAUUUUCGUACUAGACAAAAGGUGUGUUUCAGCACUAUAUAUAUAUUUCCAAAUUACUUGGAGAAAAUUGCUAAAAUUGAAAGUGUUUAAUCAAAAUAAAAGCUUCUUUUGUUCUUUUUUUGGAACUGUGAGAUUUUGAUUCAAACUCGUACUGACUCUACAGUUACGAUAUGUAAAUUCGAAAGUGACUUGAGAAAAAAUAGGUUUUGGAACUGGUCUUUUCACUAACAUAUCAAUUUCAUGAUGCUUAGCAUAUUUUAGUUUUGUUCAUGUACCUAUAUUUAGUCUUCGUAUAUGUUAUUUUUUUGUUUGUUAAUAAAUCUGCACGAAAACCUAUAUGACAGAUACGUUAUGUUUCAAAAUUAGUCAAGAAACUUAUAACAAACCAAACUCUUGGUCCUAGUAAUUAUUGUUUAAUUAGUUGUUUAAUUAGAAGAAUGCAGAAAUAGUUAAAGUUAAAAAAGGAUGGUAAAUAAAUUAAAUAUGAAAAAUCAAUCUAUAUAAUAGUAACACAAAAUUGAUAGCAAUCAUUUUAUCUAAAAUUGGACAUCUUGUUGUUAUAUACAUAUAUAUAUAGUAAGGGAUACCUUGACCCAUAAUGUCCCCUCAAGCUAUAGUCCUCUUGCAUAAAAGUCACAAAGCCCUCCACUUUGAGUUCCAUGCUCAAUUUUCUCAUUUCUAAAGAGAGAGAGAGAGAAAAAAAAAAGAGAAAGGGAAAUUAAGUGAUAAACUUUUUUUUUGACAAAGCUCUCUUUAUCUCCAUCUUCGCUCUCUCAGGUCUUUAUCCUUAGAUAGUUUCUUCUCUCCUGUCUUCUUGUUAAACAUGUAUGUUCUCUCUCUCUCUCUCCUUGCUUCAUUCUCUCUAUAUCUCUCUUAUUAUCUCUAUCCAACUAAAUAGGUAUUCUAAAAAGUUUCUAAUGUGAAAAAAUUGCAGGAGGGCUGAAGAUAAUAACACUUUAGAUCUCAAUAACUUACCUAAUGAUCCUUGUAGAGACAGCUUCCCAUUUUUUGAAGAAGGCUCAUCUUCCUCUUCCUCUUCUGGUACACAUUACUCUAGAUUUUUCUAUAAUUUUCUAAGUAAUCUCUUCACUUUUAGCCUUGGGUGAUUUUCUUGUAAUAAUGGAUACUAGCUAGAGUAAGUAAAAACAAUAACAACUAAUUAAGGUUUGGAAACCAAAAAUGUUUUGUUCUUAUAAUCAUUAGAAGUAUAAUUGGCUAUAUUAGUUAAUCAGUAAAAAUCUAAUUACAGAAUUCGAUUUUAUUAUUGAGUAGGAGGUUUUAGGGAGAAGCAAACCAAAGAUGGGAAAGAGUAUGAAUGUAGAUUUUGUUCACUCAAGUUCUUCAAAUCUCAAGCUCUCGGUGGCCAUAUGAACCGCCACCGUCAAGGCAAGAUCCCAUUCUUAUCUAAAGAGUAAAAGUAUAUGUAUGUGUUUGCAUAUAUCUCUACUCAUAAAAUUUCCCAUUUUAUUGAUUUGUGUUUGGAUAAUUAAUUAGAAAGAGAGACUGAGUCACUAAACAAAGCUCGUGAACUUGUUCUUCGCAACGAUAGCUUUCCUCCUCACCAAGGACCUUCAUCGUUUAGGUACUUUAAGUUUCUCUUUUCUUGAACAAGUCUUAGCUCAUUUUACAUUUUACCUCACUAGAAACAGCGUUGUGUCACAGUUUGAUUUGUUAUAUAUAGUUAUCAUCAAGGAGAUGUGCAUAUAGGAGACGUAAUAACACCAUUCAGACCAAUGAUGUAUCCACCAAGACAUUUCUCACUCUCCUCCUCCGCCCUACCGUCUCGGCAGCUGCAGCCACCAUAUCUUUAUCCUCCUCCGCCACCAUCUUCAUCGUUUUCUCAACAUAACACUAACGACUACUACCUAAGCAACAACACUACGCGUCAGCAAACCCUAACAAAUAGUGUUUGCAGUGGUCGUGCACUAGCUGAUUCGAGCUACACCUUCAUGGGUGCACCAUUGGCUAAUGGUUCUAGAGUUGCUCCUUCACUUCAUCUACCUCUACCUCUACCUCUACCUCCACAUCAUGGUCUAUGAUAUAUUAAUAUUAAAUAUGAAAACAAAUGUAAUUCCUUUUUUUCUAGUUUUUCCCUUUUCUAAAUUUGGAUUUUUAUUGAAUGUUAAACUCUCUCCAUCAAGUGUUUAAAUUUUUAUCUAUAGUUUUUGUUGGAAUAUUGAAAGAGACGUGACAAAGUAAAUGAAAACGACAAAAAGUGCAAUGCAAAUUGGAGCGGGAGUGUUGUUUGGGGUUAUGUAAGAAGAUUGUAUUUUGUAUGAAUGAGCAGCUUUUAUCUAUUUUCAUUUUGUUUUUUUCCUUAUCAUCUACUCUUGUCUUGGAGCUGUUUUGUGAGACCACACCACAUCGGGUGUUUUAUCGUUAUAUAUAUAUAUAUAUAUAUAUAUUUCUUUCUGGAGGAACCAAAAAAAGAAACAGAACUGGAGUGACUAGCUAGAGAGAGAGAGAGAGAGAGAGAGAGGAGAGAUGAAAUAAGUUAGAUUUGGAACUCAUCUAGUUGAAUUGUAACUAAUAUUCGUCCUCUGGUUAAGCAAUUUUGUUCUUCUUCUAUUCUCUUACAGUUGAAUUAUUUGUCUGCACGCUUAGCCAAUUUAUCGAUAGACUACACGUAUAUAUGUCUUCUGAAAAUUAUUUGAAUUAAUCAUUUUUUCUUCUUUUGCUACUUUUUUCUCAUUAGUAACGUUAUUGGAACAUCUCUCUAAAUGAAAUUUAGAAUAAUCGGUACUUAUUUUACUUGUCGGUGACCAAUAACAUAUUUUAGACUACUCGUAAUUAGUUACGUUAUUUUAUUUUGCAACACUGCAAUGACCAAACAGACUCGAUGAAACCUCAUCUCCGAUGAUAAUGCUAUUAACUCAAUUUAUCUACCACCUUCGGGAUGAAUAAUUCAUUGUCUUAUAUACUUCAAUAGUGACAUGUAGACAGAUUUGUUUUUUUCCAAACAUUACAGUAUGUACAUAUAUAUACGGCUACUCUAGGGUACAGUUUGUAUAAAUUAACUUACAUUGCAAAAAUAAGAAAGUCUAGAAAAUAAAAAGUAAAAUUUUGUAUCUUGUUAAAAACUCAGUCAAAAGUAGUGAUCAAUAAGAGAUAGAGAGAGAACAUAUGAUCUGAAGGUCAAGCAUGUUUGUAUGAUAAAAGGAGAAAAAGAGCUAUGUACACAUGAAAAGAAGAAAUAUAUCAUGGAUUUGUGAAAGAAGGGCUAAAACCCUAAAUUUGUAUUUACAGUCUUCCCAAAAGGCAUCUAUGUAUGUAUAUGUAUACUUUAGAAUAAACAUAUAAUGAGAAAGCGAAAGGAGAGAGAUUGAGUGGAUCAAUAUAGAUAUGUGUAUGCGAAUAAGUUAGGCUUAUUAAAAAAUUAUUAGUUGGUCUGAGACAUAGACACAACUGUGGAAGGACUCAUUGAUGCAGUUAAGUUUCUUUUGUUUCAGUCUGUCGAUUACAAACCCGUUCCCUUAAAUCAGCUUUUUACCCAUUUCAUAGCUUUGCUCCUCAAUUUCAACUCUACCCUACUCCUAUAUACAAGUGUAUUCACACAUAUAUUGUGAACCACUCAUAAUGUCUCCUUUUUGAGAAAAAAACUAUUUAAAUUAACAUGCAUGUAAAUGUGCAUUUUUCUUCCUAAACCGAAUCAUCCAUAUCUAGCAAGGUUGUGCACUGUAAUUUCUAGCAAGUUUCUUGUUGUAGAUCAUCUUUAUAUGCAUACAUGGUUGUAGAUCUACAUACGUACACAUAAAGAUAUAUUUUAUAUAUAUUUCUUUUCGAAGUAGUGACAUAACAUUAGAUGAUAGGUGGGCGUCUACAUAUAUCUAUAUAGAGUACAAACUCAACUCAUAUUAAAACUCAGAAUUACAUGAAAAGAUGACAAAAAAGGGAAAAAAAAACAUGAGACUUGUAUAAUUAAUUGAGAGGGAAAUGGUAAGUUGGGGAAAACAAAAUCAGAAGUGCUUCCAAAUGGAAAGCAAAACUUUUAUCUAUUUAUGCAAAUUAUACAAAAGUUAGAAUACAUAACAUAUAUAGCUAGCUAGGGUUCAAUUACCGAUUGCAAUAUUAGAAUACGGCUGCUGCAUGCAUCUUCUGUUCCUAAACAAUGACACCGCCCAUCUCUACUUUACACAUUUCUAUAAGCCUUUACUUUGCUUUUAACCUGUUAUAGAUAUCAUAUAGGCUUGUUUAUUUUAGGUAUGUUUUCAUUAAGUAAUGCAACGCAGGUUCAUUCAUAGCUACAUCGUUCCUAAUAUUUUAGGCUGCGUAGUUUUGGUUUACGAUAAUUAAGAGCGAUCAUAGAUACGCGAAACUAUUAUUAGCAAAUCUCUUUGUUUAAAAGAAAAAAUAUAUAUAUUAUAUUAACUAACCAGAACCGGAAAUUAAGGAGCGGUUUACAAAAUUGAAAUCAAAUAAAAUCCGGUUAUGACCGGUACAGCCGACACAAAUAAGUCAUAGUUAGUUAUCUAACCUUCGAAGUCGUUGAGAAGGUAUUGACUUUUGUCUUAAAGUCCUCCGCUUUGGGAAUCUGAUUAUGAUGAUGAACUCAAGGCGCUAAAUCGGAACAGUUUCAGCUUUCUCAAGAAAGACUCAUACUUUAUUAUUUCAGUCGUGAAGAAUCUGUUCUUGAAAUAUCGAAAAUUGCGAGGGUUUCUCUAGUUUCAGCUUAUAAAUCACCAAAGAGGCUUUUGGAAGAGAAGCUCAUAUCUUUCUUGGAGUCAUGUAAAACCCAGAAACAGCUUCUUCAAAUCCAGUCACAAACUGUAAGUCACGAGUUAGCACAUAAUGAUUACGUCGGUCCGAGAAUCGUUGCCGCUUGUUGCCGAAUCACGAGGAUUGGUUACGCACGCCAGGUGUUCGACGGAAUCUCUCAACCGAAUGUUUCUGUUUGGAACGCUAUGUUCAAUGGGUAUGCGCAAAGAGAUUUGUCCAAAGAAGUUUUGCUGUUGUACAAGAGAAUGAGAAGCUUGGAUGUGAUGCCCAAUUGCUUUACUCUCCCUGUAGUUUUAAAAGCUUGCGUGAUGGUUAGGGAUCUUAGACAGGGAGAGGAGUUACAGUGCUUUUCGAUCAAAACAGGGUUUAGGUCGAAUGCUUAUUUAGGAACUAAGUUGAUUGAGAUGUACUCCUGUGCAGGUGUGAUAGCAUUGGCGAAUAAGGUGUUUUGUGAGAUGGUUGAGAAAAAUGUGGUUACUUGGACUUUGAUGAUCAAUGGAUAUCUUUUGAAGAAGGACUUAGUCUCUGCUCGACGCUUUUUUGAUUUGUCGCCUGAGAGAGACAUUGUGUUGUGGAACACUAUGGUAUCUGGUUACAUUGAAAUGGGGAAUAUAGUGGACGCUAGGAGUCUUUUUGAUCAAAUGCCCUGUAGGGAUGUCAUGUCGUGGAAUACGAUUUUAGAGGGUUAUGCAAAUAUUGGAGAUAUGGAAGCAUGUGGAAGGGUUUUUUAUGAAAUGCCAGAGAGAAAUGUGUUCUCUUGGAACGGUUUGAUCAAGGGUCUGGCUCAAAAUGGGAGGGUUUCUGAAGUGUUGGAUUAUUUUAAGAGAAUGGUAGAUGAAGAGGAUGUUGUCCCUAACGACGCAACAUUGACUUUAGUACUGUCAGCUUGUGCAAAGUUAGGAGCUCUUGAUUUCGGGAAAUGGGUACAUCAGCAUGGAGAGAGUCUUGGGUAUAAUAAGGUAGAUGUAAACGUUAAGAAUGCUUUGAUUGAUAUGUAUGCAAAAUGUGGAGCUAUAGAGCUAGGUAUGGAAGUCUUCAAAAGCAUAAAGAGAAGAGAUUUGAUAAGCUGGAAUACGAUGAUCAAUGGUUUAGCUGCACAUGGACAUGGAACGGAGGCCUUAGAUUUAUUCCAUGAGAUGAAAAACUGCGGAAUUAGACCUGACAAGGUCACAUUCGUCGGUGUUUUAUGUGCCUGUAAACACAUGGGUUUGGUUGAAGAUGGCUUGGCUUAUUUCAAUUCCAUGAUUACUGAUUUCUCAGUCACGCCUCAGAUUGAGCAUUGUGGUUGUGUAGUGGAUUUACUAUCUCGGGCUGGAUUUUUAACACAAGCUGUUGAGUUUAUUAACAAGAUGCCGGUAAAAGCUGAUGCUGUUAUAUGGGCUACUCUACUUGGAGCUUCAAAGGUUUAUAAGAAGGUGGACAUUGGGGAACUUGCUCUUGUAGAGUUGAUCAAGCUUGAACCAAGAAACCCAGCUAAUUUUGUGAUGCUCUCAAACAUAUAUGGAGAACUAGGAAGAUUUGACGAUGUUGCAAGGCUAAAAGUUGCAAUGAGAGACACAGGCUUUAAGAAAGAAGCAGGUGUAAGCUGGAUUGAGACUGAUGAUGGUUUAGUGAAGUUUUAUUCUUCGGGAGAAAAGCAUCCUCGAACAGAGGAACUACAGAUGAUCUUGAGAGACCUGAAGAGCUUCAACAUCCUUGUUGAUGACGAAGACGAACUUCAAGAACAGUUUAUAUAAUCUUAUAGAAAGCGAUUUUGUCCAGAUUGGACUAUUUAACCUAGUUUUCAUAUUAAUAUCCGAGGCUAUCCUCUCCCGCAUGCCAUUGCAUAUACUGCAAAGUGCAAGAGAGUCUCAAGAAUUGUCCUUGCAAGGUUGUGUACUUUUAUAGGAACUUGAAAGACAAUGUUGAGUGUUGGUGUCUCUUUGCUGUAACUCCGGAUUCAAAAGCUUGGCAACAGAAAGCAGGUCAUAUAAAAAAGAUCGUUUGUAUAGUUAGUAAUCCACAUCAGAAAGCAACCCAUUAGUAAUCCACAAGGUCAGAUAUUUCAGAAGCAUUUUAGCAGUCUCAGUCUUCCCUGCUCCACAAAAUGUGCAAGCAGGUAACAACCAAUGAUGAAUGGAAGAUGAAAAAAAUUCAACAACCUUGAAACCUGAAUAGCAGCAGAUACCUGUAAGCUUUCAUCUGCAACUGCAAAUGGAUGGGGACUCAAUUCUCCCAAGGCUGCUCAGCCUUUAUAUUGUGUCAUUGUAAAGAUCCGAUAGUUGUUUAAAAGGGUUUACCGCAAUCAAAAUAUAUUUCCUGUGUACGUAGUAAGGAAAAGUAGACCAGGUUUUACACAACAAAGAGAAAAAUAAGAAAAACAUCUUGAUUUCAUCUAUAUAAUAAUAUCUUGGAUAGAAAACAAAAGGUCCACAUAGAAAGUCUGCGAAAAGCUUGCGUUUAAAACACUAACAAACAUGGAAUCCAUAGAAGAUAACAUGAUAGAGUUUUUAGAGAUUCUUUUAGCUGGAGGCUUUUGAUAUUUGAUAUGUCCAUCAUCCACGACGAAGUAUUUUGAUAAAUAGUAUUAAAAAAAAGUUGCAUUUCUCUCUUUCCCAUUUAUUUGAAAGUAUUGAAAUUUUGCAAUGUUUUCGAAGCCAAAUCUCUGAAACUAUUGUCUUGUUUUCCUUUUAACAUCUCACAGGACAAAAGAAAACUAAAAUUAGAGGAGCCAACAACGUAUCGUUUAUCUGAAUCAAUCUCAAUGCAUUAAGUUAGAGGGGGUGGAUGAUUCAAAGGAGUCUACUAAAACCCCGAGAAGCAAUGAGCAUUGUUGGGAUAAGUUAGAGUAGCACGUACUUCUUUACCCUUCUUCUACUAAAAAAAUGGUGAUAUUAUUAGUAAUGUGGCUAACUAAUCUCAAAAGCUAGCUCAAGGGAAAAUGAUUGCUACAUCACAUAUAUAUUACCCAAGGAUUCACAAUCCCAACCGAUGUGGGAUUGUAUUCUAAUCGAUAUCUGUAUAAUUAUGAUUGAUAAUCCAAACUUUGGAUUCCAAAGUUUCUUGAUGAUAGGUCAACAAAUGUUUUUUUCCCCUAUAAUUAAGGGAAGUGAUAUUAAUUUCCUACGUAACUAACUGAUCAACCAUAAAAAUGUUUUUCUUGUCUUUGCAUCGUGCAUAUUGUAAUGAAGAGUGAAACACCACCCAAAAAAGCUCUAUAUAAAAAAACUAGUUUGUAUAAAUUAUGGUAUAGAUAUAUAUAUACUUCUACUAGUAGUAAGAAAGCCUUUAAAUAUUAUAAGUCUUUGUUUUUCAUUUUGGGCUAAACUCCAAGAACACUUUUAAAUAAUUAUGAUCAAUCCAAAGUUUCUUAAUGAUAGAUCAACAAAUGUUUUUUUUUUUUCCUAUAAUUAAGGGAAGUGAUAUUAAUUUCCAACGUAACUGAUCAACCAUUGAAAUGGACGUUGUGGCUUUUUUUAUGUACGAAAAGGCAUAUUAGGAGUGUUAGAUACGUAUGUAUUAGUAUAUAAUAAUCCAACCAUUUAUUUCCAUCAUUAACGUUAUAAUGGAGUUUUCAAGCCACAAGCACAACUAUAAAUAAUGACUUUGCGGUUGCAAUAUAUCAAAAAUAUACGAAGCAAGACCAAAUAAAUAAACGACAGCAAAAAAAAUGGAUGAGAAAGACAAUCCAAGAAACUUGAGGGAAGAAGAAGAAGAAACCAAAGAUUUGAUCUCUUCACUUUCUUGGGAGAUAGAUUACAUUGGGAACAAGCUGUUCAAAUACGAAGGACAUUGGUACUACGAAGACAUUCUCCAAUCAAUCCCCAAUCUCAACACCGGGUUUAAGCCACAAGAAACCGAUGUAAUUGUCGCUUCUUUCCCCAAGUGUGGCACGACUUGGCUCAAGGCACUCACAUUUGCACUAGUUCAACGAUCAAAACACCCUUUGGGAGAUCAUCAUCAUCAUCCUCUGCUAUCUCAUAAUCCUCAUGAGGUAAUGCCUUAUCUCGAGCUCGAUCUGUAUCUCAAAACCUCAAAACCGGACUUGACCAAGUUCUUAUCAUCAUCAUCAUCUCCAAGAUUGUUCUCAACUCACAUGCCUUUGCAUGUGCUUCAAGUACCCUUGAAAGAGUCUCCUUGCAAGAUCGUGUACGUGUGCAGGAACUUGAAAGACGUGCUGGUGUCUCUUUGGCAUUUCCUCAACGCCAACAAGGGAGUAGAAUGGAAUGAUUUUAGCCAAAAGGAAAAGAUCGUUCGAGUGGAGGAUUACUCUUUCGAGGCUAUGUUUGAGUCAGUCUGUAAUGGGGUUACCCUAUACGGCCCCUUUUGGGACCAUGCCCUGAGCUAUUGGCGAGGCAGCUUGGAAGAUCCUAAGCAUGUUCUUUUCCUGAUGUACGAGGAUCUGAAAGCGGAGCCUCGUACUCAGCUGAAGAGGCUAGCAGAUUUCUUGGAUUGUCCAUUCACUAAGGAAGAGGAAGAUAGCGGAUCUGUAGACAAGAUCUUGGAACUUUGCUCUCUAAGUAAUCUAAGCAGUUUGGAGAUCAACAAAACCGGAGCGUCGGGUGGAGUUGAUUACAAGACUUAUUUUCGUAAAGGAGAAGUAGGUAGCUGGAAGAGUUAUGUGACUCCUGAAAUGGAGAACAAGAUCGAUAUGAUCACCGAGGAGAAACUCAAAGGUUCCGGUCUGAAUUUCUAGAAUUAUGUUUGGUUUGUGUAUCUCUUAAAUGCAUUACUCAAGAAUAAAAGUUAUAUUGUUAUUCUUAUAUUGUUAUUUUGAUGUAUGAUUUAAAGUCUUUGUAUUUUACUAUUUUGAAUGUAAUCUGAAAUUAAUACUUUUAACGUGGUUCCAUCUAUUAACCUUUUUGUGUCAACCCUGUAAUCUGCAACCAUAUCUAAAUAUGAAAACUAUCCUUUUGCAAAUAUAAAUUUUACAAAAAAAAUUGUUGCACGGUUAAAUUUAUAUUGAGGACUGAUCAACUUCUAAGUUUAAAGCCUACCAAUUCGGUGGUUUUGUAUAAUAUAAGUUUAUGGUUUAACAAAAGAUCCGUUGUACUACGAUGGUUAAUUUCGUCUUCAUUGCCGAAUUUCCGGGUUCAAAGCCCGGCAACGGAAUAUUUUUUUCCCCAAAUUUUAUGGGUUCAAUCGAAUUCUAAAUGUCAUAAGCGAAAACAUUAUUUGUUUCCAAUUUCGUAGUUAUCCAUUAUUUGGUGUGCCUUUGGUGUUUUAUGUUCCAAUAAGCGAGUCCAAUAGGUGUUGAUUUGCCAAUGCCGAUUGCAUUAGCUAGUGUAACAUUGAAUAAAACCAGGAAAAAAGAAACCAUAACUAAACGCAAACUAACAUAAUAACCAGAACAGUAUUUUCAGUGAAGAAACCCAUUUGGCUAAAAAGCAAGAAACAUUAAGAGAAAGCAAAAAAAGAUGCUACAAAUUCUCAUGACUGAGCAUGAAAUCAGUGAAAAAACAUAGGAACAUUAAACCAAACUCUUUUUGGACAAUCCAGAGUGUUUUUUUCCCUUUUCCCAUUUUUAUUUAGAAACGACUCAACACACACGAACUCUUCUCUGGCGUCAACUUAGGCUUUCGACAUGUGAACGAUAAGGUCCACCACACGAGAACUGUAACCCCACUCGUUGUCGUACCAUGACACCAACUUGACAAACUUGUCGCUCAAUGCAAUCCCUGCCUUGGCAUCGAAUAUGCUUGACCUAAACGCACAAACCAAAAUGUUCAAUGUUUUUUGCUCUUGCUAUUUACAAGACCCCUGUGAAACUGUAUCAAUCUGUAGAUAAUCAUUACCUGUUGUCACCGACAAAGUCGGUAGACACAACAUCAUCUUCAGUGUAUCCCAAAAUUCCCUUCAUUUUGCCUUCAGAUUCUUCCCUGAGAAUAUUUAACCAGAAACAUAGUAAGUACUUGAAUCAACUUAUAAAAUGUUGCUUAGAGUGAGUGUCAGUCAACGGUUCUUACUUGAUGGCCUUCUUGAUUUCGUCGUAUGUUGCAGCUUUCUCAAGUCUAACGGUGAGAUCAACAACUGAGACAUCAACGGUUGGAACACGGAAAGACAUUCCAGUCAAUUUUCCAUUGAGGGAUGGCAACACUUUGCCAACAGCCUAACAACAACCACAAUACAAAUUAGAUUCAGAACAACUUUUCAGUCAAAAUUAACAAAAAAAAAAAAAAACUGUUUGUAAACACACACAAGAGCAUAAGAUGAAAUUUACCUUGGCGGCACCAGUGCUGCUAGGAAUAAUGUUGAAGGAAGCAGCUCUUCCACCUCUCCAGUCCUUCAUCGAUGGACCAUCAACAGUCUUCUGUGUAGCUAAAUAACCAAACCAAACAGUUGUUAUUGCGACAAAGUUACAGUAAAAGGCAAUACAUUUUCAAGAUCCAACCAAAUGGAAACAAAGUAAUGUAUACGUACCAGUGAUAGAGUGGACAGUGGUCAUGAGUCCCUCAACAAUUCCAAACCUGUCAUUGAUAACCUACACAAACAAAAUUGCAAAUUUCAAUACAGUGCGAGGCAUAAAUUAACUUAAGUCAGAACAUAUUUCAUAAUUUCACAGGUUAAAGGAGAAAAAGCAACCUUGGCAAGUGGAGCAAGGCAGUUAGUGGUGCAACUAGCGUUGGAAACAAUGUCAAGAUCAGACUUGUACUCAUGCUCGUUGACACCAACAACAAACAUGGGAGCAUCUUUGCUUGGGGCAGAGAUGACAACCUUCUUGGCACCACCCUGAGUAAAAAUGAACAAUAUGAUGAUAUAAGAUCUCAUAAACAAGUGCUCAAAUAAUUUAUAAUAUGGUGAACAAAAUCCAAAGUCAAACCUUCAAGUGAGCAGCAGCCUUGUCCUUGUCAGUGAAGACACCAGUAGACUCAACAACAAAGUCAGCUCCAGCCUCACCCCAUGGGAUCUCCUCAGGGUUCCUUCAAAAGUAAAACAUCAGCAAUAGGAAUUUCACAAGUUUCAAUACUAAAACAGACACACACACACAGGAUAUAAAAAUCGACAAUGAUUAUGUACCUGAUGCCGAAAACAGUGACUGGCUUCUCACCAAAGAGAAGAGUCUUGUCAUCCUUGAUCUUAAGUUCAUGGUGCUUCCACUGACCGUGAACACUGUCAUACUUAAACAUGUAUGUCUGCAACCAAAUUCGAUACCACAAACAUAAUCAAUUAGAAACGCUUAUCGAUACAUAAUUAAUCCUCGAACUUAUCGAACUAAGUCACACAUGAACAUGCAUAGACGAGGUAUGGAUCAAACCGGAGUCAGAUCUAUGUAUACUACUUGAAAAUUUAAUUGAUUCGAUAUUCCAGUUCAAAUAAAUCUGAAACGACUUGGCGUCAUAUCCAGAUCAAAACGAUACUAAACCAAUCCAGAUCGAACCAGUAGCGAAGGGAAACGAAAAACGAACCAUGUACUCGGUGGUGAUGAACGGAUCGUUAACAGCGACGAGUUCAACAUCAUCCCUCUGAAGAACAACUCUAGCAACCAAACGACCGAUUCUUCCGAAACCUUCAUCACGGAAAGAUCAAAAACUCAGAAUCAACAGAUCCAAUUCAGAGAAGCAUACGAAACACGAUUAAGGUAACACUCACCGUUGAUUCCGAUCUUAAUCUUCUUGUCAGCUACAAAAAAACAAAAGGAAAAAAUCAAAAUCACGAUCAGAUUCAAAAAAAAGAGCAUCAACGACGAAAACAAUAAAUCGAAGAAAGAAACGGAGAUGAUCAUCAAGGAGCGAAGAGCUCACCCAUUGCAGAAAUUGAGAUCGAGAGAGGUGUACAGAUGAGAAAUGUGAAAAUAGUGAGUGAGGGGUUUGGGUUUGGUGAGGCUUUAGGGUUAUUUAAAAGAGAAGAUGAACGUGAUGAUGAUGAGCAAAUAUUUUAUGAUCGAGUGGCUCAGAUUAUUUCUUGGGAAAGAUUAGAUUCAGUAUUUAUUAUUACAAGAUCGCACUUUACUUUUUCAUUUUUUUACCAUUAUUGCCACUGUUUUUUACCCACAGUUUAUAGUAGGAUUAACUAAUUAAGAACCGAUUAGAGGAAACUAAUGGCGCUUGCACUUCACGUGCCGGUUUGUGGGAAUAUUCGAGGUUUAUACUCAGAUCCUAUGGGCUGAUCUGAAAAUAUUCUUUCCCAUAGCCAAUGAACAUAUGCCACGUAGGAUGUUGUUAUGGUUGAAUUAAACCCCUUUUUGGUUUAUUCCAUAAUCUUUGUGUAGUAACCAAUUUUAACUUCAACCAUUGUUUCAGAAUAACCAAGGUGAAAAACAGUACUAGAGUGUAUUUGUAAUUUUGUAUUCAUCAUAUAUGAAGCUUCUUGUAGAUGUCUUAAUCAGAAUAAUUUUUGCUUACUCGAUCAAAAUAUUUAUAAAUUGAUAAAACAUAUAUGGUGUUGUUAUAUAUUAAUCCAAUCGUGACUUCAUACCAAGACACACAUAGAUGCUCCACUUUGAGAGCUUUGGUAGGUCAGAUGAAUGUGACAGCAAAAAAAAAAAACAUCACACCUUAUGUAAUAGGUAAAACCUAAUAGUUUAUAGGUAUGACUCUUGGCUUUGCCAAAAGUCUCCUUCUUCUCCUCCUCUUAUUUUUUAUUUCAUUUUUUGUAUUCAUUCUCUUUUUCAUGUGUGUUAGGUGAAUGCAUAUAGAAGUAGAACUACUUAUUUUGGCAUUCCGUAUUCAUAUGGAUAUUUAUUUCUAAUAAUUAACUAAAAUCCAUCAUACAUUGAAGACUUGAAGUUGUGAUCUCCUUUUUAUAACUCAUGAUCAUAUCCAAGAGACCAACAGUUCUAAUCGACCCGUCAAGUGUGUCAAGCUACUGUCUUCAACUGAUAUGUAGAAUGAUUCAAAAACAACUUUUUUUUUUUUGAAUGAUUCAACAAUAUUCUAAGUAAUCGUGAAGGGAAAAGAACCAAAAUAUAUCAUUAUCAAAGUACAUGAUAAGAAUUUCGAUUCUUAGAGAAAGAAAGUAAUUAUUGUGAUGCAUGCAAUGCAAACCCUCUUGACAAAAAUACUUAUUGAUGCCAACUUUAACGAAUGGAAUCUUCUUAUCCAUGGAGAUAUGCUUAUAACCAAUUUUAGUCCACUUACGUGAUGGUUUUAGAUUUUGAUAAGUUGGUUUAUUUAUACACACACAACAAAAAUCAAUAAAAACUCUUUUAUUUCUAUGUUUGUGGUGUUUAUGCUGUCUUGAUUCUCGAUUAACUCAAAUCAUUCUAGGAUUUUCUCAGUAGUAAAACCUCAGAAUUUUUCUGUCUUUGCAGAUUCACAAGGUCGGCACACUCGUUCCUUACAAGAACAACGAAUGCAACGAGGAGUAACCGACACAGUGACACCAUAUUCUCGCUCUUGUCUGAAUGACAUGUGAAUCCUUUAUUGAUCACUUCUCUUCUCCUAUGUUCUGUUCUUACAAACGUAAGAGACCAAAGAAACUAUUUUGAGGUUUUAUUGGUCUGUACUGUGAAUGCAAAUUGGUGUCAUACAUGUUUGAGCAAAUACUUUCUUUGUUCUUCUCUAAGGAGAAAAGAAAGAAAUGUACAAAGGGACUGAGCUUAUAUUCACAGGGGACUGUUUUCUGAUUAGAUAAGCUGUUGAUGAAUUUGAAGAAGAAGUUUUGCGAUCCCCAUGCUCUCACCUCACUCCUCGGUACACAGCACCAGGUUGAAGAUCAUCCAUGUUUUCUAUGUUCCUAAAACCAUCAACUUGCAGGCAUGUCCAUCCCCGUCGGGCCAGAAAAUCGCGGUAAUCUUCUUCUGUGUAGAAGAUUUUCUCUUCUGAAUGGACUGGUAACUGGUUGGAUUCGUCAUAAUGGCAAACCCUAAUGGCUAGUCCUGCAAGAUGGGUUUUGAAUAUUGAGGAUUCAGUAAACUCUGUAUUUGGGGUCAAACAAUCCAAACGAUAUUUAGUUUGAUCUUACCAUCAUCGAGAUGGAGUAGAUAGUUCCCUAAAGGCAUCUCUCGGUCAAGAGAACGAACAAUCUGAUCUUCAUCUUCUAACCAAAAAGCCCUCCGAGUUCUUAACCCAAAAGCAGAUCUGAUUGCCUCUUUGAUUGCUUCACAGCUACCAUCAAUACCGAUUCUUCUUGUAUAGUCCCCAAAUUUCACUGUUAUGACCCUCCCACCAAAAGGCUGACCAUGACCGUCACCACCUGGUCAUAAAUAUUAAAAAGCUCCAAUCAGUUAUAAGAGAGAGCCAAAAUCAAUCAAGCAGGGAACAUAGGCUGUGAAGCAACCACAAAAUGAAAGUGAUUUUGGUUCUCAAUAAUUAGAAAACAUUGAUUCAUAGACACACCAUGCAUAUAACACAAAGUUACAAAAAAAUAUCUUUGAGGCUCAAGUUAUCUAAGCUUUUCUGAGACUUGCCGUUUCCAGGAGUCUCUCUCCAAUUCCAAGGAGUAACUCCAUUUGCAGCAACAGCAUCCACUGUAGUGAUUGCAAGAGGAUGGCCAUCAUGAUCAAGACGCCUUUCAAGGUUUAAGGCUGGCCUGCCAUUAGCUGGACCAUAAAUAUAAACACUUAUCAAAACACACACAUCCUCUAAGAAACUUAACUAAACCUUCUAACAGAGGGACUGUCUGAACUCCACAGCAGUCAUGUUCACCACUUUGUUUCAACUACAGAGAUAUCACAUUACAGCUAACUUUCCCCUCGCAAAUGAAACUCUUUGUUUCCAGUACCAAAUGCUCACGUAGCAAGUUAACACCUCUACUAUUGCUCACUCAAGGAGUAAAUUUACAACGACUUAAAGACAAGCUACAAGAGGCAAUCGACGAACAAAUAUUGACUCCUCAUAUAUAGAUAGCAACGUAUAAUAAACACACAAAAGUGAUAUAGAUCAGUACCUUCAACGGAUCCAAAAGAAAUGCUGGUAUCAUCAAAUCCUACAAUGAAAAGUAAAAGUCACUUACCACUUAAGCAAAAGAAACUAAAAGCACAAAAUCCACAAAACCAGAUUCAUUACCAAAACUAUCAUCUCCUUAAAACAUUAAUGCACAACCCAUUAAGAAACCUACUUUAAAACUGUAGUUCAACUAGUAUCUCUUCUCAGCCUAACCUACAGAUACGAAAUUCCCAAAUUGUAACAAAAAGAUAUCUCAUCAACACAAACACUAAAUCACAGUUAAAUUUCCUCAAACCAAAUCAAGAAACCUGCAAAUUCAUGGCCAAAGUUUAUACCUUUAUCACUAAAUUGCAUAAAGGAAUCAACUUUAGCAGUUGUAGGUGGUGGUGUACUAGGGCUCUUGUUAUACUGGGUGGUGGUCACUUUCUUGCUCCUCUCUCUAAGAAUAUCUUCAAUCUCCUUGUAAUACGACAUCUUAGCCGAUCCAUUGCCUCUAUCAUGAUACUUGGCUUUCUUAAACUCUUUCAAUAGAUUCCUCCACUUAUCAGUACACAUAGUCGGAGAUCGAUCAAACCCUUUCUCUCUCAUCUUAGCCGAAAUCUGUUCCCAAAGAUGUUUAUUCGAUUUCGAUGUAUUGAACAAACCAUCCAUACCUCUACGGAACAUGAUUAAGCUACGAGUCUCGUCUUGAACCCAUGUCUCUGCUCGUUUCUUCGGAGCUUUCACUUCGUGAUCCUCACUACUGCUAUCUCCAAGGAGAAUCUGUUGAGGCUGAGAUUGGUUGAGAUGGUGAUUGUGAUUGUGGUGGUGGUGGUGGUGGUGGUGGUGAGGCUGUAGAUCUACUACUGCUUCAUUGGGAGUGGUGACAUCGAUCAUCAUGUCGCGUGUAGCGGCGGUUGAAGAAUUGGGAUUGUCGUCUUUGUAGAAAUCAGUAGGACGAGACUUGUCCGAAAUGAACAUUGCUGCGUCUCCGGAGAGACAAUAGGAUAUGAUGUUCCUUUGUUCCCACCACCGCCAACAACACAGCCCCCGAGCACAAUAUGAAAUGUGGGGAGCCAAAGAGGCUUUUACUUUUAUUUUAGUUUUUAGGUUUUUGUUUUAGUCUAAAGAUUUGGUUUCCAGUUUUGGAUAAGAUAAAUUACAAAUGUUUGGGUUCCCUGUGAUAUAAAAUGGUAUUGAUAAAAAAAACAAUUAUAAUAAGCUCAAAAUUAACUUUAAAUUAUAUAAAAAAUUAUUCAAAAAUGAUAACAAGAUAUAAUUAUACAAAAUUAACGAAUCAUUUUUUACCUUAUAAUAAUUAGUAAAUAAUAAAUUGAUGUUUUACCGAAAAAAUUGUUCGAAUAUUAAUAAAUUAUUCUGUGAACUCGUCAUAUUCAUAAUUUAAAAUCCGUAUUUAAUAAAAUUUUAAAUUUAUGAACAAAUUUGCUAGAAAUUCUUAUUCUACCUACAAUUUUUGGAAAUGGCACUACUCUUUUCGAUAGAGAGUCCAAGCAAGAAAAUGAGAUUUGACUACAUCGUUAGGACCCUUAUGUUCUAUGACCGAAGGAGCACCACUCGACAUUACGAGAGUCUUCCUCUUAGUCCAAUACUCUCCAGUCCAUCAGUCACUAGAAGAACCAAAACAUUGACAAAUAAAGUUUCACAUAAAAUGUAUCUUGAUGCAUCAAAGUUUCUCAUCUUGGUAUUUGGUGUAACUUGCUUCCUCAUCAAAGGAGUAUGAAACGAAACAAUGACGAAACUCUAAACCGGAAUUAAAAUCAUCGUUGAUCAAACCAAAAAACCGGAAAACCAAAGGAAAAUAAUGAACCGGUUUUAUUACAGACAUCAUCAAACUGUGUCGUAUAAUAGAGUUACGGUCGGCGAUAAAGUUUGGAUUUUUAAACGCAUUUUGAAGUAUAAUAAAUUUAAUAAUACAAGUGAGAGGACCUGGCUGGCCAGACCGAACACAUUAUAAGAAAACAAUAUUAAAAUAAGGGAAUAAAAAUAAAAUAAAAUAAAAUAAAAAGAAUUGAGAAAAAAAAAAAAAAAAGAUUGAUCAGGCAUCGGAGAGAAGAGAGAAUGAUAGAUAACUGGAUCACGAGAAGACACAAAUCACAAAGAAGAAGAAAGAAAACAAAAAUUAAGAAGAAGAAUUAACAAUUCGUAUUGAGCCAAAUCCUAAAGCUCGAUUCUUUUAUUUUUAUAUCUGGGAAAGUCAAUAAACCAACAACGACAACGAAGAGAGGUUUUGGAAGAACUUGAAUGUGAUUUUUCUUUAUUUUUUUUGGGUAAGUUUGUUGUUCUCUUAUUCAUCGUUAUAUCUCUUGUUGACCUUUUAAUUGUUGCAAUCGGUGAAUUUUGUUGGUUUUUUUCUUCCCCCAUAAAUUCGUAAUCUUGUUUCUGAUCUCUGGUUGUAAAUGUAUGUUUUUAAAAUUUGAUUUUGGGUUUUUAGAUUGCGAUUGUUUCAGGAUUAGAAUCGAAAGUUUAGAUUUUUAAUGUUUUGGGGAGUGACGAUUUUUAUAUUUCCUGUGUUUGGAGAGUGAGUAAAGAAGAAUGAACAAAAUAUGGUUUUUUCCUGUAAUAAAUUUAGGGAUUUUUCUCCUUUUCAGCUUCUUGAUUGUGUUUAUAGUAUACUAUUUGGAUAUCUUGAGUUUUACUGGAUUGUGAUUUUUAUUUCAGAUGAAUCUGUUCUUCUAGGGGAUUGUUUGUUUUGGGGAAUGAUCAGAGAAGAAUCUGAGUAUUGUAAACUAUGUGGAAACAGAUUAUAAGUAAGCUUCCUAAGAAGUCUUCUUCUAAGAACCAUUCUUCAUCUACUCCCAGUGCUUCUACUUCCAAAACUAGUGAUAAUGGCGCUGGGAAAUCGGGUAAUUCUCACGCCAAGAACGCUCCUGCUGUUAAACCUGCUGCUGCUGAUUCGGGGUUUAAAGACGGGAAUUUGAAAGGAAACGGGACUGGUUUCUCGCCGUAUGAAGCUUUGCCUAGUUUUAAAGAUGUUCCAAAUGCAGAGAAGCAGAACUUGUGUUUGAGAAAACUCAACUUGUGCUGUCUAGUGUUUGAUUUCUCGGAUCCAACUAAGAAUGUGAAGGAAAAGGAGAUCAAGCGGCAGACAUUGCUUGAUCUUGUGGAUUAUGUUGCUUCUCCGGGUGGGAAGUUUAGCGAAAUGGCUAUCCAAGAAGUGGUUAAAAUGGUUUCUGUUAACAUUUUCAGAACCUUGAAUCCUCAACCGCGAGAGAAUAAGGUUAUUGAUGCCUUAGAUUUGGAGGAAGAGGAGCCUUCUAUGGAUCCUGCUUGGCCUCACUUGCAACUUGUCUAUGAGAUCCUCCUGAGGCUUAUUGCUUCACCUGAGACAGAUACAAAGCUGGCUAAGAAAUACAUCGACCAAUCUUUUGUCUCACGGUUACUGGAUUUAUUUGAUUCCGAGGAUCCUAGAGAAAGAGACUGUCUUAAAACCGUUCUACAUCGCAUCUAUGGUAAAUUCAUGGUUCAUCGUCCUUUCAUAAGGAAAUCCAUUAACAACAUUUUCUAUCGGUUUGUUUUCGAGACUGAGAAACACAAUGGGAUUGCUGAGUUUCUAGAGAUUUUGGGAAGUAUCAUCAAUGGAUUUGCUCUGCCGCUUAAAGAAGAGCAUAAAGUGUUUCUUGUUCGAGCUUUGGUACCUCUCCACAAACCGAAAUGCUUACAAAUGUAUCAUCAGCAAUUGUCUUAUUGUAUCACACAGUUUGUGGAAAAAGAUUGCAAACUUGCUGAUACAGUUAUAAGGGGAUUACUGAAGUCUUGGCCUGUCACUAAUAGUUCCAAAGAAGUCAUGUUUCUAAACGAGCUAGAGGAAGUAUUAGAAGCAACUCAGCCACCUGAAUUCCAACGGUGUAUGGUUCCAUUGUUUCGCCAAGUUGCUCGGUGUUUGAACAGUCUGCACUUUCAGGUAAUUUUCUUUAUAAUGUUUCAUAUAUUUCCGGAUUGCAUUUACAGUUUUCUAAUUCCGAGAAAGUAGAAUGAUGAGAACAGUUUCAUCAUAAGAUUGAAUUGUGUGAUAUUUGAUAGCGUAGUAGCUUUGUGACUAUUUCUGUUAGGCACAGAUCAAUUAGUACCUGCGUGCUCAUUGUCAAUGUUGUAAUGAGAGCUCAAGUCUUUAUACAAGAAAGAACAAAAAGGUUGAGUCUUUUUUGAUUUUUUUUGCAGGUUGCAGAAAGAGCUUUGUUUCUAUGGAAUAACGAUCAUAUCGAGAAUCUAAUAAUGCAGAACCGUAAAGUUAUUCUUCCUAUCAUUUUCCCUGCAUUGGAAAGAAACACUCAGAAGCAUUGGAACCAAGCUGUUCAUAGCUUAACGCUGAACGUGCAGAAGAUAUUUAAUGACAUUGAUGCAGAGUUGUUUAAGGAUUGUCUUGGCAAGUUUAGAGAAGAUGAAUCAAAAGAAGCUGAAAUUGGGGCAAAACGUGAAGCCACAUGGAAACGGUUGGAAGAAAUUGGGAACCAAAAGCAAAAGAGUUCGUUGUAAGAUGUUUUAGUUGUAGAGAGAGAGGUUUUUGUUCUGUAUUUUUCUCGUUUUUAUUACAUUGGAAUAUUUGUUUUGUUUUUUUUUGUUUUUUUCUCUCCGGACAACUUAGUGAGAAAAGGUUUCAGAUUCGUCUUCUUUGAAGAGACUGCGAAGAUGUAAGAUCUUUUUUCUUUGUUUGUUAAAGCUUGCUAAUGGGUUCUCGAUCACAACAUUGUCCAAUCUAUUUAUUCUCGAGACCACUUUGAUUCAUAACAUAUAAAACGUAGUCACUACCGAUAUAGCAAAACUAUGUAACAGUAAUGUUGAAGACAAAUGUGAAUUAAAUAUGGUCUUAAACUUAGUCUUAAGAAAUGCACCAGUUCCAAAUACAACAAAGAGAGUAAUUAAGCAAGGUUUUAGAUAUGAGAUAUUAAACUCUGGAAAUAAGGAACAACUCUAUAACAAGAAAGAUGAUCGUACAUUAGGGAGUAAGAUUUUGUUUGUGGAUCAUACUUCACCAAACCAUUACCAAAACGAUGUCUCAGUAGGAUCUCCUUGUUCUUCAAUAUCGCCGCCGGUGUGCAUGGCCGAAUCACAUUCAUGCGGGUCCAAGCAAAACAAACCCUUCCAGAUACGGACCAUGAAGAACAAGAUCGAAGAUCUAUAGUAUAAAUCUUAAUCCAUGUCUCUUCUGAUGAUAAUUGCAAGCUCCAAAUCUCUUGCAUCAUAGUACGGCGCUUUCUCUUGGACAUGCACAGACGAUUAUCCAAAAUGCAAAGGUCGAUAUGGUCUGGAUGUGAGCGAGAAACCGGAUUCUUAGGCAACAAUCGAAAAGUUUCACUUUCAAGAUCAAAAACUAUAACUUUGGUUUCGCCAUUGUAUCGUUCUGUGAGCCAAUACACUAAUCCGUUUGUGGACACUGGCGAUUGAUCGUUAAAUAUCCGGUACCUUGGAGUGCAAGUCAAGUAUCUCCAAACAUUUGCCCUAAAACUGAAAACCUCACACUUGGUAAAUCCUUCGUUUAAACUCAUAGCGUCAGAAUUGUAUAUAUCGGAAUUAUAUAACCACACCAAUUUAUAACCACUCAGCAUGGCCUUUGCAAACGCUAGUAAAGGGAUUGGCUUAACGUCUGUGAUAGUUUCCCGAGUGUAUGUUGCCUUUUGCAUUAAUAUCUGAAACCUAGCUUCAGGAAUUUGGCGGAACCAACUAGUUGUCGGGUUAACUACGUAUAUAUAGGCUUCCCUGUCCGCGUAUAUACAAACAAGACCAUUGCAGCUUUCAGAAAUUUUGAUUAAAUGUCGUCGAGGGAUGUUGAGAAGAUUGAAGACUCGAACAGGAUUUGAUUCCAAGCAAAGUGUCUUAAACACGUUAUAUUGUUCAUUUGUGGAGGCAAAUAGGAAUUUCGGAUGAUCAUGUUUGGAUUGUUCAACGAGCCUUAAGUGUUUCUCCGCGAAACAUCGAGACUCAAUAGUUGAUUUCCAUUGUUUUGAAACGACUUUGAAUCGAAUGUUUGAUUUGACCGGAAGCCUCAAGAGGAUCUCCUCAAGGACGUCGUAUGGUAGUACGCAUACUCCUUGAUCGUGAUUAACUCUCUUGUCUUUCUCCAUUCUUGACUUCUUGUUAUGAUAAUCAAUGAAGAGAAUGCCUUCUCAUCUUUAUAUAUAUAUUUCAUUAAGAACCCAAAUAGAGAAUAAUAUCUAAAUAUAUUAAUAAAUACAGAAAAUUAUUAGUAAACUAAAAUUUUAGUUAGAUUUUAUAAAACACAUGUCAAAUAGAAUUAGAGUUUGGUAUUCCCAAUAUUGUAUCCACAUCAUAUAUUUUUACUGUUAUUUUUCAACAAUUUAGAUAGAAUGAGAUAACUAAAAUAUAUUAAUUGUUAAAUCUAGUUAUAAUAUAUAAAAAAAUUCUAUAUUUUCAAAGCAUAUAUAAAUGAAUGACCAUUUGGGCCCAGAUAUUAAAGCUAAAUCUCACCUAGAGCCCAGUCCAGACAGUUUUCUUACACCAGCCCCUAUAAAUUAAAAAAAAAUAAAAUAUAUAUGACAAUUUCUGGAAAUUUUAACCAUUUCUGGAAAUUUUAACACAAACAAUUUUAAGACCUUGAAUGUUUUACCAGACAUUGUAAAAAAAUUUUGGCUUUAGUUUUUGGAAAAGAAACCUCAUUUGUACCAACUCAAGUGGUUUCUCUAAAACCAAAUUUGGAAGAUUUUAACCAUUGAUCAGUUUGCCAAUUAGAAAAAACAAUUGAGUGACAAUGUGAAAACCAUCAUCUUAUUUGAGUUUUCACUUUUCCUAAACAGUUUAUUGACAUGAUAAUAUUAUUUCACCCAUUUAUAUUGUUUGUUUAGUUUUAGAAAAAAUACGAAAAUCCAAAACCAAAAACUAAAACCCAAAUUAAAUCCCAAAAACCAAAUAAAAACUAUAACCCAAUGGUAGCAUUGCUUACUCGUUGAUUAAAAAGAAAAAAGUUUUAAAACCUUGGUUAAUGUAUAUGAUCGAAAUAGGUCACAGUAUAACAGAAUCCUAGUCAGUAGUCACAAUAUCGAUGGAAAACUUUAAUAUAUACACGUAAUUCUAAAUUAGGUAUAGAUUAAUUACGGUGUGUGGAAGAAAGCCACAGCCCUAAUAGCACAAGUUUUUCCUAGUAAGCCAUAUGCAUGCAUAACGACAUAUACACUAGAUUCAAAGACGGUAAUACGUUCUUCUUUUAUUUAGCGUAAACCUUAUUUAUUUUUUUGUCAUUUGUUAUUUUUUUCCACCUAUAUUCUUAUGUUUUCCUUAUGUUUUACUUAUUUUUAUCUUAGCAUUUACCUUUUUUUUAAAAUAUAAAAGUAUUGUUAAAUAAGAAUGGUACGUAUGUAAUAUUCUUUUAUAUUCAUAUUACAGUAUAUAAGCUAAGCUUUUUCAUAUAGUUUUUGAUUCAUAUUUCAUUUAAAUUCUAAUUAAAAUAAUAAAUAAUUUUGCACAAAUUAUAAAUUUCUUAAUUAUGUUACGGAAAUAUGUAAUAAGAUGGUUCCCUCUUUUCAUAGUUACAAACUUACAAUGUCUUAGUGGCGUAAUUCGUCAAGAUUCAGCUAAUUAUUAUUUUUUGCAAACGAAAGAAAUUAAACUUCAAACUUUUUUAAUAGCUUAUCACACAAAGAACAAUUGACGAAAAUCAUUACUAACACACAUAGUUUAACAUAAGAAUCAAUCUCUCAUGAUUCCCACUUGGCUCUCAGCUUAUCAACAUGUUUAAACUCAAAUGUCAACACUAAACUCCCAGCCGUUCUCCUCAACUCAAAGCUCUCCACCAACACAUAACAUCUAUAACUUUUCCAAUUCGAACCGCUUCCAUCAAUUCUCUCAGAUUUCUUAACCACUGCUCUUCUCGGUUCACUCUUCCACCCGAAUCUCUCCUCUUCCCAUUUCAUCUUCUCGGUAACCGCAGAUCUCAAACCAAUCCUCUUGUCAGCAACCUCAAACCAAACAACCCCAUUGUCGUCCACACUUCUUGCCCUGUUUCCAAUAUCUUGUCCCUCAAGCUUCACGACUUGUGUUUCCACUUCAACAUCAACAACAACCUCGCGCUUUUCGUCAUUUUGGCAAGAGUAAACCUCUUCCCAUCUUUGGAUAAGAAUCAUGCUAUAGUAAGUUGAAUUCUUAAACUGAUGCUUUGCAUCUCUUUCCUUGACAAAUAUGAAAGGGACAUACCAUUUCCCUACCACAACGCUUGCACUAAAAUCACCUGGUAGCUCAGAACGAAUAUUAGUGUAAAUACCUUUCGCAUCAUCUCUUAGACCAAAGUCUUCUGAUGUUGAGUACUUAACAGUCCAAUUCUUCCUCUUAAGAAACUCUGGUGGUAUCCCGUCAGGUGCAACGGAUGUGGCAAAGUACUUUCCAGACACUGAUUUCUUUUGAUGGAUCUCAAAUUGUUGGUAUAUAUCAUUAGGAUCUGGUUGUUGUGGCUUAGCUUCAGGAACAUAGCUGAGGCAAAAGCAGCUUGGGACUCUGUCUUCCUCUUUCGCAUUUGCGGAAGCUUCUCUACAACACAAAACAUUUUUUCUUUAGAUUUUCUAAUAGACACCCUCGUAUGCAAUUUCUUGUGAAUUACAUCAAAAAUCAAGAAAGUUGAAAAAUAUUGCUUAAAUUAUCUAUAAGUCAUACCCUGAGUGUUUCCCGCUUCGCAUAAUGGUGUAGUAACGGUUUGAAGAUAACGGCUGAUCAAGUACCGGAAUGAAAAUGACCGGAUCACGAUCAGUUAUAACGACGACGGGAGAUUGAUCACUUACGGUGGUAUAUUUCACAGUCAGCUUAGCGUUCUGUGGGAAUGGUAAGCCUUUGAGUCCACCCUCGUAGCAAGAUCCGAAGCAACAAGUUGGUCUUGACUCUUCAUCUUGAAUCACAAGCACACCGGAGUUUGGACUUUCCAACAACUCCGAUCUGUUUCUUUGGCAUUCCGACAAGCGCCUUGUAACGUACAUGUUUUUUUGUUAUAAUCGGUAGAGAUAUUUCAGUGGUUUUUGUGAUUCGUGUGAGGUCGUGUGAUUGGGUCUUUAUAGUAGGAUAAGAAGAAGAAACAGAAUUUUGCAACCCCAAAAACGAAAUAUAAUCAAAUAAGAAAAAAGAAAUGAAACUUUAACGACUAUUCUACGAUCUUGACUUGGGAAGUCUUGUAUUUUCUGGCAGUUUCUAAGUAACAUCACAAUUAUUUAAAAAGUCAGUCUCUUCACGUUGUAUUAUUAUCUUUAUACUUCAUUGAGAACAACGUUGUGACUUGUGUGACCCAAUAGUCACGUUAAUAUAAAUUAUGGAUAGGAAAAUAAAAUAAAAUGAGACCAUAAGUUUAUUAUUACAUGAACUUGCACAAAACUUAUUCUUAAAUUUGCACAAAAGAUUACACACAUAAAAAACCUAACACAGAAUGAAACUCAAUCCCACUUGCUGUUUACCUUAUCAACAUGUUUAAACUCAUACGUCAACACCAAACUCCCAUCCAUCCUCUUCAAUUCAAAGCUCUCUAUCAAUACAUAACAUCGAUAACUCUUCCAAUGCGAUGAACCGCCUUCAAAUCUCUCUGAUCUCUUAAUUUUAGACCUUUCUCCUCUGUUUAACCACCCAAACUUUUCUUCUUCCCAUUUCAUCCUCUCCACGACCACAGACCCAAGACCUAUCUUCUUGUCUUGUUUCUCAUCCCUUAAGACACUAAACCAAACAACUCCAUCACCUUUGUUCUCUCUCAAAUGAGUUUCUUGUCCGUCAACCUUCACCACUUCUGUUUCUACAUCAACAUCAACUACAACCUCAAAACGUUCAUCGCGGAUGUUUUCGCAGAAGAAAACUUCUUCCCACUUUUGUUGAAGCGUCACGCUGUAAAACGUUGAUUUCUUCAUUUGAUCUUUUACAUCUCCUUCCAUAACAAACAUGAAAGGAACAUACCAUUUCCCUACUACAACACUCUUACCUAUACUAGUAAGGUCUGAGUCUAAGCGAAGCUUUGUGAUAAUCCCUUUUGCAUCAUCUACUAGACCAAAGUCUUGUGAAGUCGAGUAACUGACCGACCAAUGUUUUCUCUUCAGGUAAUAUGGUGGCACACCAUCAGAAGCAACUGAAGUGGCAGAGUAAUAGAGAGAUGAUGGUCGGCUUGAAUGAAUCUCGAAUUGUUGGUAUAUAUCAUACGGAUCUGCUUGUUGUGGCUUAGCUUCAGGAACAUAGCUAGAGAAACAGCAGCUUGAAACUCUCUCUUCCUCUUUUGCACUUGCAGAUGCUUUCCUGUGAUCACAGUUAAGCAAAACUUAGAUAAAUGGUGUUUUAUCUUAUGCAAAUCACAAAAAAUGUCUGGUCUUUUUAAGUAAACAUUUAAGAAGUGUAAAAAUGUAAACCUUAAGCAUUACUAAAUUUUGAAGAAAACAUAUAAAAAAGAGUGAAAAUAUUGAAAUUACAAGUAAUAAUUACCCAGUAUGCUUCCCACGUCUUUGUAUAACAUAGUAAAGGUUGGAAGACAAUGGCUGAUCAAGAACAGGGAUGAACACAACUGGGGUAUGAUGUGUCUGGCUUCCUCCUCCUGAUCCUGCUCCACCUCCUCCUCCACUGCUAUACGUUGCUGCAAGCUUCACGUUUUGUGGAAACGGCAAGCCUUUAAGCCUACCUUCGUAGCAAGAACCAAAGCAGCAAGUUGGUUGUGAUUCUUCAUCUUGAAUCACCAUUAUGCCCGAGUUUGGACCUUCUGGUGGAAGCAGUUUCAGCUCCGAUGGGUUUCUCUGGUAUUCCGAUAAACGCCUUGUUACAUACAUUAUUUAAAUUUAAUUCUUGUGAUGCUGAUACUUGGAGAAAGAUCAUAGAUAUAUAUAUAAGCUUAUACUUAAGCUACUUCUUUGUAGAAUAGAUUUGACUUUUUGAUGAUAGAAUCUAAUCACGUUGCAGGCAAAUUUCUUGGAAGGUUGUUAUUUCAUCUAGUGUCUUUAUACAAUAGCAUAAAACUAAAAUGAACAGAAGUCUUUGUAUUUGAUUUGACUUUAUGCAAGAAUCUGUAAUGCAGAGUAUGUGACGAUAACUUCAUUGACAAGGUUUUGUACCGGUUUUAAUCACAUAGUUUACGAAACUUGAUAUGUUAUAGGAUUUAGGUUUUGACUGAUUCUCGAACUUGUGAUAUUUUCUUUGCUAAGAAGGUCAACAAAUCCAUCAUGAAGAGUAGUAUCAAGCAAACCAAACUUAUAUUUAGUUAUAUGUAGUUUAUACAUGAUAUUAAAUGCGACCUUGAGAUUAUUAUUGCAUAAACUUACAUAAACUUAAUUACCAAAUUAAUUAUUGAAACAAGAUUAGAUGACAAACAAUGAAACAGAACAAAAGAUGAAUGAAACUCAAUCCCACUUGCUCUUUACCUUGUCAACAUGUUUAAACUCAUACGUCAACACCAAACUCCCAUCCAUUCUCUUCAAUUCAAAGCUCUCUGUCAAUACGUAACAUCGAUAAUUCUUCCAAUGCGAUGAACCAUCUUCAUAUAUCUCUGAUCUCUUAAUGUUGGAUCUUCCACCUUUGUUUAACCACCCAAACCUUUCCUCUUCCCAUUUCAUCCUCUCCACUACAACAGACCCAAGACCUAUCUUCUUGUAUUCUAUCUCAUCCCCUAAGACACUAAACCAAACAACUCCAUCACCUCUGUUCUCUCUCAAAUGAGUUUCUUGUCCCUCAAGCUUCACCACUUCUGUUUCUACAUUAACAUCAAGUACAACCUCUGCCCCUUUCUCGUUGUAGUUAACGUUUUCACAUGAGUAAACCUCUUCCCAUCUUUGUUUAAGCGUCAUGCUGUAAUAAGUGGAGCUCUUAACCUGAUCCUUUGCUUUUCUUUCACGAAUAUGAAAGGGACAUACCAUUUCCCUACCACAACGCUUGUAUUCACAUCGUUGGGAAGCUCGGAACGAAGCGUAGUGUUAAUCCCCUUGGCAUCAUCUGUCAAACCAAAGUCUUGGGAAUUAGAGUACCCAGCGGUCCAAUACUUUCUCUUAAGGAACUCUGGUGGUAUCCCAUCAGGAGCAACAGAAGUGGCAGUGUAAUACCGAGAUGAUCCUUGGCGUUGAUGGAUCUGGAAUUGCUGAUACAUGUCAUAAGGAUCUGCUUCUUGUGGCUUAACUUCAGGAACAUAGCUAAAGCAAAAGCAGCAAGGGGCUCUGUCUUCCUCUUUUGCACUUGCUGAAGCUCCUCUGCAAUUCAAACAUCACAAGAAAAAUGUUAGUUUCCUUUUAUGAAUUCACCUUUUUAGGCAAGUUAGGUAUUUCAGUUAGAAAAUUUAUGGUCAUACCCUAAGUGCUUCCCGCGUCGAUGAAUGACAUAAUAACGGUUCGAAUAAUAAGGCUGAUCAAGAACCGGAAUGAACAGAACCGGAUCAUGGUAACUGCGUCUGUCGUUACCAGCUCCAGUUCUGUAAAUCACAGUCAGCUUCGCGUUCUGUGGGAACGGUAGGCCUUUGAGUUUACCAUCGUAGCAAUUACCGAAGCAACAAGUCGGCUUUGACUCUUCAUCUUGAAUCACAAGUACGCCGGAGUUUGGACCUUCCGGGGACGAUUGUGUCGAGUUUCUCUGGUAUUCCGAGAGAUGCCUUGUAACAUACAUCUUGAAUUCAGAAUCUUUAAGGUAAGGUAAUUGAUUAGAAAUAUAGAGAUGUGAUAUGUUUAUAUAUAGCACCAUGUCUUGAGGAUUAAGUCGUAAGUAAAUUUUACAAGUUAUUGUUUAAAGACUUUUACAAGUUAGAAUUCCAAAGUUAUGACCUUGACCUGGUUUUGAAAACCUAUAAUGGAGAAUCAUUCAAACAAUUUAUAGAUUCGAUAUUAGGUAAGACAUACAUGAUUGGGGUAUUGAUGUUCUAGAAUCAAACACAUGAACUUGCAGAAAGCUUUCAUUAAAUGAUCACACCACACCACACCAUAAGUUGCAUACAUAACACACAAAAGUUGCAUAAACCGUUCAUUAAAAUGAACAAACCAUAAGUUGCACACAUAACACACUUAGAAGCUUAUAUAAACUCAAUCCCACUUGCUCUUCAACUUCUCAACAUGUCUAAACUCAUACGUCAAUACCAAACUCUCAUCAGUUCUCUUCAAUUCAAAGGUCUCUACCAGUACAUAGCAUCUAUAACUCUUCCAAUGUGGUCCACCGCCUUCAAAUUUCUCAGAUCUCUUAAUGCUAGACCUCAUCUGAUCGGUUUUGUUAGACCACCCGAACCUCUCCUCUUCCCAUUUCAUUCUCUCCAAGACUACGGAACCAAGACCUAUCUUCUCAGUCCCUGAGACACUAAACCAGACAACUCCAUCUGAAUCCACACCUUUUGUCUCUCUUGCAAUCUUCCCUCCUUCAAGCUUAACCACUUCUGUUUCUACCUCCACAUCAACUACAACGUCACAAAGUUUAUUGCCGACGUUUUCGCAGAAGAAAACCUCUUCAAAUCUUUGGUGAAGGGUCAUGCUGUAAUACAUUGAUUUCAUCAUCUGACUUUUUGCAUCUCCUUCCUUUACAAAUAAGAAUGGAACAUACCAUUUACCAACUACAACUCUCUUAUCAAAAUCAGGAAGCUCAUAGCGUAGCUUUGCAUCAACUACGCCCUUUGCAUCAUCAUUCAAACCAUAGUCUUCGGAAGACGAAAAAGGAACCGUCCAACCUUUUCUCCUCAGGAACCGAGGUGGUAUUCCGUCUGAAGCAACAGAUGUAGCCAAAAACUUUCGGGUUGAUGAUCCUCUUUGAUGAAUCUCAAAUUGUUGGUAUAUGUCAAAAGGAUCGAGAGGCCUUGGCGUUGCAUUAGAGACAUAAGUAAAGCAAAGGCAACAAGAAACUCUGUCCCCUUCCUUUGCACUAACACAUGCUUCUCUGCAAUACCAAUCAAAGUAUAAAAAAGUGUAAGAAUUUAAGCUUAUAUGAAUGCAGGCCGCCGAACUUCUAGCUUAACUAAAACUAAAGUGAUAACAUUAGUAUCUAUAGAACUUUAAACUUGCACAUUUAUCUAAUAAAAUCAUACCCUGCAUGUUUCCCUCUUCGCCUUAUAACGUAGUAAAGAUUGGAGGAAGGAGGCUGAUGAAGAACAGGGAUGAAGGCAACCGAGUCAAGCAACACAAUUCUGUCAUCUCCACCUAUAUUAUAAUCAAAGCUCAGAUAAUAAACAGAGAAGAAAUAGAAACAGAGUUAAGGAAGAAGUUUGCAAAAAUAUUUAAUUAAACAGAAAACUAACUUCCAAUUUGGUAUUUGACACUGACUCUUGCGUUCUGAGGAAACGGCAAACCAUUCAGAUCACAAUCAAAGCAUUUGCCAAAACAGCACGUAGGCUGUGAUUCUUCGUCUUGAAUCACCAAUACGCCGGAGUUUGGACCAUCCGUUGGAAGCAAAGUGAGUUCUGACGGGUUUCUUUGGUAUUCAGACAAACGCUUUGUCACAUACAUUUUCUCCUUGAUUCUUUGUUACUUAAGAUCUAACCUGCCAUAGUUUAUAUAAAACAAAGGAACUUAAGAACGUGCAAGGAAGUUUACUAAGCUAUUGUUUACAAAUAUAAUCUGAUCUUUGACCCAAUCUGAAGUUUGACUUAACAUUUGUCAGAAUCUCCUGUGGAUGAGUACUAAGAACAUAGAGAAAACUCAAUAUUUUAUUGGAAAAGCUUAAGAUAAUAACCAAAUACAAUAACCACACUGACCAAUUGAAGUUCACGUCAUUGAGAUUACAAAACCUUUGGGAGAUUCGUUGCUUGAGAAACUGAAUCCCAUUUGGUUUUGACCUUAUCGACGUGAGUAAACUCAUAUGUUAAGACCAAACUUCCAUCCAUCCUCUUCAACACAAAGCUCUCUAUCAGAACAUAACACUGAUAACUCGUCCAAAAGCUACCAUCUUUUGAUUUCUUCAAUCUCUUACCCGCCAUUGCUGGCUCCUGGUCACCUUUGCUUGUCCACCCAAAUCUCUCUUCUUCCCAUUUCAUCCUCUCAACAACAACUGAUCCUAAACCAAUCUUUUCGUCUCCAACCCCAAACCAGACAAACCCGUUUGUCUCCACACCUCUUUCAAACUCUUGUCCCUCAAGCUUAACAACUUCUGUUUCUCCUUCUACUUCAAAUACAACAUCAUGCUUCCCGCUUUUGUCGUUAUCACAAGAAAAAACUUCUUCCCAUCUUUGUUCAAGAGUCAUGCUGUAAUAUAUCGAAUUCUUGAUCUGAUCCUUAGCAUCUCUUUCUUUCACGAAUAUGAAAGGGACAUACCACUUCCCAACCACAAUGCUCAUACCAAGUUUCGGAAGCUCGGCACGAAGCUCUGUGUUGAGUCCUUUUGCAUCAUCUGUCAGUUUAAAUUCUGGGGACCUCAAGCAUUCAGCCAUCCACUCUCUUUUCCUGAGAAACCAUGGUGGGACCCCGUCAGGAGCAACAGAUGUUGCGUAGUAAUAACGCGGACGUGAAGAUGGAUCCGUUUGAUGGAUCUCAAAUUGUUGGUAUAUGUCAAAAGGAUCAAGCUGUUUAUGUUUAGCUUCAGCAACUUCCUUAAUACAAAAGCAGGAGGUAACUAUAUCUUCCUCUUUCGCACUACCAGCCGCUUCACUGCAAAGCAACCAAAGAAUUAUAAACUUUGUAGGUUAUAUAUAAGAAGGAAAGAUUCCAGAAUUUUAGAUUUUGUGGAUUCAAAUUUUCUUACCCUGAAUGCUUCCCAUGUCGUUUAAUUGCAUAAAAACAAUUUGAAGAUAUUGGCUUAUCAAGAACAGGAAUGAACACAACAGGGUCACGAGUACUGUCAUCCCCUCCGGUAUUAAAUGUGACUGCUAGCUUAAGAUUUUGCGGCAAUGGCAAACCAUUUAGAUGAGAGUCCACCACCAACCACGAGUUGAAGCAGCAUGAAGCCUGUAUAUAUGAGUCUUGGUCUUGGAUUACCAAAAUUCCAGAGUUAGGACCCUCAGGAGGGGGCCGUGUUAGCUCUGCUGGAUUCCUCCGGUAAUCUGACAAACGCCUUGUAAUGUACAUUUUCACUUAUCUGUAUAAAAGUAAACCAAACCGAGUUGUGGGAUUUAGAGGAAAACUUGAUCAUAUAUUAUAGACAAAACAACUCUGUCGAACAGCACUUGACAAGAUGACUUGACUUUUCAUGAUGGCUCGUUGCAGGAAACUUCAAGGAAACUAACUUGAUAUCAUAAAGAUCUUAGGCAUACCCUAAAUGUCACCUCCUCAUCAAGUGUCUUUAAAAUAAGAUAAGCAAGGUCUUUGCCUCUCUGUAUCAUGACACCACUCUGCAUCAUGAAGAUUCUGUCCACACCUUUUGCAUCAUCACUCAAACCAAAAACUUUCCGGAGUCAAGUAGUAUUCAAAACUACAAUCACUCUAACUAAAUUCCCAUUGUAGCCAAUUCCAGGCAUUAACCAUAAAUUUUUAAACCAAAGGGUUCCAAAAGUCAAGCAACCCAACCAUCUCAAACCUUCAUCUGUUACGAAUAACAAAAGUGGCAAAGUCUCGUUGUGACAGAAACAGCAAUAAUCCUACAAGAACAUACUCUGAAAUCACUAAAAACGAUCCAAUUUUUCACCAGCUGCUCAAUCCAUGAACUCAAAAAACAUAUUUAUAUAAAAGUACCAUUCUUGAUAGAGUAGCCAAGAAGAAUUAAGAUCCAAGAUCGAUUGUACCGUUCUUCAUCGAGUUGCCAAGACAAAUUAGGACCAAAAGCUGCCUGCUUUUGCUUUUGUAUCGUCUGAGCGAGAAGUGACAUUGUAUUCUUCUUCAGUUCCUUGGGUUUUCGAAUCUGGCUCUAACCCAUGAGCCAAUUGAGCUCAACUAUGAAUCUUCCGGCAGAGACAUCGUUACCUCCUCCGGCGGGUGUAACCAUAAAGGUCUCUUUUUUUUAUGUUUUGUGUUAAAAACACUCAAUUUCCUACCCAAAAAAUUAUUACAAAAAAUAAAACUCAAUUCUUUUAUGUUUGUUUUAAAUAGAGUUUACACUUUUACGAUCUCAUCAAUUCAAUGCAAGUGUAAACAAUAAAAAUGAAGCUCAAGUCAAUAUUGAAUAGUCCUCAACUUAUCAGCAUGUGUAAACUCAUACGUCAACACCAAACUCUCAUCCAUUCUCUUCAAUUCAAAUCUCUCAACCAAUACAUAACAUUUAUAACUCUUCCAAUGCGAUGAACCGCAUUCGAACCGAUCAAAUCUCUUAAGCUUUGCUCUGUUUCCGUCUAUCUUCUUCCACCCAAAACUCUCCUCUAAGCUUUCAAUCCUCUCCACAACCACUGACCUUAAACCUAUCUUCUUGUCUUGUCCUUCUUGAUCUUUAAUUUGGAACCAAACUAAACCUUUACCAUCCACAUUGGUUGUUUCUAUAUUGAUCUUUUGUCCCUCAACGUUAAUCACUUUAACUUCGACAUCAACGUCGACAACAACCUCAACACAAUCUUCAUUGUCAACAUUCUCGUACAAGAAAACCUCUUCCCACCUUUGAUGAAGCGUCAUGUUGUAAUACAUUGAUAUCUUCACUUGCUCUAUUAUGUCUCCUUCCUUCACAAAUAUGAAAGGCACGUACCAUUUCCCUACGACGACGCUUAUAUCAAGACCGGGGAGCUUAGAACGAAGCUCUACGUCAAGACCCUUUGCGUCAUCUAUGAGACCAAAGUCUUGUAGGGUCGAAGUCGAGUUUUCUAUUGCCCAGCCUUGUCUCAUUAGGAACGCAGGUAGUAACGCAUUAGGAUCAACGGGCUUUGCGAAAUAGUAACAACGGAAAUACGAUGAGGUAGUUGUGAUUACGACUUGCUGUUGAAUGUCAUAAGGAUCUGGCUGUGGCUUCUUAUACAUAUGAACAUGGUUAAAUCUAAUGCAGAAGCAACAUGUGACUCUCUCCACCUCUCUUUCAUUACUAUUAGAUGAUUCUCUGCAUGCAAAAAAAAUACAAGCGCUUUUUGAGAUUUUCAAAGCAUAUUAAUCUGGCAUAUUUGUUUCAAUACGAAAAUCAAGAAAGAUUGUCAAAUUACACAUGCAACCAUCCUAAAUAGUCAUACCUCGAGUAAUACCCGCACCGUUCAUAUGUGUAAUAACGGUUAGAAGAUAGAGGUUGACCAAGAACAGGUAUGAACACAACCGGAUCACGAUGAACAGUAUUGUUCUGUCCACCGUCGUCGCGUCUCACGGUCAACGCUGCGUUCUGCGGAAACGGUAAUCCUCUGAGGAAAGUCUCGUAGCAAAAACCAAAGCAACAAGUGGUCAACGAUUCUUCAUCUUGAAUCACAAGUAUGCCAGAGUUUGGACCUUCCGGUGGAGGCUUCUUAAGUUCCGACGGGUUUUUCCGGUACUCCGAUAAACACCUUGUAACAUACAUGAUGUUGUGUUUUAUGAUUUGUGUAAACAUAUAUUAUUAAUGGACAUUAUUAUAGGUUGCUGAAAUAUGUUGACUUUUGGUUGGUCAAAACUAUGCGCUGACUAUUCCUAAGUAGAAUGUUUUUGAAUAAAGGAAAUAGGAGGAGGAACUCAAUGCGUAAUUUCUAUAGGGUUUUAAAUUGCGAGCACAUAUAUGCCUUAUAGAACUCUUUGUUGUAGUCGUAUUACAAAAGUCAUAAAAGUCAACCAAUUCCUCAUGGGCUUGCAAACCAAAUUCAGUAACUAAUAUACUUUACUUAAUAUUUCAAAAAUAGUUUUCGUAUUUUCCCAAUGCAUAAAGCCAAAACUAGAACAUUAUACAAAAGUUCUACAUAAAUUCAACUAACACCGAUCAAACAAAGACAACAAUUGAUAAAGAAGAAAUACAUCACCGAUCUAACUUGGUCCAUAUCGAUCCAACGGUCCACACAAAAAAACGCAUUACCCUUAAGGUUUCUUUUAAGCUUCUUUACGCGUGAUCCUGUGGAUUAGCAAGACAAGAUGGAUAUAUUAAUUCAUUAUGUUUUCAAACAAGAAUUUUCACCUUUUUCAUCAAAAUUUUCACCUGAAGCAGUAGAUUCCAAGAGCCUCGGUGAUCUCAUGAAUGACCGAUGUUGCAAAGUGCAAGUAUAAAGCCACUGUUUCGCAUCAAUACAAAGUUGGUUUAUGAGUGCGAAAAAUCAAUAGCUAAAGAAGGUUUUUUCUUUUUAGGAGCAAACCUGUGAAUAUGCAGUAGCCAAGAAGAACCCAUAAUUCGUCCACUAGAGGAACCCUGUAACAUGAAGUUUCUCGAAUGUCAAAGACAACAAACAGAUGAACUUUGUGGGGAAAAUGUAAAGAGAGAAACAUACCCAGCAUUCAAUCUAGCGGUUAGAGCAUUUGCAAGCGCAAAAGGAAGAUAGAGUAGGGACUGCAUUUUUGAGAAAAAAGGUUUCAUUUCUGAAAUAAAUAAGACGGAGAAUUGGCGAGAGAAAAGUUAUCAGAUUUACCAUGCACAUGUUUGUUUUCAGUCCUUUUGGCUCAUCACACAAGUGAGCAAGAAUCAUUCUUCCCUGAAAAAGAAUAACAUACAGAUACUUAAGUUCUAUUACAACUUUUUUCGUAAUGAUUGUAAUAUUGAUCUAAUUUAAAGAGUUUGGAUCAAGACAUACCACUAGAAAUCCAAAUGCAAGUCCAGUUCCGAGUACAACUAAGUGAGGGUAUGUUGCUAUGAGAUUUAUUGGAGACAAGUAAUCCCUGGAAGAAAUAGGAUCCAAGUGAUUUUCAAUGACAAAUGAGAGAGUAAGAUUGUGUGGUCUUUCCAAAAGAGAAGAAAACAAGACUUUACCAUAUCAAAACUCCUCCAAGUAGGACAACAAAAGGAUACAACUGAAAACAAGAUUCAAAAGGACAUUAAUUUUGUUUCAUAAAUAAGUAACUGUAAAUCAACUGGUAGAUAGGAGAUUACCAUAGCUAAUGCCAACACCAUGCUCCCGUUUCUUGAUUGAACGACUUUGCGAACAUUUGACACACUGACAAACGCAACCACAUAUAAAACAGCUUAGUAACCACAAAAUUCACCACUUGAAACGACUCUAGUUGAACACUCAUGCUUUUUCAGUUAUAUUAUUACUGCCACUUUUGAGAAAGAAAUACUGAUCAUGUGAAAUAAUAUAUGUAUUGUCUGUGAAUCUAUUUCAUUAGCAAAGGGAAAAUUUUAUAUAUAUAUUGUUUUAAGUUUGGAAGACUCACUUAAACGCAACGGUCGGUAUAACAGCAAAAGCGAUCAUCAUGUAUAGCACUGCUCGGGAAGUUUGGAUCUCUAAAACAUAGAACAAUGAAGAGCUCAAAAUCAAGAAAUAACGCUGGAAAAAAGUUGUAGGGAAAGCAUGCCACAGAUCUUCUUACCAUUCACAAAUGGCACCCAACCAAACAAAGGUAUGGACUGCCCCAGCUGCUGAGCCCACCAUUCAGCACCUUAAGACAGAAAAAAAAAGAAGAAGAAUGAAGUUGAUGAAAGACCAAACCCAAGUAUAGAAAGAAUUUGGUCAAAGAUUGUCCAAGCAUUUGCAAUAGGGGUGAAGCUUUUAAGGAUUGCAGACAAGAAAGAAGCAUACCAACAAUGGCUGUGAAGAAGUGGCUGACAAAUAUAAGUGCUAGACCCUCUGUAGGCCCAUUGAUAACCGGAAGAAUAAGUGUGUUUGUGAAAUAGCUAGAGAAGGGUAAGGAGAAGUAUAAGAAAUCUCUAAAAAAAAAUUUACACAGAAUAUAGAUGUUUUAGGAGACAUAAGCAGGAAGUUGCAAGCAGUACUUACUGUUCCCAGGUAGCUCCAUAAAACGGAAUAGCUGAAAUAACCCAGAACCAGAAAGUAUCUCUUCCACACAUUGCGGUGCUUCCAAAUGCCAUGGCUUCAAACUGUUUUCAUUGUAAAACCUUCAGCACGAUUCCAAGACGACUAAUAUAUGGAUAAUUAAGAUAACAGCAGUGUUAAUUUCAUACCGCACAAGCAAGUGCAUCACAACCUGCAAUAUUGGAACACAUGUCAGCAAAAUCUAGAAACAAACUGAAGACAGAUAAUCAAAGGAAGAACAUAGGAAAAAUAAAUCACCAUGAUCGAAAAGCUCUCCUAGGGGGCUAGAGGAAUUUGUCCUUCUUGCUUGCUUCCCAUCAACCGCAUCGAAUGUCUAAUCAAAGCUCCAAAGGUGCCAGGAAAAAAACUUAAACCACCUUCACAAGCAGCUAGAAAACAAGUUCGACUUUUCAAAAGAGGGAGGCGCAGACCUGAUACAGGAAAAGAAGUAAACCAUGUGCGAAGUGAACCCAUCGUGGAGGAGGAGAAUCCAACUGAGGUGAAUAUAUCUGAGACAGAUAAAGAAAAGAGUCUUCAAAACAAUAUCCAUAUGCAGAAGGAGGAAAUGUUUACAAACAAGAAAACAACCAAACGCUUCAAGAGACUAAAGAACCAUGACUCACAUAGCCUAGCAGAGAAGAUGUGACUAGAAACAUAAACCCCAUUAGCGUUAUCUGCGAAACAACAAAAAGAAAUUAACAAAAAGUCAGAAGUCCUUAACUCGAACAUACUGACUAUACCACAUAAACUAGAAUGGGAAGACAAGGAAUUACUUAUUACCAUGUUUGGUCUGGAUAUGGUUCAAAGGCAGUAACAGAGAAACACACAUGAAAAGACAAGCAUAGUAAAAACACAAGUCAGCAGAUAACCUCAAUAAGUAAAACUAAAAGGAAUGAGACUUUUUAUAUAGGAAAUAGCAUCAAAGAGAUACACUUACGGCAUCCAUAGAGGGAAGACUUUGACAAAUCGGGUCCAAAAAGGUUGAAGCACGUACUUGGCAAGAUAAGAGUGAUCCACUCCACUGUAUUUGUACCUAUGAAGAGCUGCUACACCAUGAGCUCCUAUGUAACCCAUUAUUGUCUACUGCUGAUUCAUAAAACAAGAUUCCCUCAAUUCUAAUCCCCAAAAUGGAUAUCAAAUUUUACUGUCAAAAUUCAAACUAAAAGACAUUAUUAAAGCAUGGAUCUCGAGUGUCUCACUGGCACUUUUUUAGAUUCCCUAACGCUAAACCAACAAAAUGAGCAUAACCCAUCUACAAAAGAACAAAACUUUGCUCGAACUGAGACGGUACAUUCGAGAUUUGGGUAGAAUCUGAAUUCAGGAUCUUUUUGCUACAGAGAAGAGUACUUACGACGGGUCCGGCGGUUCUUGGCGGCAAAAUCAGAUUACGAGCCUUUCUCGUCUCGGUUGUCUGAAAAGAGAGUGGAAAGAGACAAAGAGAGCGACGUAAUCUCUCUCUCUCUAUUGCCCUAUAGAGCGGCGAAGCGGGACGAGAGGACCAGAAGCAAAGGAGAGGGCUUUGCGUUUCUUCCGCGUUUCCCACACGUGUUAACGAUAUUUCCUUUUUCCAUUUUGAUUAUUAACUAUCAAUUUCAGUAUUUACAAAUAAAAAUAUCUUUCUAAAGCCGACAACAACAAAAUAAUAAUACAAAAAAUUGAUCAGAGUAUCAGACAAUGUAAUGUUGUUGUUGAUGUUUAUCGCCUUUAAACCCGCAUCUAACUUGAAUGUUAGUUGUGUAAUCUUUGGAGCAAAUGAAAAAUGAGAAAGAAGUAAUAUCAAAGUCUCCGAAACUAUUACAAACUUUAUUUACCAUAUUCGAUCAAAUUACAUUGAAGUUACUCUUGUGGAUCCAACAGUUUUUGUCAUUUAUCCACACAAUCAUAUAUUUUUCGCCAACAGAUUCUCACGAAAACAUGUUUGACAUGAUUAACAUAUAGGAAGAGAGAGAGAAGGAGAGUCUGAUUCAAUCUUGAAGGAAGAGGAACUGGGCUCGAGGAGAAACACGCGGAUACCUGAGCAGUUCGACAACCAUACCCAUUUUCGCAUCUUUGUCUAUUAAACUCGAUGAUACUACGAUUGUCUCCAAAACUGGAGAAGUUCCCAGCAAGAAUCUGAUAAAUUCCAACUCAUUUCUGAUGCCAGAAACAUCCGUCAUCUUUACAGUUUCAAGUCUUGGGAGUUGGUAGUCGAAAUAGUCUCUUUCGAAAAGGUCAAAACCUUCUUCUUCAAGAGGAAAAAGUUGGAUGGGUGAAGCCUGAAAAGAUUACAGAAGAUGAUGGAUUGGUGGUAAUAGCAAUUUAUGGCCACAUUACGAAACUCUGAAAGAGAAUUAACAUACCGAGAUUUUGAGCUCUUUAAGGUUGGGAGCGUGAGUCACCAAACGAAGAAGAACUAGUACCUCGUUAGCAUCUUCAAAACUUACUUGGUAUAGUUCUAUAGUCUUAAGAUGAAUGUAAGUAAUUGGAAGCCUUCCCGGGUCAUCUCCUAUGCUCAAGUACUGAAAUCAAAGAAAGGAGAAUCAUAAAUUUUUUGAUAAUGAUAAUGUCUUAAAAUACUAAGAUGAAGGGAAGUUACCUUUGUAAAGUAGAUAUAACCAACGAGCUUCUCAAGAAGGGGCACACCUCCAAGGAACUUAACGAGAUUAUAAUCAGAACUCUGCUCAAAAUCAGUAACAUCCUCAUGCAUGUACAUUGAAACAGAUAUUGCAACUAGCUUGGGAGUAUUCCUAAGGAAAAUGUCUUUGAAUUCACCAUCUAGAUACAAGUACAUGAGAUUCGGAGCUGAUAUACUCAAAACCAAACUGUCAAAGUAAGACAAAGACAGGAACUCCAGAAGCGGACAUCCCGAGAUCAGACUUUCAAUCACCUCAGGAGCAACAAGGAUUUGGUGAAGGUUCAAACUCUUCAGAGACGAAAACCCUUUGAAAUACCGAGGUGGAUCGAACUCGCAGUGACAUAACUCCAAACGGGUCAGUUUCAAACAGCUAAAGAGACACGAAGGAACCCUGAAUUCCCCUUCACCUAACUCAAGAACAAGCUCCUUAAUCCCAUUCCUCGAAAGAAAAAGCAACCACUGAUCAAUAUCCGGACGGCAUUGCAGGAAAGAAGUAGAGAGCUGAAACUUAUGGAUAGGUCCUUGGUGAAGGAGAAGCACUCCAGUUACGAAUCUGACAAGAUUGGUCUCAACAACGCAACGGUCAUUAGAAGGAGAAACACAUUUCUCAUCAAAGACAAGAUCAGUGACCGUAGACCAUUUAUAUCUCCAUUUGCUAGACAACACACUUGUUCUUAUCGCAUCUCUAAUAGAAAGACGAGUAAGGAUAUUCUCAAUUAUACUUUGAGGUAGAUCGCUUAUGAAAUCUGGUGAUUCACCCAUCUAAAACAUGAUAACACAUACAAAAAAUCACAUCAAUGCUCAUUACAUGCAAAACAGAACAACAAAAAAAGUUCUUGCAUUUGAUUCCAAACCCAGAAAAUUGAAGAAAUUAACCUCAACAAAUCCAAUCCCCAGAAAAACCCUUCAAAACCUCUAAACCCUAAUCACCUAUCUUUCAAAAUUUACCAUUUCUCAAUAAGAUAGGAAAAAAAGAGUCCACCUUUGAUCAAUGAAAGGGACACUGUAGAUUGCGAUAUUUUGCAAUGCAACAAAACCAAAAUUUACAAGUUUUGAUAACCCAGAAAAAGAAUAAGAGAAAAAAGUCUCAACCUUUUUGGGUCUCCUUUAUCUGGUUUUGUCGAGCGGGUGACUGACUUGAUCGGUGGAGUUCAAGUUAGCAGAAGAUCGCAGAUUUUGCUCUCAUCAUCGUUUUACUACAUUUUCAUUUCUUGCUUUCGCGAUUAAAGGUUGCGUUUGCCGUUUUGGUCGAUAUGUUAUUUUUCUAAUCUCGCCUCAAAGACCGCGCGUUACAUUACAUAAUUAUAUAGUAUUUUAUGUAUGUAUUUAUUUUGUCCUAGACGAUAACAUAAUUAUAUAGUAUUUUAGUAUCCCAUACUUAGCGAACAAACUCAGGUUGAAGAUAAAAAAUGGCAAUGGGCCAUGAAGCCAAUGAUAACAUUGUAAGAAACAUGAAUCAAUUUGAUAUUCUAUUAUGAACGGUGAGUGAUACAAAACGAGAAAUGAAUACAAAUACAAUCAAGGAAGAUUUGGAAUUUGUUCAGGAUACAUACAAGUAAAUACAACUACAAUAUUAGGGUCGCAUCGAACCGAUUUCCAAAUCUUUAAGAAUGAGAGAUCCUAAAUCCAUUCUGUUCCAUGAGUUGGUUCAAUGUUGGAGAUUGGAGACUCUUGCUCGGUCUAUGUACUCUCUUAUCCUCCAUUAGUGAUCAGAAUCACAGAAACAGAACAAAAGAAUCUGAACAUGUUAAGAGAUAACGUCGUGCUUUUACUUUUCAUAUUAACCAGUUUCUACCUUUGUGAUCAAAUCAGUCUUCGUGUUCUUCUUCGCCUUCAGAAUCUGUAAGGAAAAUACAACUUUGAGGGUUUAUUCUUCAUUUGGAUGGCGCGAAAGAAACCCGUAUUAUUACUGUAAUCCAAUUCUUACCAGAUCUGACAUCUUCACUAAGCUUGCCUCUAUCUUGUAUUUGUUUCACAAGCAUCCGAUACAUCAAAACCCACCAAUAUAUGUGAAGAACAAGCAAGCAAUAAAGGAGAGUGUUGAACAUGUAGUAGUAAAUUGGUCCUUCGAUCGGGUGCUUGUCCUUAUCAAGCUCCAAAACUACUUCAUAGCUGAAAAAAAGAUGUAAUACAUACAUAAGGGGACAUAUAAUUCGAGGAAAACUAUGAAAAGGAUAUCAAGAUAUACAAACCUUGUGCUCCAUAGGAUCCAAAAGGGAUAGUAAAUGAGGCGGAGAAUGAUCCAAGACAAAACAAAAAGAAUGAAUGAAAAGCUGGCAAUGCUUUCUGCUCCACUAUAUUUAGACAUUUUCCCCACUUCAAGAAACACAUCACUAGCGUCGUGAAGUGCCAGAACAACAGAACCAACACGGGAGAAACUAUACAAAACAAGAAAGAUCAAAACAAUGUGGACCAAAGGAAAUUAUAUCUAGUUUCUCCGCAUAGUGAUGUGACAGUGGAAGCAUACCUACAUACGUAUGAGAGGACAAUAAGAAUGAGAGUGGCGAUAUGAUGACCCAUUGAAACUCCAAAAUCAGAACGCCUCGUUUCCCAGAAAAUCAGAGCAAAGAUGGAAUAUGUAUAGAAACCAGCCACAAACAUAUACAAAAACUUCAAUUUUAACCUGCAUGAGAAUAGAUAUCAAUCAUGUCCAAACGCAAUCACAAAAAAGAGAGUUGUGGUAUAAAAAAGUAAGGCCUUGGGAACCAUUCUUACUUCGUUUGUUGAUCAGGCCAAGUCUGAUCUCCAGGACCUACCCAAAAGUAUUUAGUGUUCAUAAACCAAGGCUCAUUGUAAGUCACAGAUAGAGCAAGAAUCUCAGCUGAUAGAUAGUAAACACACUUCCAUGCCGAUUCUUUGAAUUUUCUGAUCUUCUUCUUUCUCUCGGUUGUGUCAUCUCCCAUAUCUUGCCUAUGUUUUCCAUAGAUCAAAUGGUUUGCCAAUUUCUACAAAUACCAAUUCAUCAAAAGUUCAAGUUAAAAAGGAAACCCACACACACAAAAAAAAAAAGGAACUUUCUAAAAAUCACUACUUGAAAGUAACCAAAAGGCACACAUGAAUGAUGCAGAACAAAAGAGAGGAUACAACACAAUCAAGUGUCAGCAACAUCACUAACACACCUACAUUCAUCCUCACAUACACUGAACAUUUGUCAAAAGUCGAAAAAGAGAUACACUUUCACUUUCAGAUACAAUCAUUCUUCUUAGUAAAGCUAUUUUAUAAACUUUUAGCUGAAGCAACAAUCACAUAAAAGCCUUACAGAAACAAAGCAAUCAUUUUUAAGACACUAACUAAAAGAGAGAUAUCACAAAACAAUCUUAAAGAGAGACACUAUCACAAAACCUUCAUUAGUGCCUCGGAUCUCAAGUGUAAAAGAAGAUAUCUAACUAUUACCUCGAAGACGAAUCUAUCGAGGAGAAAUCGAAUCGUAGGGAAGAAGACAGCGAAAAGAGGAAGAACACGAAAAUCCUGGUAAACCGGAGAUGAUUCGAGCUCCCAGUUGAUUGAUUUCACCGAUUCGAACAAACCCAUCUCCGAAAGUUCCUCUCUUUAACCCGAUUUUGUCGAGAUACAUCAAUCAGAAAACUUCUUCCGGAGAAAAAGGGAUCUCCUUUAUAUUUCUGAUUCAGGUGGGAGUUGUAAUGCUACUCCAAGUACUACUACUACGCCAACUCCUCUACCAAAUUGAUUGAUUCUUACCAACUUAUGUAAAUCAAAUUUUGCUCAAGUAGGAAAAGUUUGUGCUAGUCUGUUUUUUUUUCAAAGAUGAAUCUUUCUUCCUUGAACCUUCUGAUACGUUUAGAGUCUUCUCUACUGUCAACUUUUUGAUUUGUCAACGCGUUAAUAAAUAUUUAAAAAGUUUUGGUAAUGUAAUAAUUCGUUUCUUUUUAGCUGGCCAAUAAUGAAGUUUAUUAUUUUCUUUUCUAGAUUGAUGAUAUACUAAUUAUGUUAAUUGAAAGUAGAAUUGAAUCAAUUGAUCAUUAUUGCAUGGAAUCACCUUGUGAAAAUAAUGAUUCGUUUUUGGUUUAUUUUUCUGAGAUUGAUAUAAUAAUAUGUUGACUACAAACAUAAUUAGAUAUAUCUAUAUUUAUAUAUAUAACUAUAUUUGUUUGGGUAUCAUCAUCUAUGAAUAAUGAAAAAAAAUGAAAAUAACUAAGGAUGAUGAUGAUGAUUAGAAUAUAGUAUGAGAAUUUCACCCGUUCAAAAAAGAAUAGUAGUAUGAGAAUCUCAAUUAAUUCGGCUCAUUAUUGUGUUUCACACUCGUUAAAAGCUUUUUUGUCCACACAUGCUCCUAACUCAGUCGGUGAUUAUACUACUUUACUUUAAAACCUUGUUUUUGGUGGCCAUAUCGUCACAAUGCAGGUUCGAGUGUUUUUUUUGUUACACUAUAUUAUCAUAUCAUACCAUUGGAAAACAAUUUAAAACUUGAAAUUAGAAUAGAAAAGACAAGAAAAAGAAAAAAAAAAUCGAUCAGACAAGAAAAAGAAAGAUAUAUAAAAACAUAGUACAAAACAACUAUAUUAAACUAUAGUAUAAAAAAAAGUUGCAUGAUGUUUCGAUAUAUUGAAAGUCACAUCGAAAGAAGAAGAGGUGACAUUCCCAAGGAGAAAUGAAAGCGUUGACACCAAGAUGCCAAAGUUUGACUUCCCUCUCUCUCUCUCUUUGUGCUUCAUCGAUCUUUCCUCCUUCUUCAUGAUGAUGAAACGCCCAUUUCUCUAUACAGCAUUUAUGAUCUAUCCAGCCGCAUCUUUAUUACUAUAUUAUAGUAACUGUUAUAUACUAAAGUCAAAUAUCUCUGUAUAUAGGGUACAAUACAUAAUAAGCUAUCUGUAUGGAGUAUAAGAAGGCCUUUUAACAAAACAAAAAAUAUGUAUGGGGUAUAAAAGAACACUUUAUUCAACUCUUAAUUAGAGAGAAGAAGAAAGAAGAUAAGAAAUGAUGAAGAAGAAAAGUGAAGUGGUGAUCUUCUUAUUCACUCUAGUAUUGCUUCUAAGCAUGGCUUCACGUGUUAUCUCAAGAGAAGAUGGUGUUUCUCCUCCCAAACCAUCUCCCUCCGCACAUGUAAGUUCGUGAAUACAAUCAUCUGUUCUUCUCUUUUUCUCUAUGGGGUUAAUUAAAGGGUUUUGAUACUAUAUGGUAUACUCUCAUGUAACUGAGACUGUCAACUAUCAAAGUAAUCAAAUAUCUAUCUUCCCUUGAAUACAAUUCUGAUUAGUGAAGAGAUAGAGAUUACGUUUAGUUUCACAACGAAAAGGAAGAGAAAAAUUGUAUAGUUUUGGGCUGGAAUGAUGUUAAGUUGUGAACUAUUGUAUGUACGUAUUCAGUUAUUACUUUCAGCAUCUCUCUAGUUUUUUUUUUUUGGUGGAUCUAGGAGGAAUCAAGAAACAGUAAAGGUGAUGGAGAUAGAGUAAUAGAGUGCAAGGAUUCAGACAGUGAAGAAGAAUGUCUUGUGAAGAAAGCGGUAGCUGUUCACACCGAUUACAUCUAUACACAAGACUUAAACCAAUCUCCUUGAAACAAAAACUAUUACUAUUUGUCUUUUAUUUAACAAACUAUAAACGUAAGCAAAGGUCUCCUUGACCAUGUGUUUUCAUGACUUCAUGUUCUUUAUUCUUUCAUUCUAGUCUUCCAUUAGUUUCUCCGAGGUUGGUCAAAGUUUAACUGGGCUAGAUGACCAAGAAACUUUAGCUGUUCGGACUAGAAAACAAAACAAAAAAAUUUGGGCUUUUUUUUUAUUGUUAUAGGCCUAAAUAAAAGCUUAUAGCCAUCCUGUAAUAAAACAUGCAGAAGGUUAAAUGGAUAGAAUAUAAAAGAAGGUAGUCUGGCAAUAUAAAGGCUGAGUGAUAUCAUUACAUAUGUAACAAACUAUUAAUAUGGAAAAAGGAUUACACAUAUGUAAAAAAAAAAAUUGUUUUUCUGUAUAUUUUUUAUAAUAUUCUUUUCAUUUUAAAUUUGGAAUAUAUAUAUUUUGUUUUGAACUUUUUAUUUUUGCAGAGGCACUAUCACCAGGAGCCUCCACCUCCCUUUGUCUAAAUUCAUUCAACUACCAAUACCAUCCACCAAGAUUUAUAGUCUUAUAUUCAAACAUUGACAACAACAAAAAAACCAAGAUUGCUGAUUCAACAAAUAAUAUGCAUUUUCUUGGCAAUAUGUUGCGUUAUAUAUAUAUAUAUAUGAUACAUCAGAUAUAAACGAACCCGCAAAAACUGAACUUUCUUUUAUUCGGCCAAUUAUAUCGAUCCAAAUAUACUUCCAAAGUUAGAAUAAUAAUCAACUUUAAAAAAGAUAACAGUGCGUAGCCAUAGAAUAAUCUAUCUUCAACGUUUAUGAAAGCAAAAGAACGUACGUAUAAAACCAAGCACUUUACCCAAAAAAAGAAAGUACGUAUAAAACUACGUCGAAGAUAAUUUUAUAUAAAUUUUUUCAGUAGUGUUUAGUGUUUUAUGAUGUACACAUUGACCCUCUCUCUCUUUUGAUUUGAUGUGUUUUGGGUUCAGAAGAACAUUAAUUCGUCAGGUGAAAAUUUUGAGGGAAAAAAAAAAACAAUUUCUAGGUGGCUUUGUCAAACUCGAAUUGGUGAUGCGUAAAUGGCUAAAAAAUUUAUUAAAAAAAAAGUACAAGAAAAUAAGAAAAAGAUGGUAAUGAUUAAACCGUUGAUUAAAAUUAAAAAGAAGAAGGUCCACCAUUUUUAGCAAAUCAAACUUCAUCUUAUAUCGUUGUUUGCCAUGAAUGUUUUGUCCUUAAUGAUGUAAGUCUAUUUAUGCGGCGAACUGAAAUUUUUGUGAGUAGGGUUUUUUUUUUUUUUUGUAGGUUCAAGUUAAAAAAUUUGAAGAAUUGUUAAUUAAGCACAUUUGGUAUAUUUGAUAAUCGUAUUAUCAAAAUAUUGGUACAGACGAAUUUAUUGGUAACCAAGGCGUACGUGUACACUUUAAUUCUUACAAUAUCAUAUAAAAGUAGAAGUACGGACAAACUAUAAAAUAACAGAAAUAUUUCUUUAGUUUUCUUGAAAGUUACAUUCAACUGAUCGAGAUUUCGUGUCGACCAAACAUAAGUAAUACUUUAAAAAUAUUAAACAUAUAUAUAUAUAUGUCAUCAGGGGAACCUAUCGUCCCAGUGGAAUUAAAAUUCACAUCGUUAACCUAAAAUUUGUAAUUAACACAAUGAUAUUGUAAGUUUUGAAUGUUUUUGAGGAAAUUAUAUAGAAUAUUUGUGGAUGCUUAUCAUUUGAAAAGGGUUUUAAAUUUGAGAAUAAUAUAAUAUGUAUUGUAUCGUAUGCGCAUGAUCAUUAAUAUUAUUCUUAACUAACUCAAGUUGGCUAAAAGAAAAAGAUAUAGAAGAAGAUUUUUGUUUCUGCGAUAGAGAAUAAUAUUAAUAAUAUUAUUAUAUCAUAUAACACAAUAUGAUCCUUAUGAAAUCUACAUUCUUGAGAAAAGCAGAACAAUGAUCAAGAUCAUUAACACAACUCAAAAUCUCUGCCUCUUUGGCUCGAAUCUGAUCUAGAGUUCGAUAUAGAAUCUUCGAGCUCUCUUAGAAAACUGUUGUCUUCUUCGUUGUUUGACUUAAUCUCAGAGAUAAGCUGUCUGAGAUCAGAAGUUUCUUCUUUAAGCUUAGCGUUCUCUUUUAAGGCAAGCUCAUGGCUUUCAGAUACGCGGUUCAGCUUAUCGAUAAGACAGUGGUUAUCAGUACGAAGUCUUAUCACUUGAGACCAAAGCUCAUCGAGAUGUCUCUGCUUUCUCAUCCUUGACCUACGAGCGGAUUCUCUGUUAGAGAUCAUUCUUCUUUGUUUCCUCUCAUCGAUGAUCAUGCUUUGUUGGUGAUCUUCGUCCGAUGUUGAGUUGUUGCUGGCCAUUAGAUCUUGACCGUUGGAUGAUGACGAGUAGUUGUUGUUGUUGUUGAUCAGACCGUUGAGGUGGUAGAAGGAGGAAGAAGAGGUAGGAGAAGAGGGCAUGUUGAAGUACUCAGACUCCAUGACUGGUGUUUGGUUAUUAUAUUUAUCCGGUGGUAGAUAAUGGAAGUAUCCGGUGAGUUCCGCCGGAAUUGUAUUCAUGAUCUUUGCUUUGAUUUGUUUCGAGAUUUGCCUUGCGUUGUUGUAAGAUCCUUUGUGUGGUUUUUUAGAGAGAUAGAGAGAGUGGUAGAUUUGUGUGUUGUGUGAAGUGGUUUUGAAGUGAGAGGAAGAGAAGAGCCAAGGGUUUUAUAGACGUGGCCGGAGGAAGAGUUAUGUAGAAAAUAGUGUUGAAUAUAAAUCAUAUUAUAAUAAAUAUAUAUAUUAGAUACAGAAAGAUUAGUUAAUUUUAAAAGGAAGCUGUAGUACCAUGAUUUGUAAAUACCCUAGAAAGAAAUAUAAUUAAUUAAUAUGGUGUUAUAAAAAAAAAAGCAAUUUGAUUAUAUAUAGUUAUAUACGACAAACGUAUUGUUUCUUUAGAGAUUGUUUUGUAGAAUAACAAAGUUAAUUGUGUUUAGGUGGACUAACUUUUGUUUUUUGGGUGGGUUUGAUGGUAUUGUGAGACGAUGUCUCUAAAAUUCAGCCAAUUUAUAUUUUAUUUUGUUGCAUAUGGGUUUCUAGCAAAAGAAAAUUUACUGACUUCAUUUUUUCUCUAGAGAAUCAAAAUUACAAGCACUUUUUUUUUUUUUGGUGUGAUAGAUAUUAGGGUUUAGAUAAAUAUAGGCUCUUACUCAUUUUUCCCCAAAACAGAGAUUCUUACUAAUUAUAGCUAUGAUUGUCUUAUGUCAUAUCACCAACCAUAAAUAUUCUUCGUGUAUUAGAUAAAUUACUGUGGAAGCUAGUGUAUAGCAAUCAUAGUCCUUGAGAAAUUGUUUAGUAAUGGUGAUCAUAGCCAACAAAUAAAUGUAUUCAUGAUACAAGACAAUACUAUUGUAUUGCCGUAAUUGUUGUAUAGUUCUUACGUACCUAUUUUACGAAACCGAGUACAAACACUUUACAAUCACUUUUACCAUUGUUUGUGAAAAAUUUAAGAAACAAAAAGAAAAAUGGUGGGGUUUCCACUUACGACCCUGUUUCAAGAAGUCUUUAUUUUUAUGAUUGGAGAUUAAACCGAGAUGUAGAUUAAUUUUAAGAAUUUGUAUCUAUCAACAUGUAAUAUAUGCAGUAGUUAAAAAACAUCAAUAUUGAAAAUUUCUUAUAACUUAGAAAGGUCAAUAACUUUUUUCUCCCAUUCAUGAUUAAUAGUAGUAUAAUUAGAUAUGAUUUUGUGUUUGUGUUAUCAUGAUAGACUUGACUGAAUGAAGUAUAUGUUACUUGAGUUAUGUAGCUCUAAUCUACAAGACCACAACUACUCCAUACUUUUUCAAUGCAUAUAUGUUUCCUAAAUUAUCUAGUAAUCAUUAAUCAAGUUAAUUUAAAAUUAAUUUGGUUUUUUCCCACUAUUGGACUUAACUAAUACAUGCUUUCGUUUUUUCGUUUUUAAAUCAACGAUAGGAUAAGUUUUACAACAAGUAGAAGACAAGAGAGACCCCUAGAUCCAUCUCUCCCUCGCUCUAUAGAUAUGUCCAUCAAAUAAAUAAAGUAUAUUAAUAAUUAUCAUAUAAAUCUUUUAAGAAACUAAGGAAAUCAAAUUACUUUCAUGCAUUUCUAUAUUACAAUGUUUUCUAAUUCUGAUCGAAAAACGAGUUAGCAAAGUUCGUAGAGUCAUCGCGUUAGUCCGGUCAGAUGGGAUAAUUAUUGUAGAUAAAAAAAAAAAAAAACUCAAAAACAACGGUUCAAUAGUAGCAAUACCAUAAUCAAAUAAAACCCUAAUUUCAGAAAAAAUCAACAGUGAAACUAGUUUAUGUAUUUUUAUCCAGCUUCCACUCCAACAGUGCUGACAGCCAAACUCACCAUUCAGCAUUUAACAGCACAGCUUCGUCCAUCAACAUUAGACUCCAAUCACACGUACAUUAUUCUAAUAUUCAUAAACGAUUUUAACGAAGUUAUGUAAUCCAUUCCAUACUAAUCGCAUCCUGUGUGUUCUGAGUGUUAGUAUAGAUUCCAAAACAUGUUUGAUCUAUUACGUUAGUUCAUUGUCCGAACAAAAUUUGGCAAAAAAGAGACAAAUGGGAACACAGAUAAGAUGUGAUUUGAUAAAUCAGACAAUGAAAUUGUUACGAGUGGGUCCAAACAUUUUGUAGUGACGCCUCAUGGCCGGCGCACCAAUUCACCGAGACACAACUUAAACAUUUUACUUCUAACAUGCUUACAUGCUUUCAUAGUCUAUACCACAAUUGAGUUCUUAUUAAAAAAGAAGACACAAAUUGGUGCAAUACUUUCCAUUGACUUUAAAAGACUUCAGCCUACUUUAAUUUGACCCUAGCCGACGAUAUUGUGUUCCUUUCAUUAUUGGCGAAUUCAGCGGUAAAAUUGUUGGUGUCAUGUCGACUACAAAUUUACAACCUGAGUUUUUUACUUUUACCGCUGUAAAAAUUCAGUGUUUAGUCAUUUUGUGGAUAUCAUAUAUAUGUUGUUGUUGAUUUUUUUUGAUAUUGCAGUCCAUUAUAUAUAUCAUAAAUUUCACAUAUAGAAAAUUUAAGCGUUAUAAUAUAAACGUAUAUAUUUAAGUUCACAAAAUUUUGUUUAGGUUGCAUACUUUCAAUUUUUUUUUGGUAAGAUGCAUACUUUCAUUUUUCAUUGACCAUAUGUUCAUUUAAAGAUUUGUUCGUAGCAUAAUAUAGAAAAUAAAAAACAAAAAAAAGUCCCGUCGAAAUUACGGGAUAAAAAAAUAAAGUUUAUAUGUGAUAGGACAACACAAGUAGGGACUGUGUUGAGCACGCGUCACCGGAUAAUUUUCUCUAAUUUUAUAUGAAAAAAUUAAUGGAAAACAAAGUUUCAUGUUUGUUUUAGUAACUUUCAAGUUUCAACUAUAACCAUUUAUUAGAGAGACAUUGAGAAGAGCCUAUGAGCCUAUGGUACAAUUGUAGAUUAUUGAAGAGUACCAAUUUGCAAAUAACAUUAUGACGACUGUCUCCACUUCCCCCACUUCACUACAAAGCAUCUCCCAUUUUUACAUAAAGUUUCCCUAUAAAUAUUUUGAUUGGACUAAAGAGGAUAAGCCUGUUUUUUUUUUCCUCCAUGCUAAAAACAACUUGUGUUCUGUGUUGAUCUAGACCCAUCUUCGUUGUAUGCCUCAAAUAUCACUCUAGAAGAUGUCACUAACCCUAAAAAAAAAAAGUAAUCGCUAAAGAUCACUAUGUUUUUCUCUGUUUGGAAAAAGAUUUGAUAUCAAAUCAACUGUUUCGAUCUGGCCACACCUAAUCAAUCAAGUAGUCAUACCUUUUUUCUCUUCUUAAUAUUUCUUGGUCUUCUUCGUCAUAGUUUUAACUAGUAAUCAUAAAUUUUAGACACAGUCUCGUAUGUAUAUUGCAAUUUACACAAUUAUACCACGAUUAUAAUGAAAUCACUAAUAGAAUAUUUAUGACGUUGUUAUAAUUUUUUUUUACGAAGGACGUUGUUGGUAUCAAGACACACUUUCAGAGCAAACGAAUAGAUAAAUAAAUAUUUAUAUAUAAUACAAACGUUUAACUACAACGUUAAAGUUUUAUAAGCUAAAAAAAACCCCUUUGCGUACGGCACCUCAUCUAGUUGAUGAUUAACUUCUAAUCUUCUUGGUUAGGCAAUCAAAAUUAAGUAGUGAUCCACUAAAACUUCAGCCACUAAUUAAUUUAACCAAUUGCUCAAUUGAUUUAAUUUAUACGGGGGCUAAACGGCUUAACCUAUCUUUUUAAAUUACGUAAAACACUUCGCCAGUUCUUUCUGUGUUUUUGUCGACACGUGUCCGCCGUAGCAAAUUAAUUAAAUAUUUCUAUGUGACAUUUUAACAUAUUACUAGGGAGUUUAAUUAAUUAAAGAUGAAAUAAUAGGUCACGGUCAAGUCAGGUGUGUUACCUAAACCUAGUAUUUAAGAUGCCUUUGUCUCAUAUUGUAAACCAGAAGACGUGCGAUUAUACCGUAACGUGUCUCUAUCCAUCCGUAUUUUUAUAUAAUAUGAAGGACUUGGGCCUUUUACCUUUUCAAGAUAUAUAAAUCUAAUUUGACCUUUUCUUUAAUUAUAAUCUCAAUUAGAUAAUUAUAGUGUUGAAAGAAACUCUUCAGUCUUCAUUAGAUAUUAGUUGUUUUUUUUUUCUUUUUUUUUGUUAUAAAAGAAUACUACCAAUUGAUAACAAAAUUUACUAAAAACAUUGAAUUCUUACCAGUGAGUAAAUAAAUAAAAACACAUACAUCAUUCUCAAAGAAAUAUAUAUUUUUUAGCUACACAAACAUAUAGCUAAAACUCAUCCUCAGUCUACUUACUAGAUUUUUAUUUUAUUUUUUGUUAUUAAAUAGCUCAUUGUCACAUUGGUUUUGUACUUAAUUUAAGAUUGUAUAAUUGGAGUGGGUGUUUAGUUUAGCGAGAAGAGGCAGUAUAUUAGAGUGAUGGAAUUUGACUUGAAGAGGCAGAUUAUCCAAAGCUCCAAACCAUUACAUAUCAAACCACAAAUUUAAAAUAUUUUAUUCAAACAGUUCUGAAAAAAGGUAGGUGAAAAACUAAAAAAACAAUUUCAACGAAGGAGAGCCACAUAAUUUAUCUCUGAUGAACCCCACGCACGAAGAAACCAAUUGGUAAGCGACAAGAAAAUGUAAAAUAUAUAUUUAAGAAGAUGAGUGAUCUUGGAGGAGAAAACAAAUCGGGACAAGGAUUUGUGUUUAUUUAAUUAGUGUAAAUAAAUCAUUGGCACCUUUGAACCUAACUGCUGCGAACUGGCGUCAGCAGAUGUCAACAUCAAAACGUUGGAAACUCCAUUCUCUCAAUUAGAAGAUUUAUUUAAUAUAAAAAUAAUCAUCAUUUUUAUAUGUAUUGUGUAAUGCUUUAUAGUUUUAAAAUAAAAGUUCCAAAUGAUAGCAAUUUGGGGGGAAGUGGAUUAGAUCCUAAACCCUUUAAUUAUCAUACCACUAUUUCUAAGGUCUUAAAUCCUUAGUGUGUCUCUUUGUAAUAGGAGUUCAUGGACCUAUAUGCCUAGAUAUGUAAAACAAAUUCGAAAAAAAGAAAAGAAAGAGUUGAUACAAAGUAUGAUCGAACAAUAAAAAAUAUACUUCUAAAUAUGUUAUGUUAUGUUAUUCCCUUUACGAGGCAAGCCAACUUCACCAAUCACCACGGUAAGAGCUCGAAUCAUUUUCUUGAUAACAUUAUGCUUAGGUCAAAUCAUGCCUCUCUAUUUUUAGAUCAAGGCAUACAUAUCCAUUCAUAUUCUGCUGUUUACAGAGGUAUGUACGAACAUAUCUUGAUUUAUUUAUAUAUUUUUAAUAAAUAUAACUUUAUAAUGUUCCUUUUCCGGCAGAAAAUGAACUUUUUGUGGGUUAAAAGUCCUUUAUAUUGUUCUUUACUUAUGCGAUCUAAUUGUAGAUGAUGUCUCUCCUUAUUUAAUCAAUGUGAUAUGUGGCUGAUCCUUUAGGUUGUUUUAAAUUUCCCUUUAAGGCUGGUAAGAACUCAUAUCCACCACAAAAAAACAAUUAUAUAUACAUAUAUAUAUAUGUAUAUAUGUACUUAUUAAAAAGAUAAACAAAUAGUUUUAUAGCUAGAUAUUCAUUAAAAUUUAAAUGCUCUAGUUUCCUAUAUAUAUACUUGAACGAGAGUUAUUCAGAGCAAAUAUAUUCUUAUUCACAUUGAAGACAGCUAAUAUUGAUUAUCUCUAUGGGGAAACAUACAUUUUUCUUUGUAUUCACUAUUGUUGUUGCAUUUUCUUAAGAAUACUCACAAUUCGAUAUAUCAUAGCUUUAAAGUUGAAAUAUUUUUUUUUUCUUUUUUGUUAACAAUUAAUUGUAAAAUUUUGGAAUGUAGAUUUAUCCUCAAUAUCUGAUGCGAGAGAGAUGAAGAAAGAACACAAAGAACAAUGUGUUUCCUCCAAGUCUCAAAUUCAAGACUGCAAUUGCAAGCGUGAUCAAGUCCUUAAUAUAUGAUUCAAGGAUUGGUCAUCAAUAUACUGUUACGCAGUUUAGCCAUUGCAACAAAGACUCUGAUUGUGAGAAAGUAUGUGACCAAUCAUGCAAAGUCAAAUUACGACCAUGUAAAUUGUACCCUUUGUUGAUCGAUCUAAGUACUUUGGUCAAUAUAUUAUUAAUCAAAUAAUAAAUGUCAAAUAUUAUAUGAUUCCUACUUUGACUCCGGGCUCUUAUAUACUAACAAGUAAUAAAGGCAACAUUUUAUUUCCAAAUCUCACCGUAUUGGAAACGAAAUUAGUAAAAGGAAAUUACUUAAUGUUCUUACCAAAACUAGUUUUGAAAAGUUCUGAAGUUGGCUACAAAUAGUAAAAGUUUUUGCAGUACUCUCCAUCAAUCAAACUAACAAAGUUUCUCAUUGCGAGGACUUAAAAAAUCUAUGGCGAGACUUUUCUUUCACUUUGUAUUUGCUCUUAUUAUUGCAUCUUGUAAGAAUACAUUACACACACACACACACAUACCAUGCAUAGCUUUGAAUGUAUAAUAUCCAUUUUACCCUUCUAACAACGUUUGCUAUUUUUUUCUAAUCUUUUGGGAUGCAGAUUUAUCAUCGGUAUCUGAUGCGAUCGUAAGAGACUUGCAUGAACCAUGCUUUUGUCCUUCUACGGAUCCUAACUGCAACUGUGGCGAUGAUCUUCACGUUCUUACUACCAGAGUGAUUGCCCCUAGCCCUCACAUCAAACAGUGUGUGCGUUGCCACAAAAACUCUUUUUGUAACAAAAUAUGUCCGCCAAAGUGCAAAUACAAAGUCUGUAUAUACAAUCGAGCAUGUGAUUUCGCUACAUGUUCGUGCUAUUUAUGCUGAUUAAGUGAUUAGUAAUGCAGCUUCGGUGGACGCGUAUAGAAAGCCGAUCUUCCCUUAUACUCUGAUCCCUUCAUUCAUAGUUAAAGAAGAAAUAUCAAGCUAAUUAAUUACAUGGUUUUUACAAAUAUACAAAAUGAUUAUUUCGCAUUAAAUUAGGUUGGUUACAUUUAUAAAACAAAUAUAUAAAAGCGUAAAAUGUAUGUGUUUGAAGCAUGAAAACGGCAACAAAUUAAAGAAGUUUGACUAUAUUAUGCGAGUUUAAAUGAAUUGGAACAAAAAAACACACACAUUGAUUUGGUAAAUCUAGUCAAAUUAAAUCUUAUGGUAGGUUUUUAAUGAUAUAUAAUAAAAUCAUUAAAACAGAAAAUAAACAACAUAUUACUUCUUUUUUUCACAACAUAUUACUUUCACGUAUAUAUAUAACAUAUUACUUUAACGUAUAUAUAUCUAGAGCUCAUGAUAACUAUUCACAAAUCAACAAAUCAUUCAUUAGACUAAAUCAUUUUCAAAACUCAGAGAGAAAGAUGAACAAUCUUCGCGUUACCAUCGUUGCGUUCUUGGCUUUUUUUUGUCUUCAACGCGAUUGGUAUUUAGCUUCAUUAUAUAUACAUUUAAUACUAUACAUUUGUUCAUCGGUUCGUGUUCGCUUUAACUAAAACAUCGUUUUGGUUUUAUUUUUAUUUUCAUGUGGCAGUUACGAAUUCUUUGGAGGAACCCAAAAUGGACACCAUAUUUAAAUUCGGAGAAUACAAAUGCAAAUUGGACCGGGGCUGUUUAAACCACAUUGCAUGUAGGCAUUGUUCGUAUUACGAUUGCAAAUGCCAUCAUGGAAACUGUAAAUGCCUUGGCACUACUGCCUUUACACCCUCGAGCUAAUGAUCCUUUUACAUCUUGAACUCCUCUUUCUCCCUUGUAAUCAUUUUUUGUAUUGAAAAAAUUAAUAAAAUAACUGGCAAUGUUUUCAAUUUCGAAAAUUAGUAAUGAAGAGUUUAUGUCAACAGUUUUAUAUUAAAUGACACAUUUUGUGGCCGAGACUAGCAAAAGGAUUUUGCUUGGUGAUGUUGUGGCUGGCUGGUUCAUCCCAUUACAUAAAACUAGAAACAACUCAUCAGUAGUUAAUUUAGAGUUUAGAUAGCAUAUACUAUGGCUGAAAAUAUUAAAGACUUAAACUUUAACUUAUAAAGAUGAUUACCCCAAAGUUAAAAAAGACUUGUUACAGCCAAAAAAAAAUAAAAGAAAAGACUACCCCAAAGUUAAACCAGUCACGCUUUAGUUUUCCAAAAAAAUCUCAAAGCCAAUAAAAAUAAUCUUUACAUUUUCUGUAAAUCUUAGAAUUCUAAAUUCUUGCAACAACAAAAAAAAGUGUUUUUAGGAGCUGUGAGAUUUUGUUUCCUUUAUCUUAAAUUUAUGAAUUAAAAAUUAAUAAUUUCUCCUUUGACCAAUAACAAAUAAUAAUAAUAAUAAUAAUAACUCUUCAUUUACACUUUUUAUUUUCUACAACAUCUGUAGUAAUUUUUAUUAUUUUUUUUGCUCUAAAUUAAAAUUUUCAUGUUUUGAAUAACAAAAUUACAUAUAAUACAAUAUGGUUUUUCUAUUUUUUUUUUUUUAACGCCAUAGACUUUUCUAACCACGUAACGUAACCUACAUUAUUCUAUCACACUUUAUUAUUUUUGUGAUAAAUUUAAUUCCUUUAAAAGCCAUAGAUUCUAAAGGACACUUUAUUUAACAAUUAUGUUGAUUUAAUUAGACAAUUACAAGCAUACCAUAUAUUGUGACAUAGGGAUUGGUUAUUCAUUAAAAACAUUGACAAAAAAGUAAAACAUUUUAGGCAACGAAGUAACUUUCUAGACCCCUUCAUGCUCUAUAAAUAAUAUACACAUAAAACCAUGGUCUUCCAUCAUUCCAUCACAAACUAAACUAAUAAGUUACAAACGAAAUCGGGUCAGAGCUAGGAGAAAAUAUGAACAAUCUUCGUGUAGUAACCGUUGCAUUGUUUUUGGCCGCUCUUGUCUUCACCGCUUCUUGUAACUUUUAGUUUUUUUUUUUUCUUUCUUAAACUAAAGUUCUUUUUUAUUUUUUUUAUUUCAUAUCAAGAACCGUAUUUUGAUUUUGAUUUUUUCUUUUUUUUUCUGACAGUUUCAAACUCGGUGGUGGAGGCUAAGCCUAAGAAAACGAUCACAAUCACAUUCAAAUGCAAAAAGAAAUCGGAUUGUUUCACAAACAUUGCUUGUGAAGCUUGUACUGAUUGCCGAUGUGAUAAAGGAUUAUGUAGAUGCCAUGGUUAUGGUGGACAAGCUGGACAUCCCAAAGCUGCGCCAUUAACUGCUUAAUAUUAAUUUUUCUAUUUUCUUUUCAAUAUUUCUCUUUUUUCUAGUAAUCCAAAAGAAUAAUUAAAAAAUACAUAUAAUUGAUUAAAUAAAAUUCUGAUUUAUAUGUAGUUUGGUGAUAAAAACAAAAAACAAACUAACAAUGAAUGAAAAUUAUGUGCCUGCAUGUAGCACCAUAUAACCGUAGCGUUUGCCUGGAACUUCCAGAUUUAAUCAUUAUUUUACGGUUUAAUUAAAGUUUAUAAAUACAGAUUGAUAAAGUUUUUCCUUUUGUUCAAACAAAAAAAAAAGAUAAAGUUUUUCCUUUUGUUCAAACAAAAAAAAAGAUAAAGUUUUUCCUAACUUUACAUUCAUGGCCAUCCGGAAUCCGGAUGCUAAUACUGUAUAUUGUUUUUAUUUAUCUAAGCACAUGACAAGUAAUUUAAUACAUUUAAUUACGUACAUGGUAUUCAUGGUAGUCUAAAACAUGACAAGUAUAAAGUUAAUAACUCGAUAAUCAUUUUACUAGAAAAAUAAUCCCAAAUUAAUAGUACUUGCUAGUAGUAUAUUUUGGUCAACAAAAGAUCUGGCAUAUUCGUUUAUGUUUACUAAUUACCAUAUAUGGAUAUUUCUUUUUGACCAAAACAUAUAACGAUUUAUAUUUUCCGAACAUACGAAAAGAAUCACUAUCCAGUUAGACCAUUUUGAUCCCCCUCAUGAUGCUCCUAUAUAUCGAACAUUGCGUGUGAGGCUUGUCUUGAUUGUCGAUGCGAUAACGGAAGGUGUAAAUGCCAUGGUUUCAGUACAGAAACUAACCAUCUAAUCGCUUAAUUAACUCAUCGAUCCUUCUCCUUAUUAAAUGUUCUCUUUUUCUAGAAUGUAAAAGAAAAUAAAACACAAAGUUCAGUUUUGUUUCAUUUUCUUCUUUGUGACAGUUUCAAAAUAUUUAUCGUAGAGGCCAAAAAAGAGAAUAUAAUCACACCAAGUGCAAUAUGAAAUUAUACGCGUAUCAAACAUUACCGACUUAAUUAAUUUAUUUUUUGUGCAACAAACCGGCUUAAUUAUUAACAAAUUUAUGAACUAUUAUAUCAUCAAAACAAUCGAGUUAAUUAAAAGGAAAUAAUGUUCGUUCCAAUUUUCCACAUAUUUGGAGUUAGUUGAGAUUUUUACGUAACCUUGUGAUUCUUGGCAUGACACAUGAGCUUUUUUUUUUUUUUUUUUAUAUUAGCUAGCUUAUUGGAUAGAAGGAAAAUUAAUUGGAAAUUAUAAAACAAAAUUUUAUUGGAUCACUCAAACAAAUGUUGAUGAGACAGUUUCUAAGGGGUGAUUUGCUACAAUAACCUAAAAACCUAAGAAAAUAAUCAUCUCAAAGUUCUAAGCCCACUUGGCCAUCAAAGACAUUCCUCCGGCACCAAGAAAAACAGCAACAUAAGCCAGUGUCUGAAGCUUCAUAUUUCCUUGCAACUUUGGUCCCAAAAAAUCAGCAGCCAAUAGAUCAACAAGUGCCAUGUAGUUCAAUAAACCGGCCGAACACGCGUUUAAAACACCAACCACAAUCAAUGCCGUUGGACUCGCCGGGCUAUAUACAGUUUGUAACAACAUCCCUAGAACGAUCCCUAAUGGUGUCGUCACCGAGAAAAAAACCACCAUUAUCCAGUUUGUUUUUUUUCCAUAUUGUGCCUUAAAACCAAAAAAAUAAUAAUUAGAACAAAAUCUUAUUAUAAAGAGUUGGUACAAUGAGAAGUAUACUAGUACAAUCACUUGAUCCGCUAAGUGAUGGAUGAGUACAAUUUUAGCUACCUGAAGAAUGCAACCGCCAAGUCCCAUGCCUUCAAAUAACUGAUGAAAGCAAAGAGCAGCGAUGAGAGAGCGUAUGGUACAUUUGUUAUCUGAAGCUCCCAUUGCAAGACCGAUUACAACAGAGUGCACUACAAUUCCUAGCUCCAAAACCUACACCAAUUUUAUUAGUUUCAAAUUUAGGAUUUUAGUAAAUAUUGUAAUGUAACAAAUCUCAAGAAAUGAAAUCAGCGAUAUAUAAUUAUAUAUAUUCGCCUACCUGAGCAAUGACUUGAUGCCUAAUAAGCUGAGUGUUUGCGUCCUCCUCAACUAUAGUUCCGUUUUCUCUCUCCAAUUCUUUUGAUCCAUUCUCUAGGGUUUCAACGACAUUUUCUUGGGACUUAAGAAAUAUUCUCUUCUUAUGCCAACUCAUGGCAUAAGAAUCCACCAUCAACGUCAUCAAAGCAGAGAGCAUAGCGAUAAAAGUUGUGAAUGGAAACUUCUUCCAUGGAUUUCUUGGCAAGCAAGGGGAAUUGAGAUUGUUAAAAGAGUCAGGUAAUACAUGCAUAUAACCUGUGGCUAAGAUCACUCCAGAGGCCAAUGCCUUGACGAUUACGAAAAGAUCUCGGUCUGGUCCUAACGCCGGAACCCCUUGGGUAAACAAGGGUAAAGAAACACCAAUUAUACUUGCCACUAAGAUCGAAAAAAUUGCUAUGAUUUUGAGUUUCUUCGAUUCUUUGUUGUUGUGGCAAAGCGAUGCUUGUGGUCCGGAUUUGCAUUGUGUAACGCUUGAGAGCUCAGCAUUCUCAGCGAGAGUAGUUAAUGUGAAGGAGAUUAAGAGAAUUGCAAUGGCCAUUAGCUUGUACAUUUGAUGAGAAGAAGCCAUCUUGUUUCUUCUUUUUCUGAUUUUAGUGUAUUGUGAGGUUAUAGGGAUUUUUUAUAUAGAACGAGUAUAGCUUGCAACAGAAGAUCUCCUGAGAGUGGCGUAGACUUGGAUUUUGGAAACUUGUGUCUCGCUUGUGUUGCUGUCUCCGCUGCACACACACUUCUUUAACAGAGCUUAGUCAAUCAACUUACCAGUUGUGACAUGGCGCCGAUGUGGCUUUAAUGACGUGGCGCUGAGGCAUAAUCAAAUUUAGAUUUUAAGGAUGCGAUUAACAAUUUUAUUGGAUAACUAAAAAAUGAAGAAAAAAAAUUUGAUAUGUUCAUACAAUAGAUGUUUCUCUUUUCCAAAGAGUCUAACGAACGAAUUAGAAGGAAAAAAAACUGUGACAACAAUCAUUAAACCUAUGCAACUGCAUUCUUCACACAACCAACAUUACACAACCGAACUGAUCUCACUAUUUCACCCAACCUACAACCAAAGAUUUAUAUAGUAAGAUCUCCUGUAUAACAUGAUACAAAUUGACUUCAAACAACAAAAAAUAAAUUUAAUAAUUGGCAUCAUUCUAUCAUUAACGGCUUAAGUACUAACCUGUCGAAGCUAUUCCUAGCCCGAUCUGAGCUAUCCACGCUGUUUCUGGCCUUACUAAACCGAUGAUGUGUACUAAUCUUUCUUGAUCUGUCUCUAGCAGUAGUAACACAUUCCGUGCUAUGCCUAGAUCCAAUCCAAAUACUAUUCUUCGUUGAUUUCUCUUUCUUGUGGUCAUCAGCCAGUGAUUGGCGCUGAAAAUUUGGAAUUGGAAGCUUCUCAAUGGCUGAGAUGAAUUUUCUUAAGUGAGGUAAGUACUCAGGGGAGGUCUCAAGAUCACAAUGGCCUCCUCCUUUAACCCAUAAGGGUUCGUAUUUUUCUUUGCACUGUUCCCAUAAUUGCUUUCCAUGUGAAAUAUUCACCACAUCGUCAUCUGUUCCCUGCAUUGCACGCAAGGAGAAUUAUACAAAGUUGUUAUUAAUUAUAUAAAUGACAAGGACUAUAUCUUUAAUGUGAUGUUAAAAUAGACUUACAUGAAUCACAAGAACAGGACAAUCCACGAGAUGAAUUUUGUCAAUAUUCUGCAAUAACGAAAUUUUUAUCAGUUUCACCAAAACAAUGAAAUUAUCCUUAUUUUGGGCUGUAUAUAUGUAAAAGUCAAAUAUAUCUUAUAUUUUUUUUUUUACACACCAUGGAAUAUUUAACUUACACUAAUAGAGACUCAAAUAUAUAUUAGGUCAUAAAGGAAAAUAUAUAAGAACGAUCAAACCUUGUAAAUGUCGAAUGAGAAUGAAUGUCUGAAAGGGUACAUGACGCGAAGACCGGACAGAAAAGGACUAUGAAGAACAAGUGCUCGGAGACAUGGAAGACGAGAAGCAAGCUCAAGCGACGGUCCACUUCCGACGGAUUGUCCGUACAAAAUGAUACGUUCAUCUUUUGUACCAUACGUCUCUCUUAGCCAAUUAUAAGCUGCUUCUAUGUCUGCGUACGUCUCUUGCUCGCUUGGCUUUCAAGAUUACGAAUACAAAAUCAUAUAUUUAACAAUCAUGUGUUUUUUUUUGCCUCCUUGGAAAUACAUAUAUAGUAUGAUACAACGUACUCAACUAAGUUUCUUUGUUCUUAAAAAUAAUCGGAAUAAAUGAAUUACCUUACCAGAAGAUUGUCCAUACCCUGAGUAAUCGUAUCUGCAAUUAUUAUCACAGAACACAUACAAAAAUUACCAACAAACAAACAAAAAACAACUAAAUUUGGCGAAAUGAUUUUUUUUUUCAAUUAAAAAACUUACUACUUAUUGAAUAUAGUAUAAUUUGGAAUCCUAUGCUGAAUCCUAAAUUCCUAAUAAUGUGAAAACAUACUCAUAAAUUUUGCAAUGACUAAUGUACUAACAUCACAUUUUUUUUUUGUUUUAUGAUUAACUAGAAUAUUGUCUCUUUUUUCAAAAGCAAAAAAAAAAAAAACAGUAUGGAAACAAAAACAUAGAAUCAAAACAAGUGAAAAUUUUGUAUACAAUUAUGUCAUGCAGAUAUAAAAACUAACCCCAUGAGAUUGACAUUGAGUUGGAUUAGUUCGGCGAAGAUGUAGAAAAUGUGAGCAAGAUCGGCGGCGUUGCCGUGAGAAAACAAAACGGUGAGUUUAGCGGUUGGAUUCUUCACAUACAUGGCCACGAUCUCAUUCCCUCUUCUUGUCCGUAUCUUCGCAACUUCGAUGUCCUCAUCUCUCAGGUGAUGUUGCAUGUUCGUCGAUAUCCUCAUCUUCCCCGUAGAUUCCUCUGUAACCACCGUGUACGACGGCGGAUUUGGUGGGAAGAAAGCAAACUUCGCCGCCAUCGUCGACGUCGCAGUUCCCAUUUUAAUUAUUGGUAAGAAGAAAACAAUGACCAACGCAAUAAUGAUAGAUGCUAUAAUGUAUUGAUAUUUACUUAGAGCUAUUAUUUAUUGAUUUAUUUAUAAUAUGGUUAGAAAUUAAAUUCUAAGAUUUCUCCUUUAAAUGCUCUUUCUUUUUAUGUAAUGUCUCCCUCUAAAUAUAUAUGGCUAAGAUUAAGGCUUAACAUACUGUAUUAAAUCCCUCAAACUGUGCAAUAUGUUCCUCUUUUCAUUGUUGUUCUAUAUAUAAGUUUCUCUCAUUAACUUACAAGUUAUAUAACAAAAAUGCAUUUGUCCUUCAUAAUCACGUUUCAAAUCGUAAGAAACAUAAAGAACUAAAGAAGUAUGUUACUUAUCAGUAUAAAAAGACAUGGAUGACUAGAUGAGGAUACACACUACACACGACCACAUACUGAUCAUUGUUUUAUUCUUCUAGAUGCUACUUACAUUAUAAAAAAGAAAAUUAUUAAUUAAUGAAAAAAAAAGAAAAUUAAAACUUAUAAAGGCAAACAAUGACGACAAUAAAUAAAUAAAAAGGGAAACAAUGAUGUGUAGUGGAGAAUAAAGGGAAAUGGCUCUAAAUUAAUUAGUAAUCUAAUUCGUUUGGAGGGAAAUAAAGUUUAGUCUCAUCAUUACUUAAGGAUUAAUUCAAAUCAAUCUCUCUUUUGGAAUGACACGAUCAAAAAUACCUUUUUGGGGUUAAUGAUUAAUAAAAUUCACACUUUGUUUAUUUUUGCAUCACUGCAUGCUUAACGGCAUGAUGUGUCCCUAUAAUUGGGCCUAUAUCUAUAAUCCAUACGGAAAGCCCAUUAUGAGCCAUGUAAAUUCAUCAGGUUUAACAAAACUCACUUGCACUACUAAUUUUGAAAAUUCACAGAGAAACUCUUAAGUAAAAAAUGGUUGAUAAUGAUUUUGAGAUCUUUAAAUUUUUACUAGUAUAUAGAGAAGAAAAAAUAUGUUAUAUACAUAUCCACGGAUUAACCCUUUUUAUGCAGUUUCACACAUUAUAGAUUUGUAGUUUAAUCGAAUUACCUCCAUAUGAUACAGUAAUGAUACUAAUAAUUAUAUAUAUAUAUAUAAUUUUAUGAACUAUGAUCGGGUAAAGCAAUUAAGUACUUAAAUUUUGGUGCAAUGUGGGAGAAAUAGCAUACACAAUAUUGAUACUAACAAAGAUACACAAAUUCCAAUUAUGGAAGUUAUAUAGACCAUAGGUUACACAUUCCUACUCCCACUGAUUCAUCAUGGUAUGUUUCUUACGAUCCAUUUAACUAAAUUAAUAACAAAAAAAAAAAAAACUAAAUUAAUAACUCAUAUCUUUUACCGACUUCCUUCAAUCUGCCGAUUGCCCGAUCAUUAUUUUAUUUUUGAUAGGUAUAUAUGAUUUAAAUAACAUUUGUGGCUUUUGGUCAACUAAAUAUUUGUGAAUGUACCUAGUAUAUGUUAAGAUUUAUUAUAGAUUAUUAAGCAAAUUUUACUUUUAUUGUUCUUGAAAUUGAGAAAAGUGGUAAUAUAGUAAGAGACCAACACAAAACAUGCUCAUCUGUUAAUUGCAUUUUACGUUAUGUUCUUCUCCUUAUUCGAUGUUUUUGGGCUAUUCCCCACGUAAAUUCUUGCUUUUUCAGUGUAUAUACCUUGUGAGAGAAGAAAAAAAAAACAAAUUGAGAUCAGAAAAUUUUGGUCAACAAUAUGUUUUUCUUUAAGUUUUUUAUGAACGGUGCCUUAGUAUUGUAAGCUUAUUUCGUUAAACCAAACAAAUAUAUUUAGAUUUUAAUGUCGCAUUGAUUGAUAGACUAUAUGUUCAUUCAGUAUAUUUAGAUUUUAAUAACGCAUUGAUUGAUAGACUAUAUGUUCAUUCAGUACUUGAUUUAUAUACUUUUUAAUCUAUCUAGUUGGGUUGGCUCACUUUAGUUAUGGGUGUGAACUUGGAUCUCAUGUUGUAGUUCACAGUUUCUUACAGCUUUCGGGAAUUUUACGCAUGUCCCAAUGUCUAUGCAUGGCAGAUUCCCAAUAGAGACACAUGGCUUAUGGUAAAAUAAAAAUAGAUUAGAUUUGGUAUUCUCUUGGGUUUCUUUUUUUCUUGUCCUAUAUAAACACUAGUUAAUCUUCUUCUAAUCUUUCAUCAUUCUUGCGCAAUUUGAUCUCAUAACUCAUUUUGAAAACAUUUCCGUAUCGAAGAGAAGAAAAUUUGAGAUGACCAAUAUCACUUCGAGAUUUUUUUGUUUGUUGAUACUUCUUUUGUUUUGCCUCUCCUUUGGAUAUUCUCUUCAUGGUUGAUAACUCUCUUUUAUCUUCUUUUUCUCCAAUAUUAAUUUUUACAUUUUUAAGGUCAUGAAUAUUCGAAAUAAUUGACUCAUCACUCACGUGUUAUGAAAUUAUACGUAAAAACUUGCAUUAUGAGAAUCGAACUUCCUAAAAUCCAUUUCUUCCCCCCACCCAUUUUUCAUGAAUUAUAUAUAGCUCAUGCAUUGUUUAUAGUAUAUAAAAAAUGCAGUUAAAUUAACUAUGUCAUUUUUUUCAUCAGGAAAUAAGGAUGAAGUGUCAAGAGUUGACGACGUUUCAAAUGCAAAGGUAUUAAUAAAUUUCCCUAGACUAUACUCGUUUAUGUGUUCUCUUGAUUAGUGAAUACUUGUGGGUUCAAUAUUAGGCACACCAAUUAUGAAUAUUACAUAGCGAUUACAUAUAUCUCAGUUUGAGUUUCGGCAAAUACACAUGUAAAUAAUAUAGUAAGGUUGAUGAUAAGCAGGUUAUGAAGCAUCUUGAUGAUGAUGGUGAUGCAACGAAGAAGGUGCAAAUACGAGGAAGAAGUGGAGACGAGUUUCGUAAGGAAACAACAAGGAUGACGAUGAAGAAGCCAACAAAGAAAGAGACAACUGUUGAGGAAGAAGAUGAUCUCGUUGCGUACACUGCUGAUUACUGGAAACCAAGACACCAUCCUCCCAAGAACAACUGAUCCAUAUUUAUAUAAAAUGCUCCUUAUAUAUAUUAUUCAAUAUCAAUAAUAUAAGAUAUCAGUAUACAUAUAUGUCAUGAGUGAUUGUAAGCUUUGUGUUUGUAACAUCGAUCGUUCUAAAUUUUCUAAAGUGGUACGUAUAAGUUAUAACCAAGUUUUGUUCUCUUUUUUUUUUUCUUUUUUUUGUCUUCAACCAAGUUUUGUUCUCUCAAUGUUAUCAUUAGUCGAUGAUGUUGUACAAUAAAGAAUUUACUAUGUUUGUGAUUUUUUUUCUUUUUUUUUUUUUUUGGACAAACUAUGUUUGUGAUUUAUUAUCAUCAAGUUCAAUUUCGGAAUAUUCUUUUUCUGCUUAUGAACACUGUAAUUCCUUACCGGUCCAAAACAUAAUGAACGAAUGUAAAUUCCUUCACUAAAAAUUAUGUGCUGAUCUUAAAAUAGAAGUGUUGAUACAAAAGGAUGCUUCAGACAGACAAGAUAUGCUCUUAAAUGAGCAAGAACAACACAACUUUCAAGAAGUCACAGUAAGAAUCUUGGAUAUAAAUUUGGUCUAAAAAAGGAAAAGGCUUGAUUUUAUUUCACCAGUCUUGGUUUGUAGUUGUAUGGGUUUCGACUCCCUUGCCCCUCACAGAAAGCUGAAGUAACCCUUUUGUCCACUUCCAUCAACUACUCUUAUUUACUACCAAUCAUGUUAUAAACAUAUAAUUGGGGGUUGUUGCCACUGGCCGGACCAUUUUGCCUCCCCGUUUAUUUGUGAACCAAGCUGAGGAAGUACAAGAACCAGUGACUUUAUCUUCCAGAAGAACCUGACGAAAACUAAUACAGUGUAAGACUGAAGCAGCAAAACGACCAAGACAUUUGCGUUUGGGUUGGGGAAACUAAAAGCUUGACAAAAAAGUGUAAGAUAUCAUGUUCAGAUUUCCAUCUGACCGAAACAUCCCCAUAGUUCACAUUAUCGAUUUCAAAGGUUAUAACACACUCAUUGUGUGAUAUAGAUGGACAACAAUGAGGAGCCAUGGAAAGUAUCUUUAAAAACACUCUGUAAAUGGUUAAGAAACAUCACUUACUGCGAUCCUUCAAAGAAGUUAAUGUGAUACAACUGUUGCCCGGUGAUACCAUCCAGUAGCUAAGAUUGAUCUGUUAACUAGAACAAUGAGAAACAACAAUAAAACACCAGAUAACUAACUAUGGAACUUGUAUGGGAUUCUUUUUUACAGUAACAGUAUACUAACAACAGUUACCUCAUGUGACAGUUUCUCUACUGAAAGUGUGCCUUCUGCAGUUAGCAGAUAAGAUGUGACAAAACGACAAGCAUUUGCUGAUUACUAAUCAGGCAACAAACCCGAUUUGAUUGUCCAGGAAAGCAAUUCAUCUGAUGACUUGAUCAUCAUUUCACAAAUAUCUAAGUCAGGCGAAAUACCCCGGCAUAACAUUAGACGGAAGAAGAAUUUGCUCUCAUUCACUAAAUGUCUCCUACACAAACGAUUGAUCACUGCACUGUAAUCCCUGAUGGAAACAUCGAAUCCACUGUCCAGCAGCUGAUGAAAGAGCUUCUCUGCCAUUUUUGGGUCACCCUUUACACAAUGUGCCUUGAUCAGUGUGGUAUAAGCAAAUUUGGACAGACUAACAUUCUGCUCCUGGAGCCAAUAGAGAAACCUGUCAGCUUCCUUUAUGUAACCGUUGACACAAAGGCUGUCGAUUAGAAUAUUAUAAGUAGCAGGCGUAGGAUCAAGAUGUCGGGAUUUCAUUUCUUUCAAUAACUCAAAUGCUUUGGAUAAAUGUUUAACUCUGCAUAGAUACUGAAUAAUUGUAUUGUAAGUGAUCUGAUCUGGAGUUAUACCUUCAGAAUCCAUGUCUCUGAGCACCUGGUUGCACUUUCCGAGUUUCCUGUCCCUGAGUAACUGGUUGCAUUUUUCGAGUUUCCAGUUGCUACAAAGUCCUUUAAUAAUCACUGCGUAUGUGACAUUGGUUGCUGAGAUUCCUUUUGUUUUCAUUUCCGAGCACAAUUCAUCUAUGCUUUCAGUAUCUCCACAGUUAGCGUAUGCAUUCAUCAAUGUUGUAUAACUCACAGCGCUUGGAACCAAUCCAUAUAACUUGAUGACAUCUAAGAUUCUUCUAGCCUCAGCUAUAUUCCAGAUUUUGCAAUACCCGUAAAUCAAAGAAUUGAAAGUUGCAACGCUAGGAGGUAUCCCACUCUCAAUUACUACAUUGAAUAAUUUUAGUGCCUCCUCGAUGCAACCAGACUUUGCAUACCCGUCAAUAACGAUAUUGUACAGAAUAAUAUCCAGUGUGUUACUAGUUGAUUUCAAAGAAUCCAGAAGCGCUUUUGCCUCAAGCAACAUCCCUUUCUGACAUAAACCAAGCAAAAUAGCACCAUCUGUCCUAGAAUUCGGAAGAAUUUUGGUACACAUCUCAUCGUAAAGCCAAACAGCCAUAUUAAAUUCCCCUAACCUGCAGAGACCGUGAAUCACAAUAGAAUAUGCCACAAGAUCAGCCCUCAGACCAUUGGCUUCCAUAUCAUAGAAUAACGACAACGCUUCAUUGAUUCGUCCUGUUUUACAUAAACCACUGAGCAUUACACUGCAGGGGAUGAUACUGUGAAACUCAAAUCCCCUCGACAACAUAUCCUUCAGCAAUCUUAAACCCAUAUCAAUAUUUCCUAACUGACAAUGCCCACAUAGUACUAUUGUGUAUGUAAUAACAUCAGGACUCAAACCUUUAUCUAGCAUUUCUUGAAUAACCUCCCAAACCCCACCAAUCAUACCGAGAAGAUGAAACCCUUUGGCAAGAAUAUGGUAUGUUACAGAAUCAGGUUCCACUCCAUGCUUAUUCAUGUCAGUAGCCAAUGCUAAAGCUUCUGUGAUAGAACCAGCUAGACAGAGUCCGUUGAUGAGUAUAUUGUGACUAUAUACACUGGGAACCAAUCCACAUUUCAAAAUUGUACAGAUAAACGACUUGGCCAUAUCUACAAAACCCAAUUUACAGUAACCUGACAUUAUACUAUUAAAAGAAACUACAGAGGGACCAAUAUCCUUCCACUCUGAAUUUCGGAGGAACGAAACUGCAUCCUCUAACUUUUGCUGCCUACACAAACCAUCUACAACUGUCGAGUACGUGUGCUCAUUCUUAUCAUUGAUUUCCUUGUACACAUCCCACAUCUUAUCUGUUUCUCUAAAACUAUACAAAACAGAGUUGUAUGACUGUGUUGACACUUUCAAGUUGAGAUCCUUCAUCUUUUCCAAGAUAUAGAGAGAAUCAUCUACCAUUUUAGAUCUCGACGCAAUAAACAACAACAUAUCCCAAACUACUCCCGUGGAAUCCCACUUUCUGAAGCUACUAGAAAGAACUUCACAAAGCAAAGAAGCUGAACCAGAGCCUAAAAGCAAAUCGUGGAAAAUUGAUGCAAUAAAUCAGACUCAGGAAUAUCUAAAUCAAACCAAAAACAAUAUUCCUACAAAACAAAGAAUAUCGUAACCUCAAAAGUAAUUGGCACAAGUUUCAGUUAUACCUCUAAGCCCUCAGUAAAACAGAAUCAUAUCCCAAUUGUUCUUUUAAUCACUGAAGAAAAAAGAAAAGAGAAAGACUUGCCUUGCAAUUGUUCAUUCUCUUGGAGCAGUUGUUCCAGAAUCACUUGAAGCUCUUUAAAACGUCUUUGACCAGCAAAAAUAUGUGAAACCAACAAUGUCGAAAACCUGGAAUGACGAAACCCAUAAAUAUCUCUUAGCUCUUUGAAAAACCAAACCGAAAGAUCCGAGCUUUCAGCCAUCAAUUCAGCCAUGAUCUCUUCUACAUGAACCUGUCUCAGUUCCGAAACCAUAACUCGAAAGUGAUUCCCGUGAAGAAACUCACGGAACCCAUUCUUCUUCAUUCCAAGGAGAAUCUCUUGAUGCAAGUCUCUGUGAUCGGAAGUGAAAUUGGAUGUGGGUAAUGGCUCAUCGUCGAGUUUGGCGACGGAGAAGGAGGAUUUAGUGGAUAAGAGAGAAGAAAAGGGAGAGAGGAUACGAGAUACUUUGCUUGAAUUGGAUGCAAUCCAUCUACAGAUCAUGGAAUUUGGGGACUAGGGUUUGUCAACUGAGGGAUUUCUGGAGAUGCCCUUGACGUCAAUUUGAGAGAUUGGCGGAGAAUUGAGGGUCGUCGGAGAGAUAAUUUUGUUUGCUUUUCCCGGCAAGUUUGAAGAAACAGACGGAGAAGAAAAGGGUUUUAGGAAUCUUCUCGGGUUUAUGAUAUAAAACCUAACUCCGGUUUUCAAAUAGCAAAUCAAUUGUUCCGGUUCAACUUUCUUACCGGUUUACAAAAAUUAGUAAAGAGUAGAAGAAACUCUCAAACUAGUGUCAAAUUUUUAUUUUCUUGUUUGCCGGUUAACAUAAUUAAUCAAUAUUUCUGAUGAUGUUGAAAUAUGUAUACAUACAUCACAAAUACCUAAUUUAACAAAGUAAACACAUACGUCGUAAGAAAAGAUAAAUACAUGCAUAAAGAAAGAUGAGAGUUCUUUGUCUAAAAUAGGAGAAACGUUCAUUUCUCUAUUUAAAAUGAGCAUUCAUGCAGCAGCAAAGAGUAGAAGCUAAGACUAAUCUGUUUUAACAAUUAUUUUAAUUCAUCGUAACCAAUAUCAGUAAUCAUAUUUUCCACUAAAGAACGUUGUGUUGAGUGCGAACAAGCUAGGGACUAAUAUACAUAUGGUUUUCAAUCCAAGGGCAUCAUUCAUAGGCCCUUGUUAUAAUACUCAAAAUUUGAUUAUACAUAUCUGUCAAUUAGUAUUUCAAAUCAAGUACAGAAAGAGAACUCCAACAAAUUGAAUAUUAAAAGCAAAUCGAUUUAGAAAAGGUAAUAAGAUGGAUCAUCACUUCACCAAUUUGGUUAUCUGUCACUUUUCUUGAUACAUGCAUUAGAUCUUUAAACAACUUAAAUUAAUCAGCAAAAUCGUAGUAUGUCCUUUUCAACUUUAAUAAGCUUUUCAAUAUUUGGAAAAAAAAAAAAACCGAUGUAUGAUUUUUUGCAGUUUCUUUGUAAUAUAGUAAGGAUAUUAUUCAAAUAUGGUAAAAUUUCACAAACAUGAAGUCCACAUUUCACCAACUUAGGCAUAAUUAGUUCUAUCACUAGUAACCACAUGAAUUAACUUAAAACCUCUCAUUGUAUGCUCUCCUAUAAGUACUUGUGGUUUAUUCUUUGUUUUGGCUUACCCCAAAAAAAUCGAAGAUGUACAAAUCAAGUCCUAAAAGAAGAGAAAUUGUGGAGAAAAGCAAGAGUGUAAGGGAAAAGGAGACUAAGCAAAACUCUAAUUUCUUUGCCAAACACUUGAAGAGGAUAUACCCAAUCACGCUUCAACGAAGUACUUCUUCUUCAUUCUCACUCUCUUCUAUAUCUCUAUCACUCUCUCAGAACUCAACCGAUUCUGUUUCCACGGAUUCAAACUCGACGUUGGAACAAAAGAUAUCUCUAGCACUUGGUUUAAUCUCAUCUCCCCGCAGAAGAGAAACAUUUGUUCCAAAAAGUAUCCCGCAACAACUAGAACAAGAACUAUGUCAGGAUUUCAAUAGUGAUGAACCAAAGAGGUGCAAUUGGAUCACCAAGAAAAGUGGUAAGAUGCAAGAUCGUUGUCCUAAAAUAAGACUAUAGCUAAGUAGAAUCUAUACAAGUUAAAUAGUCAAUAACUCAAUAUAGUUAAGUAUAUACAACUUCUUUUGCAUUUUUUGUUUGUAGAUGAAGUCUACGUAAAGUUUCAUGACCAGCAAUGGGGAGUCCCUGUCUAUGAUGAUAAGUAUGAUUACGCAACCUUAUGAGAUUAACUCCACAUAAUUAAUUUAUACAUCUAAAUGAUAACCCUCAUGCAUGUUAUGCUAGAUAUAUGCUUAUAUAUAUUUAGCUUAAUGUCAUUCGAAUUGCAUGGUGAUUGAUAAUUUGAAACAGCCUGCUAUUUGAGUUCCUUGCCAUGUCGGGGAUGUUAAUGGACUAUAAUUGGACUGAGAUUCUAAAACGCAAAGAACUCUUUAGGUAAAAUCUCUCAUACCAAUAUUCAUAUUUUGUUACAUUAUACAUGAAAAUAAAAAUUUAUGGAUGUUAUCAUAAUGUAACUUGUUUAGAGAGGUGUUUUGUGAGUUCGACCCAAAUGUGGUGGCCAAUAUGGGAGAGAAAGAGAUCACAGAGAUUGCAUCAAACAAAGCAAUAAUGUUACAAGAGAGUAGAGUCAGGUGUGUAGUCGACAAUGCCAAAUGCAUAAUCAAGGCAAGUUUUAAACUUUUUUUCUUCCUUAUACUUUUAUUUUCUAUUAAAUGCUAAAUAUGGAUCCUAAUAAAAAUAUAUACCUACAGGUGGUCAAUGAAUUUGGAUCAUUCAGCAGCUUCAUGUGGGGGUUUAUGGAUUACAAACCUAUCAUUAACAAAUUCAAGUAUCCAAGAAAUGUACCAUUGAGAUCUCCCAAGGCUGAGAUCAUUAGCAAAGAUAUGAUCAAACGAGGGUUUCGAUUUGUCGGUCCAGUGAUCGUACAUUCGUUCAUGCAGGCUGCAGGUUUAACAAUCGAUCAUCUCGUUGAUUGUUUUAGACAUGGUGAUUGUGUGAGCCUCGCUGAGAGGCCAUGGAGGCAUAUAUGAUUACGUGAAGAGAGAAAGUCUAAUCCUUAAACAUAUACAUACCCUCUUAUCCUGGUUUUUGAGUAUUUUCGGUUUACAACAAAACUUGGUUUUCAGCUUAAGAAUUUCCCUUUUUGAGUGCUUUUUCGACUAUACAAAGGAUAUAUUUGAUUUGAAGUCAAAAUUUCUUUGGAUUAUUUAGUUUGAUAUUUUUCAGGUUUUGAUUUGGAUUUAACUUAUUUUAACAAAUAUCUUGUAAAUCGAUUUCUGUUUUUGAUUUGGUUUGGUUUCUAAUGUAAAAAAUAAAACCAAGUUGAUUUUUUUUUGUUCCAAGUUUUUUAGAUCAUAGGGAUGAGUACUACAAUAAAAUGGUUAUUCUUGUCUUCUUGAUUAUGGGAUGACUAUCCAAGUUUAAUUUUGUAAGUUUUUUUUUUUUUUGUGAAAUUGUGAAGUAUCAAUCAUUGUAAAGCCGUCGGCUACUGACAUAAUGAGGAACAAAGUAACUCCAAAUAUGCCUAAUUGCCUAUAUAAAAAGAAAAAGAAAAACCUUCAAAUUAUUUAAAGUAAAGAUAAAAACAAACAUUGUUUUUUCGGAAACUUACCAAGCUUCUGAUAGGUUCAACAAGUUGCUUUACAAGUUGUGCAUGAUUAUGUAAGACAUUGAGAACAAGACAUGUAAUGGGUCACUGAUGUAGCACUGAUGAAUGAAUGGUGUCCAUUAAAAUGAUAAGUUUAUCACAAACACAUCUCAUCUUUUCAGACCAAACGAUGAACAAGUUGGCAUAAGAAAAGAAAAUUCACAAAAGCAAAAAACAUCAUGUUGAUUGUUGUAUACCCCCUUGUUUAUACUACUUUUAUAACAAUAAUUUCAUUGAUACGUCGCGAUUUCAUAUAAAAUAUCAACCAAGUUAAAAUCUUAAAUCUGGAGGAAUAGCAAAAGAACGUACUACUACUAGUUUUAGGCUUUUAGCAAAUCAUGGACCAAUCAAUUUGAAAAGAAAAAAACAAAUGAAUGAAAGAAACCUUACUCUUUAAUCUGCUUAUUCUUGUAAAGAGAAGGCAAAAGCGUAUCAAAACAACAAAUGUAAAGAAAAUGGUAAAAGAAUAUUUACAGAGCAGGUCAGAGAAGAAAACGAAAGAACAUUUCUUUAAUCUUAACGUAGUUAACAAGUCACUGUUUCCAAACUCGUAAAAGUAAAAUCUUUGAUCUUCUAUUAUGUGAACUCUUAAAAGUUUUUACUUAUAUGAUCUUUCAAAACUUGCACGACGUACCAAGCCUCUGUCUAUUCCUCAACGUCAUGGUCUUACGUUCUGUGAAAGCCGAGCCAAGCAGCUCCUGGAACUUCUCCAAGAACACAACCCAUACUACUUCUUUCAUUUCUGCUAACUUCACAAAGUUUGCGCUCACCGGGAGCUGCACGUUUGCACUCUUGUGACUUACCAAUGUUUUGUCUGUCUUGUCUCUAGGAGGAAUAAGGAAUCCAGAUCCCAUGUUGUUGCUUAGAUUGUGGUUCUUCAAUGAUACUGAAAGCUUUGUGAGAGAUCGAGUAAGUAUUGCCUCUUCUUCGUCGCCUUCAUCCUCCUCUUCUUCAAUGAUGCUCUCCUUGAGCUUUCCAAGUGAAGAUUGUCCAUUUGAAAACGGGUUUUUGAUGAGUAAUUCAUCAGAGUCAAAGACCAUGUCUAUGUCGCUAUAGUCGAGAUCAAACUGAAACUCUCUGUCUCCUUCAAACUCUGACUUGGGAGAUAAAAUGUCUUGUUUCGCUGUUAAUCUCUUUGCUUCAAUACACACCAUUUCUAGUUCACUUGGCUCUUCUUCUCCUGCGCGGAAUUCCCGAGUCAUCAUCUCACCAAUCUCUGCAAGACAAAGUCCACUAACAGCAGCUUCUUUAAGGAAAACCGUGCACAGAACUAGGACCCUGAGACAAGCCUCUCGAAUCAUUGGAAGCUCUCUUCGCAGCAUUUCACAGUCUUUCACUGGAUCAAGAUUUCGUAUGUAGUCAAGUUCUUCUUCAGAGAAAGGUAUUGAAGCCUGUGGCCAAUGAAUCCAUUCGAAGUAAGGAUCUUCUAGUGUUUCUGGCAAGCAAAGUCCAUGAUCUAUAGGAAUAAGCUCAACUUGACCAAACCUCCCAGCACCACCAUUAUCAAGCUUCUUCACCAAAAGGUUUCCACCAUGCCGAUCUGUGUUGAGAAUCCUUAUGUCCAAUAUCCCAAUGCGGUGCACAGAAGAGACUGGGAAGCUUGACGUCCCGUGAUCACUGGCAUCAAAAUCAUGCGGUACAAACUUCUGGAACGAAGCAAUCUUGCUGCUGAUCAACUUUUUCUUCUCACGAGAUCUGUUCCCGUCCAUUCCAUCAUUGACAUUGAAAACAGAGUGUGUCAUCUUAACAAGAGCCGUGGGAGGAACAUUAGCAAAGUGGUCAUAGUCAAGAAGGUACGCUGCAACUUCUCUAUACCCAGUUUCCCCAACUCGCACAGAAGGCUUUAAACCAGGCUGCCCAAGUGUUUUCCCUGUGAAGCCUUUAGGAUUGUUAGGGGCAAAUGGUUCUUCAUCCGUAGGCUUGACAAUUACAACGCUUUGACCCUUUUCAUUCCUAAAGUAGUAAGCCCCUCCAAGCCCACCAUUGACAGGGAUUGGUUCAACACCCAUCUUCAUCGCCUUGACAAUGUCAUUCGCCGUCUGCUUCAGCGACAGAAAGCAAUACGAGUGACUGAGUAUCUCAAUAGGACCACUCAGAUCUUUCCUCUGCAGGUCCUUUCCAGUAGGUGAAAGACACGGAGUAGAAGAGCUCCUGUGCAUUAAGUUACGCUUAAGGAGCAGCGGAGAGUCAUUCCUCACAGCACUCAAGUCAUUCUUCAACACCAUAUCCCCAAAGGUCAAAGAGCUUUCCUCAGUAGGUAAGUUAAAGGCUAUCUGAAGCCUCUUUUUGACAGUGUGAACAUUAUCAUUACGGUCUAACUCAACCCCCAAAACACAGCCAGUUUCGGUUUGCACGAAAACACGUCUUCUUCCUGAAGACUGUUGUUGAAGCAAAGGAUGCUUAUACUGUUUCCCUUCCAUCUUUCUAGCCCCAUGAAAUUCCCCUUUAAGAGGAGCCUUAAACACAGCCAUGGCCAUCUUCCAGACUCAAUCGCCAACCAACACGGUUAAGCUCAACAAGGCAGAAGUGAAAAACAGAAACUUUUUAAUCCUUUAGCACUACAUCAGGUAAGCCAUGCUUUGUAGGUAGUAAAGAAGAUUAAAAUCUGCAUUAAAAAAUGGAUACAAAGAUCAGAAAUCUAGAAGGAUUUGAUUACUUUAUACAGUUGUAACUUAUAAAGCAACCUUCUUUUUUCUCGGCUUUUUACACGAAUCCGUAAAAUACUUGGAAAAAAACUUCUUCUUUCUCCACACUUCCCACGAGAUAACAUACAUCUUGAUCCAAGAAACUUUACACAAUCGUUUGAAGAAAUGAUUACAGCAAAUUUAUUCACUUUACACAAAAUCGAGAAACCAAACGGAAAAAAAAAACUAAAGAGAUCAAAACCGAACAAUGAAUCAAAUACAUGGAUUGAGAGAUUUUUCGAAAGAAAGAGAAGAAAACGAAUUGAAGAAGAACUCACCGGAAAGCAAGAUCUGAAGAGGAGACACGCACAUGGAAGACAGAGAAAGAAGAACACAAUGAAAGCGUAGAAGAAUCUUAGAAAAGAGGCUUCAAUGGAGGGCAAUGAAUCGGUAAAAAUCUGACUCAGUGAGUCACUGAUCCAUUAGCCUCUCGCUCGCUCUCUCUCUCUCUAUCUCUCUAUCGCUCUGCCUCCUUCGUCAACCUCUCAACGACGCUCUUUUUUUUUUCUCAGCGAAAAAAGUUACAUCAUAUCCAUUGCUAUCUCAUUUUUUAACCAGUGCCACGUCACCUUACAGUUUUAAUUCUUUUUUUGUUUGUUUGUCAAUUCAUUAAUUAUGUUCUGUAUGUUAGUUAAUUCGAGGUAUAAUAUUUCUUUUGCCUUCCAUCUCUUGUGAGAUUAUAGAUAUUUUAUUGAAAUACUAGCAGUUGACCUACGCUCCGCGCGGGAGGUUUAUAAUUUUGUUUCGUUGAUUUUUUAUUUAUAUUGUGAUAAAAAAAAUUUUAAUUGAUUUUCAAAAAAUAUUAUAAUUAUUUUCUCUUUAAUUAUUAUCUUUCAAUACUCAAAUUUGGAUUAAAAGCAUUUGAUUCAAUUUAUGAAAUAUCAUUUUUUUAUUUUUUAUCAUGUUAUAAACUAAUAUUUCACUUUUUUUUUCCUCUUUAUAAUUUUAUAUAUACAAUUACAUAAAUGUUGUUUUAGUCUAGCAUAAAUUUAAAUUUUACUUCCGUUUUAGUAACAUAUUUAAAAUAUUAAAUUACGAUCAAUUUAAAAUGACAGUUGAAUUAUAUUAUUAUCACUAAUAAAAACAAUUAAAGUAUUGUUUUUCUUAUUUUAACAUUUCAUAUUUUUUACAUAAUUUAUUUUUAUUUAUAUAAACUUUUUAUUAAUUAAAUAAGUAAUAUAAAUAUGCACUAAAUGAAUAUUUUAAAUUUAUUUUAAUUUUUAAAAAAAAAUGUGGCUUAUAUGGAUGCUUAGGUGGCAUUAUGAGAAGAGAGAAAAAUCUAACUUUAUAUAUAUAGAUGAUUGUGACAUAAAAUUUCACUGUCAGAUAAAAAAAAUAUUACAAGAAAAAAGUCCUUUUGUUAUUUUAUUUUCUUUAAUUAAUGUUAAAAAUUUAAUAUAUUAAUUGAGUAUACCAAAUUAUCAAUUUAUCAAAAAAAAAAACUAAUUUGGAACCGAAAAAGUAUAUAAAUUUAUCGAGGAAUCUAUGAAAUUUUUUGUAAUUAAGUGCUGACAAAAUAAAAAGAAAGAAUACAUAAAAUUGUAAAAUUUGAAAGAUGUUACCAUAACUCUGAGUGAGAAGGGUCUAGAACAAGCAAAGAGAACCGUCCGAUCUACAGAUUCUCCUCUACAUGAAACGAAAGCUGUUUGAUUACUACAUGAUACGUGGCGGGUGUCUACAAGUACCACGUUAUGACAAGUAGAGGGAUUAAGUGAUGAUGUGUGGCCACUUAGACCGACUUACUGACGUAUGUGACAGACAAGUUGCAACUAAACGGGCCUUGGAACUCAAGCCCAUUACUAAAUUGAAUGUCACAUUACAAAAUGUAUUUAGGUUUUGUACCUUGUGUCAGAAGCAACAAGUAGAACUGAGAACACAACAUACAAACCCACGAUGAAGUUAUUGAAACUUACAAUAUAAUUAUUUACUGAAAUACACAAAAAAGAAAAUCACUCGUCUGUGUUUUUCAAUGAUCUGUAAACUGAAUAGAACCAAAAAGUUUAUCAAAAAAAAAAAAAACCUCUGUGAAAGGCAGAGUACUCCAUCAGAAUCUACAACAGAGAAGAAGAGAGUAUUGUCUCCAUCCUUUCUCCUUUCGAAGUUGUGUCUUAUCAGAUUUCACCAUUCGUUCAGGACUAGUGUUCCAUUCCGAUUGCAAGCUGAAACAGAGUUUUAACAAAAGUUUUAUAGAGUUUGUAGAUAAUAAGUUUGAUAAGAUAUAUAUGUAUGUGAGAAGAUGUCUGCAUAUCUAUACAUUGGAAAAGCGAAGGAGCUUGCGCUGACUGUGCUUCCUUCAGAUCGAACAGAGAUGCUUCCGGAGACUGAGAUUGGUCCAAAGUAAGUAAUAUGAGCUAAACCUGACUCUGCUUCAGAGAAACUCCUUUCCUUAAUACCGUUGCUUGAGAAGAGAUGGUAAUCAUAAGCGUCCUCAAGCACAUCGUUUAGUCGUUGAUUCUCUGAUUCUGCCAUUUCAUAGGAAAGAUAUCUCAAGCUCUCUGCUACUGGUUCAUCUUUUUUCUCCUGUUCUGUUUCACGGUCUACGUUUUCUUCAGGUCCAUUAAUGUUGUUUGUGUUGGGUGGUCUUUGGGAAUCCUCCAUUAAUAUAAUAUCUCGCAAGGUUAUAGCUUCCUUAGAGACACUUCUUGAUGUAGCUGUUACAUCCCACGGUGGCACUUUUGAAUCAUCUUUAGCUUCUUUUUCUGUCACAAUCACAUUUUCUUGAUUGAGUUUACUAGAAUCUUGAAUGCCAACACAUUCUUCAAACUUGCUGUCUUCUGAGGAUUUGGAUUCUUGAGGUUUCGAGUUGAUGUUGACAGAGUCUUUCUCGUUGGAUAAUAACUUCUCCUGCAUCAUAGGCAUACCCUCAUCCUGACAUACAUCCUUGAAGACAUUAUAAGUAACAUCCUUGAAGUUACUAACUACGAUCUCAGGCAAUUCGCGAGCCAUUACAUUCUUGUCUAUAUAGAAAACCGGAUGAUCGUCUAGACUACCACGGUUGUCUUUUAUGGCCUCAUUCUUAGGGCCAAUCUUGCAUUCAGAUGAAUUUUGAUGUCCUGACAUGUUUCCAGCCUUCUCUUUGUCCUGUUCUUCACUUAUUGAGCCAUAGCACUCGCAUCCAGUUUCUUUCCCAUUGUCCAAGAUCUUUGAUUCAGUAUAGUUUUUUAAAACUUGAUCUUUGUCUGGCAGUCACAGUUGAGAAGAAAACUACUUGGUGUACUCAUUUUUUCAAAACAUUCAAAAGGUUUGAACAACAAAUAGGAUGGACUAACCUGAUCUCAUUGCCAUCUUUCACAGAGCAGAGGCUAUAAUAUCUUCAAACAGCCACCACUAUAUUUGAAUGGUGUCUACAGGGAAAAAUAAACGAAAUGUAUAUUGAGAAUUUUCUGAGUUGGGUCGUUGAGAGAGAAACAGAGUAAAAAUGAAGCUGUAUAAAUGACAAAACUCAUGAUAUAUCCAGCCAAUGAUGAAUGGCCCCAAAGACUUAAGGAAAGGAAUGUGACUUCAAUUAUUUUUAGCAAAGAUUAAACAGCCGUUUGAUUAAACAAAUGCACAGAGAAACAUUUAAUCAUCAAAAUACUUCACAUGAAGGUUACCAUGAAUCUAGCAACUGAAGAAUCUCAGAAAAUUAAAUUAUAAACAUUAUACUAAACGAUGGAGUCACAUAUAUAAAGGUCUCUAAGUCCUAGAAUUUGAUCAUAUCUAGCAUGCAUCUUGCUCCAUCUUACCUUUUCAAUUUCUCGGAAAUUUGUUAAAACCUUCAGAAGUCAACAGAUGAAUAGAUAUGAAUAUUUCUGAAUGAGAAGGGAAAAAAGAAAGUAUAUAUGUUUUAGUUCUCGGGAAAGCUAAACAAGGCCUUUCCAAGUUUCAAGUAAAGAAAUAAAAUCUGGCAGAUGAAGAAACUUUUGGAGAAUCGGAUCUUUACGAUAUCGUGUGGAUUUGACUUGUUCGUUUCAUAUGAUCCCUAAAACUUUUAAAAGAAGACAAACAAAGUCAACUUCUAUAAGAACAGCCAGGUUUUUCAAGUACAAAACAUAGCUUUGUUUAUGUAAUGUCCCAAAAGUCAACAAAUGCAUACAAUUUGAGUCUGGAGAAUGCCUAAACUAUGGUUUUUAAAACGUCUAUUGGGACAAAAGAGUAUAGGACAUAUAUGUGAAAUAAAUUAGUGAAAAAUGAAAAUAAAGAUUGGUUUGAUUGAUAAGAAAUGGCACAAUGGAAAAAUCAUUAGGUUGAAACCUCGUAAAGAACCAAAGAUGGAAAUAGAAAUUAGUCACAAAAAACACAUAAGCUAAGAUCCUGACCGUCGGUUUAAACUCGAGUAUUGGGUUCUGACAGCGGCCUUAAGAAAAAAUCAAAAGCCCACAAGAAAAAAAAAAAAAAAAAAAAAACAAAGUUAGGGUUCGAAGAGGUGUCUCUGAGUUUAAUUGAUUUGGAUGUAACUUGUCAAUGGUUUUACCAAUAGCUCCCGUUUAUCGAUGGGAAGAAGAAGUUGUUGUUUUACUGUCAUGGGCUAGGUCAAACAAUGAUGGUCUUGAAACCAAAUCAUAUUGUAUGUUGCUUUCAAUGCUUACUCCAUCGGUUUUCCUGUUUGUUACGUAUUUCCAGAGUUUAAUCUCUAUUGAUAAUAAAUCUGAUUAUUGAUCAUCAAGGCUAUAUGAGGUUUUUGUGUGUGAUGUAAAUUGUUUCUUAAGGCACUUAUAAAGCAGAUAAUGUCUCAAGUUUGCUUCCAUUGGUUCCUCUGUUAUCUCAUGUUUUGUUUCACGGUCUAUGUUUUCUUCAAGUCCAUGAGUGUUGCCGUUGUUUGGGAAUCCUCCAUUGAUAGAAAAUCUCCCAAGGUUAAAGCUUUCUUAGAGACACUUGUUGAUGUGGCUACUACCUUGUACAAUUCAGCCUUGUCUUGUACUCGUUUUUAAACUUACAUUGGUUAAUGAAGCACAUUAAUUAAUAUUGCAUCAAAGGAACAUAACAACAGAACAGAACCAACGGUCUUAUUAAGAUGCAAAACUAAAACCCACUUACGCAUACAUAACUUUUUAUAUCAUAGUCUCAAGCCUGAACCUUGUAAUUUCUCCUCAAUGAUCAUGUCGAUUUUGGUCUCCAUCUCGGGAGUUAGAUAAUUCUUCCAAUCACCAACUUCACCUUUGCGGAAAUAGCUAUUGUUAUCCACGUUCAUCCAAGUUUUCCCGGUUUUGUUAACCUCCAAACCGCUCAGAUUACGAAGAGAGCAUAGUUCCAAGACUUUGUUAACCAAUCCACUCUCUUCUUCUUCCUUAGUGAAAGGAUAACCCAGGAACUCUGCAAGCCUCUUGACCUGGACAUAAGGCUCUGUCUUCAUUUCCUCGUACCUCAUGAAAAGGACUUGCUUAGGGUUUUCCAAGCUGCCACUCCAAUAGCUAAGAGCAUGGUCCCAAAACGGAUCGUAGAAACUAACUCCGCUACAGAAAGACUCGAACAUUGACUCGAGAAUGCUUCCAGCCACUUGUUUAUUCUGAUACUUGCACCUGAAAUACCAACGCGAUAUCAACGCGUCUUUGACGUCCCGGCACAAGUACACAACCUUGCAUGGAGAAUCCUUGAGGCCCUCUUUCAUGGUGUGCAAAGGCAUGUGAGUCGAGAAUAGACUCGGAGAAGACGUAGAGAACUUGGUUAGGUCUGGUGUUGCCGUUUUGAGAUACAUAUCGAUCUCGAAGAAGGGGACUAUGCCAUGAGGAUUGUCGGAUAGUAAAGGAUGUGUCAGAGGAUCAUCAGAAUUCUGUUUAGAUCGCUCCAAGAUUGCGAUGGCGAGUGCCUUGAGCCAAGUGGUUCCGGAUUUGGGGAAUGAAGCCAGGACUAUGUCCGAGUCUCGCGGCUGGAAGUUUGUCUGGAAAUUGAUGAGUGCUUGGAGAGUGUUGUAGUAAUACCAACAUCCUUGGUACUUGCAGAGCUUCCCUUGAGAGUCUCUUUCUCUAGGAAGUGAGGAGAUCAGAGUCUUUGUUUCUUCACUUAUGUUGUCAUCUCUCAAGUUCAUUGGAAGUUCAGCCAUUUCCUUUGUUAAUUUUGUGUUUUGUUACAAUAUGAGAACGUCGCUAUUUAAUAUGAGAACGUCGCUAUUUAAUUCUGCAGUGGUGGGUCAAGUUUUUCAUGUCGUAAUAUGGACCUGAUGAAUGUUUUAUAUUAAAGUAGCAAAGUUUUCUCUUCAAAUUAUCACACAUAUAUAAAACCACCAAAAAGUAGUUUCAAACCAAGUAACAAUAUAAUUUGCCUUCUGUUUAAUUAAGUAAACGUUUUCCAAGUUAAAAAAGUAUAGGCAAACCAUAAUUCUAAUCGGUUUCUCGAUAUCCAUAUCGAAGAUCAUAAUAUUGCAGGUAAGAAUGUAACCUAAUCAUGUGUUAUUGUGUCGUCAAGUUAAAACUAGCCAAUUGAUUGAACGAAGUAGGAAGAAGCCUUAACCCUUUCUUGGUUCAAGCUGUUUGAUUCUCUUCAUAUUUUCAACUGAUAUCGAUUGUCUUAAAGCUUCAACUACCUCUCAUCACUCGUUUGCUUGUCUUUUUGUAACUCUUAUAAGUUUCGAAAACUCUUUGAGGCCUCUCUGUAAAAAUCUCAUUAUGAUAUAACAUACUAUUGGGAAUAAAACACACACUACGUACCAUAAGGGUGAAUGGGUAUGUAUGCUCAAGCCCAUUGGAUGUUAAAAUACCAACGAUUCCGCCACAUUUAAAUAAAUAUACGUAUGCACAUAAUGCACAUCCUCUCAAGACCAUCUAGACUAUAGUCCAUAAAGAUGAUCGUAAGACCACCAUUAUAGGGGGUGCAAGAUACCCUAUAAUAUUGCUCUUAUCAAUCAUAUUUUGUCUCUCCAAGUAAUACUAUCGAAGAAUAAAGCAUCAAAAGAAGACGUCUUGAAGAAUAUUUAUUUUGGAAGAUUAUAAUUUAUUGUCAGAAAUCGUAAUACUUUUAAGUUUAAGGAGUGUGUUAACAUAAUUCACAUGUACUACAAAUAAACUUAUUAAUUUAAAAUAUUGCUAUAAUUGUAUGUACUUACGUAACGUACCCAUUGAGUAUCGCUCGUGUGUGUAAAUGUUUUUCUCUAAUUGGUUAAAUUUCAUUUUUGGAUAAGAAAGAAUCCACAAACAUACAAGUUCCAUCUUGUUCCUUCUUUUGCAAACACUGGAGAGAUGUCGUCAGUGUAGAAGAAAAAAGUAAGUGAUCCAGCACCACUUGUUCAUGUACACCAUAAAUUCUUUGACUGCUAAUCUUUGAACUUGGACACCAACGGCGUUGGAUCAAUCAAUUAUGGUCAUUUUUAUGUUUGUUGGCCUGUGACGUAAUUGUCGAAACAGUUGAAAUCCAACUAGAUAAAGGAACCUACAUAUUUUGUUCUCAAAAUUUCAUGUACUAUAAAAUAAUAAUUAAGUUUUUAGUUCAUCAAUAAUAAAUGUGACCAGUGUGUGAGUAUAUAUAUAUAACUUACAUGCACACUUUGAUUGUGAAUUAGUUUGUUAUAAUAUUUGUUUGUGAAUUAGUUUGUUAUAAUAUUGGUAAGUAGCUUACAUUGUAUUAUUUUAGAACUAAUUCAGAAAUAUUUACAUAGACGAAAUAAUAUAACUUGACACUAGGAUGUUAGAUAUUACGAAAUAAUGAACCAAUAUUAUAAUGCAUGCUUUUAAAUAUUUAUUUCAUAAGCUCUUUUCUAUAUUAGCAUAGAGAGUUAUAUAUUUAUAUAUAUAGAGUCCGUUAAAAACUUCAUUUUAGGACCUUUACUUUUUUUUUGGUACCAACUGUUUAUCAUUAUAUAAAUUCUCCCACCAAAUUUGAUCAAUGGGUCACUCUUAUCUUUAUCGCCUUUUCCCUUUUGCCUUUGUGACCAUAAAAGGAUUUGAGAAUUUGCAUCAUGACACCCCCAAAAAGGUGUGAAUAUUCAUUGAUGGUAACGUGGCAUCACUAUGAACACAUAAGAACAUAUAUAAUAUUGAUAAGAGUUACAACAUUAAUAUGAAACUGAAUGAUUCGUUCAUAAUAGUUAAUCUUUACUCUAACAUUUAUAACGUGGACAUAUAUAAGUCUAUGGUAUGAGAUAUUUUGUUUUCUUGGUUUAGGUGUAAAAUUUUCCAAAUAGAUAAAAAUGCUAUUAGUUGAAGAUAUAACUUGAACAAAAACAAGUGAGAUACUAAUUCUUGGAUGAUGAAUAACUAAGAUAUGAACCGGGUUUAUACCGGUUCAGUUAACCGGUUUCUUUCAUUCUAUAAAGCUGACGCACCAUCUUUCUUCUCAAACAACAAUUUCUAAUAACCAAACACAUAUAUGUCAAAUCUUGAAACUCAAGAAACAACAAUGUCCGAGAUCGCCGGAGAUUCUCCACCAUCAGAAGAGAAAAUCAAUAAACCAAACCGCGAGAGGAAUGUCUCCGGCGAACUUGACGUCUUUGAAGCCACUCGAUAUUUCUCCGACUUCAACGAACCAACUACGAUCGAGUCCCCAAGAAUCCAAAUCCAGAAACAAAGCAUUGUUCUUGAAAACAGACAGAAGAGAGUACAUCCUGAGACAGAGGAGGAGCUCUCGAAACCUAGAGCUGUCGUCACAAAGCCGCAGAAGAAGGAGAUGACAAGUGUCGGCGCUAGGAAGCUAACAAGUUUCUUGAACUCUCUUCUUCGCUCAGCGGGUCUAAAGAAGUCAAAGUCGAAGUCAACGACGGAGGUAGAGACUCCACGAGGAGAAAGGAUGAGGAGGAAGAGCUGCGUAGUGACGGCCACACACGUCGUAGCUUCUUCUCCUAUUCCAGGUAACGGCGUGUGGCGUUUAAACGCGCGUAGGAGAAGCUUUGAUGAGAAACACGUGAAAGCUUUGAAGAAGAGUGAUGAGAAGUUGAACGUAAGGCUUUGUGAGAGUAAAGAUCGAAAUGUAGGAGAUCAUGAGACUGAUGUAAACGGUGAUUGCGACAGUGAUUCAAGUUCUGAAUCUGAUCUUUUUGAGUUAGAUUUGUUUGCUAAAUCAAACCCUUAAAUUAAGAACGGUCUCCGAAAAAUAAUCCUCUAAUGUAAAACAUUAUUAUGAAUCGUUAUUACAACUUCAUUCUAGAAUAUAUGACAUAAAAUAAAAAGUUUACACCACAUUUCUGCUAGCUCCUCGAUAGAAAACCAAAAAAAAAAAAAUGUAAUCGUGUUUUCUAUGUGAAAACACUCUCGACCACUUUUAUUUUCCACCUUAGUACAAAGUUAUAGAUUAGUCCAUUCAUAUGUUUUAGGGGUGAAUUCGUGUGGAAGCACUCGUGGGAUACUUUAUUCUGAAACUUUAGUCAGUUGGGAAUCUACUAAUAGUCAACAAAAAACACAUAGCAGAUAAGUUACAACUCUAUACUUAGCCCUAACAACUCAAUGGCACCCAACAUCUCUUUUUUUCUGAAAGACUCAAGCCCUAGCAAUCAUAUUUUCACCAUAAACCAUACAAUUUCUCUAACUCUUAAAUAAAUUUUUAGUGAAUUAAGCUGAUGGGUCACCUCCCCGAACCAUGAAUCUUCAUUCAAUCAUGUCCCAAUCCCCACUGCUAACAUUCUACAAUACGCAAUGAGUAGUCCUAACAGUUUCUUAUAUACAUGACUAAAUAUUCAUAACAGUUGUCAGAGCACGUUGUAAAAAGCACUAUAGCUUCUAAUAAUUUAAAAGCAGCUUUAGAGCAUGUUGUAAAAAAAAAGGUUGAAGAAUGAAACGUAUGGAUUUGUUCUGUCCUCGGUAAUCUUAAUUUGUGAAUGUGUAAUUUAUUUAAGGUAGAAAAAAAAGAAAAAUCUUGAUUAAGGUUUAUGCAACUUUUAGAGAUUAACCGAAAAGAACCCUUUAGAUAUCCACGAACUGUUAACUUCUAAACAAUAUUGCAUUGCUUUCUUUUUCUUUUGGUUGAUGAGUGCGUUAAAUAAUAGUAUAUGGUCCAAAAAAACAUUAUUGAAAAAUUGAGAUAUUUUUUUUACUCAUAGUAUAACAUAUAAUAAUCAGUUUGACUAAAUCAAGCAAUGAAUUUCAUGACAUAGAUGCCAUAAAUGAUUCUAUAUGUUUACGAUUUUUCCAUCGUCUUUUACUCUUUUUGGUAAUCUUUUGGUAAAUAAAUAUACUCAACAUUUAGUCAUGGACUCAUAUAUUAAAUUAAUACUGCAUCUUAAAUAAAUACCACUAUAUCCGUAAUUUUAUCCAUAAUAAAACCAACAAAUAUGCAAGAAAAUAUAUAUAAUAUAAAUGUAUUUGAUACCAACUUUAUAUCAUCAUCUGUAGUUAAAAUUUAAUUUAUAAGACUAAUUAAAAAUGUUUAUAUAUGAAUUAAUAUAUUGUUAUCAUUUACUCUAUCACAUCAGUGAUUUGAAAAUUAGUCAAAUAUGGUUUAUUUCCUUCUAAGGAUAAAUUUGACUAAGUGUGAUCAUUGUAUUUUGAUUUCCAAUUUAGAGAAAAACACAUUAGUCACUAUUUAAGAGGUUACCCAAAGAAAGAAAGAAAGAAGAAUUAUUAAACCUUAAGGAAACAUUUCACCAAAAAAAAAAUUAAACCUUAAGGAAAAGUAUUCUAAAUUUUUGACAAAGACUUCCAAAGUUGUAAUAAAUAUAUUUAAUCAGUUCUUUUGUCAAAUUUAUAGCAACGCUUUUCGCUACGAAAGUUUCAUCUAUCUUCUUGGUCAAAUCUUCAAAGUCAGUAACAAUGGCCAGUUUCAAGUUCGUCUUCGCUGUCGCAGUUUUGGUUAUGGUUCAUCCGGCAGCAAUCUCUUUUGUUUCUUCCAGUGGCUCAUUGGAGGUAAGGCAUAGCAAAUAUUUAUCUACUUUACAAUUUUCUUAAAAUAAUCUGGUUAUUUCCCCCACACCCAGAUUCAUAAUCAAUCUUGAGAUCCUAAGAUGUCAUGCAAAUUCUGAAAAAAUCUGAGAUAUUCAUCAUCAUAAUAUAAUCUAUAUCCACAUUUAAUUUAGGGAUAUAGCUAGGGAUAUUGUCAUUUAUGUUACUACAAAAUUUAAGGUUUUACUUCAAUUUAGCUCGGCGAUCAAUGCUCGUCGGAUGAAGAUUGCAAAGUUGGACUUGGUUGUUUUAAAUGCGGCAUAGAUAUUGCAACAUGCGUUAGAUCAAACAUCACUGAUCCAUUCUCCGUUGUGGUAAGUAAACACACAACUUUUGACCAAUGCUUUUUUUUUUUUCCUUCAAUAUAAAUUUACACACUACUUUUUUCUUUUUUUUUGUUGGGUAACAGAACAAUUCAAUGCCGUUUAAUAAAUAUGCAUUUUUGACGACCCACAAUUCAUAUGCCAUUGAAGGGAAGCCACUUCAUGUUGCGACCCAAGAAGAUACUAUAGUUCAACAACUCAACGUGCGUUUUUAUAAUUCAAUGUCUGUUUCUUAAUUAUUAUCAUACUUCUAUAAUGUGAAUGUUAUCUUAAUGUUUAUUUUUAUUUAGAGUGGUGUUCGAGCAUUGAUGUUAGAUACGUACGAUUACCAAGGAGAUGUAUGGUUUUGCCAUUCGUUUGACGAAAAAUGCUUUGAGCUCACCAAGUUUGUAAGUCCAAUUUCUAUAUUUCAUUAACCAAAAAAGGGAAGGCACACAAAUAUAUUUGCUUUUGAAAACAAUUGUAGCUUUAAGAUUUGUCUUUUCAUUGGAAGAGAAAAAAAUAUCGUAACAUGCAAUGUUUUGGUAUAAAUGAUUUGUUUUGUUAUUAUUAUUAUGUCACUUUAAUAGAAUCGGGCGAUAGACACAUUCAAGGAGCUAUUCGCAUUCUUGACAGCGAAUCCCUCAGAGAUUGUGACUUUGUUCUUGGAAGAUUACGUCAAAUCGCCAAACGGGUUAACCAAAGUGUUUACCGAUUCCGGUUUGAAGAAAUUUUGGUUUCCGGUUCAAAAUAUGGCUUUGGGUGGCCGAGAUUGGCCGUUGGUUAAAGACAUGGUCGCCAAUAACCACCGGUUAAUUGUCUUUACUUCAGCUGAAUCAAAGCAAGUGACCGAAGGAAUAGCUUACCAGUGGAAUUACGUGGUGGAAAACCAAUGUAAGUGUGAUGAAGAUACCAAAUAUCCGGUUUAAUUUUAUAGAGAUAACCGGUUGAUUGAUCCUAAUGUGAUAUUAUUUGUCGUCAGAUGGGGACGAUGGAGUUAAACCAGAUGAAUGUAGCAAUAGAGGAGAAUCUAAACUGUUAACCGACAAAACCAAAGCGUUGGUUUUGGUAAACCAUUUCAAGACAGUUCCGGUUAAGUUGUUGACUUGUGAGGAAAACUCUGAACAACUUCUCGAUAUGAUUAAGACAUGUUACGUGGCCGCAGGGAACCGAUGGGCCAAUUAUGUCGCCGUCAACUUUUACAAGGUAAAGGUUAUUAGUUAUAGUAUAUAUAUAUAUAUAUAUAUAUUAAUAUUAAUAUGGUUCAAAAACAUAAUGGAGUUAUGAAUUUUAAUUAUGUUUUUAUUUUUGCUUGGGUUUGAAACAGAGGAGUGAUGGAGGAGGAACAUUUCAAGCAGUUGAUAAACUAAACGGAGAGCUUCUAUGUGGACGUGAUGAUGUGCAUGCUUGUUCAUUUUAACAGUAAUUAAACAACACGCAAUAAUCUUAAGCUCCCAUUAGUUUACAGAUUAUCUCUAUUACAAAAUAUGAAAUGUUUUUGAUUUUUUUUUCAAAGUUUUUUUUUCAAAAUAUAAAAUGUUUUCACAUCUCUAUAUGUACAAUAUAAUACAUUUGAUAUUGUAUGGCCAUCUUUUUAUCAUUGGCGGAAAUUUUUAAAAAUAAAUUAAAAUAAAUGAUAUUAGCUAAAUGAAGAGAUUAGCCCCAAAAGUUUGAAACUCCAAUUUGAAAAUAUAUUUUCUGUUUUAAAGAUUUUUAAAAAAAUAAUAAAAUACGAGAAAAAUAGUUAUACUUAAAUCAAAAAUUGUAGAGCAUGACCGUUGAAUUGAAGUAAAGUGAGAUUCUUCUGGAUCGUGUCAAUACUAUUGUUAUUUAUCAUAAGCCCUCAAGUUUUCAAGAUAGGACAGGGACAAGGUCUCUACAAGACAUGUAUGAUUGGCAACUUACUCAAGUAACAAAACACAAGAAAAACUGAAUAUAAUAAGAAGCCUUGGAAAACAUGAGAAGAAAAUUAUCUUUAAAUUAAACUGCACUAAUGUUAGAUUACAAUGGUUAAAUAAAUUAAUUUGAUAGAGCAGAAAAUAAACUUUGGAAAUAAUAAACACUGUCUCCGCCAGUGGUAGGUUUAAAGACAAAAUCAUAAGAUUUGGUAUGGAGAUUAUGUAUCACCAUUGCUUGCAAGUUCUCACGACCAUGAAGUAAUAGCUUAUUCUUCUCCAGAAUUGCUAUUGGAAUGAGUGCGCAUUCGGGUUCCCCCAACCAAGAAAAGGUUUUGGUGAGAUCUAACGAACAUAUUUGCUUCCAUGUGCCUAAAGAAGAGUCAAACGACCAUAUGACUUGGGAUGACCAGUUUUUCUCCGUUACGCACAAGCGGUUAUCGAGGAUGCACAUGGUGUAGUUGUGUGGGUUAGAUACAUGGGGAAAAGGAGUUUUAGAGAUGACUUGAAAAGUUUCGGUGUGAAGAUCCAGAGAUAAUAUCUUGGUUUCUUCUUCACAGGCGGUGUACCAAUAAAGUGACCCAUCCAAAUACACGGGUUUAUGGUAAGAAAGCACCCGAAGAGGAGAAGCAGGGGAAAGGUACCUCCAAGCUUUGGUGCUAAAGUCGAAAACUUCACAAGUAGUAACAUUGUCUAGGCCAUAUUCAGAUGAAUUAUAUAACCAAACGGGUUUGUAUGUGCCCCUGACUUUGUCUUUACCAAAUCCAAGCUUAUGAUGUAGGAUAGGGAAAUCUUUUUUCAUGAACUUGUCGAGCUUGAGCUGUUGAAAGCUGGAAAGAGGUAAACUUUGUUGCCAUCUAGUUGCAGGGUUGAUUACAACACCCGGUGUGUUGACACAAUGGAGACAUACGAGGCCGUCACAACUACCAUAGCAAACUGCACUGCAACUAGUAGGGAGCUUGACCGUAGAAACUAUGGACGGACCAAAGUCAAUUCUCCUAGGAGGUUCACCUUCUUCAAGGGAGAUGAAAAGGACAUCUGGACCUCGUGAUUGCUUGCGACGGAUCAACUGUCGUUCCUGAAAACGGUUGGAUACGAUUGUGGACUUCCACUGCUUGGAUACUGACUUGAAUCUCAGCAGAGACUUCACAGGAAGUCUCUCGAGGAUGAGCUCUACAACAUCGUGUGGUAGCAAUUCCACACUAGAGCGAUGUCUUUUUAAUACAAAACUCGAGCUUGAGCGACGUCUUUUCAGCAUUGUCUCUUGCCUCUUAACUGAUCAAAAGAGAUGAUCUCGAGGGAUUUAUACGUGAGCUCGAGCUUGAAAUUGGAAAAAAGGGAAAACUUCCAAGUCAGUUUUGGUCUUUCAAAAAGGAAUAUAUAUAAUCUCCACUCUUUAUUAUCUCUAUCGAAGAUUUUAAUCGUUAUUUUUUAAAAAUAAAUAAAUCGAAACUCAAAUAUCUCAAAGCAAAAAUGAUACGGAUUUCGUCAAAUCAAAUCAAAAUUUUAAUUGUAAUCACAUUGAGUGUACCUUAGGAAAUGUUUGUAUUAAACUCUUCUUCCUCCAGCUUUUCCAAUCCCGAGGGCUCUCCCCCUCUCAUUAGAAUAAUCUGUAUUCGAUGUUGGUGCAGGAUCUUAGAGGCGGAGGAGAGAUACAGAGAUAUCUACCGGGAAACUCAGACACAUCUCUUGCAACCCUAUAUUGUCUUAUUCCUUUUUAUCAUUUGGGCUUUGCUUUGCAUUUGGGCUGAAGACCAAUAGCUAUGGCUUCACAAAAACACAAAAAAAAAUAAAAAAAAUUAGUUAUAUUUACAAAAAAUGUAGUGCUACGAAACAAUUGUAAACCUUUUUUCUUAUGAAAGAGGGAAAACAGAGGAAACAAGUAAUUAACUUGGUCGGCAAAAUAUUUUUUAGAUUUGCUUCAAUCCAAUAUUUUUUAGAUUUGCUUAACAUAGAUUUUUAGAUUCAAAUCAAAAGGAUACUGGAUUGAAGCAAAUCUAUAUAAAAAAAAAAUUGGUAUAUAAAGCAAAAUAAAUAUCUUUAAAAAUUGAAACGAACCACAAAUUCUGCAUUUUUUCUCCCCUCCGAAACCUAUAUAGAUAUUUCUAUUUUUUACAGAGUAAAUAUUGUAUAAUAAUUUUGGUAAAAUUCCUAACAAAGCAAAAAAAAAAUAUUUUAGUCAUGAAAAAAAUUCAAUUAACCCAUACAUUUUAUGAGUUAGUUUAGUAAUUAACUUCUAAAUUUGGGUUAAUCUAGUUUUUCCCUAAUUAUUAUUCCUAUAUAGAUCUUUAUUUUUGGUGAAAUAGAUUUUUUCCCUAACAAUUAUUAUCCCUAUAUGUAAAUUUUAGGAAUUUCUAGUUAUUUAAAGUACUAAAAUUUAACAAAUAAAGAAAAUAAGAAUUUUUAAUGAACCAGUGCCAAUUUUUGUGUGAAUUUUGAAUUUACUUUCUGAUUGGUUAUAAUAUUUUUUCUAAUUUUUACAGAUCAUAUAUUUGACAAAUAAUUUUAGAUUCUUUAAUACGUUUUUUUUGGUUGGGCAAACAGAUUUUAGUACGUGUCUAAACAUAUGCGGGCUUGAAGAGACAGAAGAUAUAAAUUAACGAAAAUAAUGUGCAAUCCUCUUUUUUUCAGUUUCUCUUUCGGCUUGACAAAAUGUCAAAACGAACAGAACCUCUAGUUUAAUUAAACUUCAAUCUAACCAAGUAAGACAAUCCUCCAACUUCUGAUCUUGCUUGGGAUGGGCAUGUAGCCUCUCGCUAUCUUCAUAGAGGUUGAGGGUAGAUUUUUUCUUGAAGUUGAUGACAGUUGAAUAAUAACAAGAAGCUUUCUUGGAAUUGUUUUUUUAUUUUUUUUUCUCCACAUCAACCGUUUUACCGUAAUAGACUUACUAGAUUUGGUAGUUUUGUGAAACUUGCUUGGUUAGAAAAGUAAAAAACAAAAAACCGUGGAACAUAUGUCUCGGACGCACAAUUUACCCGAAAAAGUUCCCAGUUUGCAACUCUCAGAACAAAGUCAACAUUAUAACUAAACAAAACACACAAAGCUGUACUGACCAAUACAUUAGAUUUCGUCACAAAGAUUUGGGGAAAAAAAGUCAAUAGAUUGUAGAUUCAAGGAUCUCGAAGGGCUGUAUUAUUGGGCCGAACCACCUAAAAGCCCAUUUAUAUCACAGAGAGAGAGAGAAACAAAAAAAUCGAUAUUGUUGUUGUCUUCUACUUUUUCCAAUUUCUCUGAAAAGGUUACGGAGAAAAAAGGGUUGAACAAUGGCGGCAGUUCAACAGCAGCAAGCGAUGCAGAAGAACACGUUGUAUGUAGGAGGUUUAGCUGAUGAGGUUAACGAAUCGAUACUUCACGCUGCGUUUAUACCUUUCGGUGAUAUCAAAGACGUGAAGACGCCUUUGGAUCAGGCGAAUCAGAAACAUAGAUCCUUCGGAUUCGUUACUUUUCUUGAGAGAGAAGACGCUUCUGCUGCCAUGGAUAAUAUGGAUGGAGCUGAGCUUUAUGGUCGUGUUCUCACUGUUAAUUAUGCUCUUCCUGAGAAAAUCAAAGGUGGUGAACAGGGUUGGGCUGCACAUCCACGUACGUUUCUGAUUACUCUUUCCUCUUCUCCUUUUGAUUUCUCCUUGGAUUUUGUGAAAAUUUGGAGCUAUUGGUGAUUUUGAUUUGUGUUCGUUGGGGUUUAUGAAUGAGUUUGGCAUUGGGGGACUUGUUGAAAAUUAGGUUUGCAAUUAUUGUUUUUUUGUAGAUUCUGAAAUUAGAUUUAGUAAUAUGCUCUUCGAUGUUAAGAAGUUGGUGAGCUUCAUGUCUAUGAUUGUGAUGUUAGUUUCGUUCAUGACUCCACAUGUUUUGAAAGUCUAUGAUGGUUUACUUGCUAUAUGUAAAAUUUACAACAUGAUUGAUCUGUUUGCUUCUUGAUAGUUCGUUUUUAAAAAACUAAUGAGGUAGGCAGAGAGACUUCUUUAUUUAAGUCUUGUUGUCUAACAAUUGUGACUGCUUGGUUUUGUUGCUUUUUUUUCAGUUUGGGCAGAUGCAGACACAUGGUUUGAGAGGCAGCAACAGGAAAAGGAAAUGCUGAAGAUCCAAGCUGAGAAUAAGGCUGCCAUGGAGACUGCUGAGGAACUUCACAGGAAGAAAUUAGCGCAAGACCGACAAGGGGAGAUGGAAGAAGAUACAGAUGUCAAAGACGAUCCUAUGGCUAGAGCCGAGGCUGAUGCUCUAAGCAAUGACAAUGCUUAAUGAAAGUAAGCAUUACCGGAUUCUCUAAUGCACCUUGCCCUGUAGGAUAAGAUGUGUGUUUUCGCCUGAGUGUGUCACACUAUCACCUCAUAGAGUUUUGAGGUUAGAUUGUUUCUCGCUGAACAUGUGAUUGUUAUAGUUAAUAGAUUUUGUAGUUCUGAGAAACUUGCUUCUUUAGAAAAGUAAAAAAAAAGACAACCAUUUUUCUAAACCGGAUGCUCUUCAUACAAAAAGGGUCAUCACUGAUAUAAAAGGACCAUUCUCUUUUGGAACAAAUAAGAAAAUCUAAAUCCUACUCGGAAAAUUUAAACCUGGUCAAGUUUAGACCCCGCUGGUUUAUCCAUAAACCAGAUCAGAUUCCCGUUGCUUGGGUGGACUAGCCUUGCAGGCAGGGACAAAGAGCUCUCUGAUAUGGGCAAAUCAUCGAUAGCUAAGUGGAUAGCAUUAGCUUUGGAUUCGCCUGUUGCUAUUACAACAACAUUAGCAGCUGAGUUAAUGACAGGCAAAGUGAAUGUAAUUCUCUCUGGUGGCGGUUUAGGAGAGUCAGUUAGGAAUGUGACCCAAUCGUCCUUCACCACAAGUGCAGGGUGGUUUGGGAAGAGCGAGGCUACAUGCCCAUCUGAACCCAUCCCAAGCAAGAUCAGAUCAAACUUGGGACAAUCACUGUUAUCAGACGCAGCCACCGUUCGUGUUCUCACCAUCUGCCUGAUGGCGAACUCAUACUCUGCUGCAGCUUCCUCUGCUGAAACUGUGUCGUUAAUGGAACAUAUAUGUCUUGGAAACACAUUUACCUGAAAAAAAAAGAAGUAAAGUUAGAACACUCUCAGAACAAACAAAGUCAAGAUUAUAACAAGACAAACCUCACACAAAGCUGCAUUGACCAAAACCAUGAUUGGAUUAGUUUUCUUCUCAAACAAGCGAUGAUUGGUGCAAAAAAAGUCAAUAGAUUGCAGAUUCAAGAAAAGCAGAUAACCACACGAUUCUUCCACCUAGAAGUUAUCCAAACAUCUAACCUUGGAGAGGAGAUUGUCUUUGGCGAGCUUGUAGUUGCUAUCGUCAUGACUCUUAGCUACUACGCGCUCAUCCGCCCAAAAAACAUACCAUUUCGCCCAAUCCACAAUCUUGUCGUAAGGCGGCUCGAUCAAUUUUCUGUUGAACAGUCCAUUAAGAAGAUGAAAUCAAUGAGACUGAAAAUGAAAUCUCAAAAACCUGUAAGGUAAAAUUGAAUAUAUAUAUACCCCAUCAAGCUAAUGAGAGAGCCUCCUGAUAACACAAUGCAGAAAGCACCAUGGUCUUUAAUUGAUGCUUCUGAUAUCUCAGCUAUAUAAUCUACCAAGUCAAUACUUAGUUCCUCCAAAUUCUCAUGAACCCUAAUUUCUCCUCUGUCUUUAUGAGUCCAAGUAAGUGCCAUUAUGCUUCCUCUGUUUUUCCACCUCAGUUUUUUCAGCAACUCUACAUGUAAACAAGAAUCUAAACUCUUAAGAAAAGAAAGAGAUCAGCUUUGGACUGUAAGAAGUACUAACACUCACAUUUUUAAGGAAACAGAGAUACCAUCAAAGCUCUACAUAAACAAUGAAACUAUCCAACUCAAUAAAUCAUAGUAAAAAUUCAAAUAAAUAAAUAAACCCUAAGAUGAAAAAAGAGAGGGAAGAGAGGAUUCUUACAAAGGAGUGAGAGAGAUGAUGAUAUGAGUGAAACAGGUUAAUGAUAGAUAGAUAAGAUUUGUACAAAAGCACCCAAAUGAUAAUGAUUAUAUAAUUGCACCAUCAUCAACAACAGAUAGGCCACAUCUCUAUAUACAUUCAUAUAGAUAUGCACGAUAUUAUAUAUAUUGGGUUGUGUGUGUAAACAAAGGACUUUUAUAUAAACUAAUAACGAAAAUGCCUCUUGGGAGCGAAGAAGAAUUAGCAGAGAGAUCAAGAGAUUUCAUUUUACCUUCUGGGUUACCACGUGCAUAUCGUGAUAAAAGUAAAAACACACACACAUAGAAAAACAAAAGGUUUAGUUAAAAACAAUAGGAUAAUUAAGAAAAUGGAAUUACCUGCAAAAUUUUUGAUGAAUUUUAAGGUUUUUGAGAAGAAGAAGAUUUGGUUUGGUAUUUAAAAGAAUUAAAGGGUUGAGACGAAGAUUAGUUGUGCCAUUAUAUUAUCUUCUUUUUUUUUUUUUGGAGGGUUUUUUUUCAUGGAAUAAUAAUAAGGAGAGUAGAUGUGAAUACAAUAAAUAUAAGAAAUCCAAAACAAGUAACCAAACAACUGUCAGUUCCAUAAAAAAGACAAAUGGACCAAUCUCUUCUUAUGUCUUGUCCAAAAGCAAAGUAAUUGUGUGGAUAACUUCGUUUUUUCUUCUUUCUUUUUCUCUAUAAUUUUCAGACUUUAAGAGUUGCUUACUGAUAGUAAUUAUCUCGCUUAUCAAGUUUAGUUAAUUCGUCAAGACUCAAGACUACUACUAGCCUACUAAAGUUGAUAAAGAGAAGUAUUAUUUUUAUACGUAAGCUAAUGAUAAAAACGAAAUUACGGGCAUAUCGAAAGCUCCACAAAAAUUGAUAUAUGAACACUAACCUUAUCAGCUGCCCCACUUUUCAGGAAUCUUAGGCACACCACCAUAAUAGAUUGAUGUGAAUGUGGUUGAUAAGGGUAAAUGGGUAACUAUCUUUUCCGGUGAGGAUUGGAUUUUACACCAUUUUAGGAAUUGAAAUCACACGAAGGACCCAAAAAGCACUAGUAAUGUUUAGGUCACCCAUGUAUCCUUUGUUUUUUUUUACACUAUUCCAUUUUCUGUUUGGUGAAAACAAACAAGAGAACACACAUGUUAAUGCUUAAAUAGUUUAAUUAUAUAUAUUAUGCUAUCUUUUUCUUUUGUUUUUGUUAACACCAAUGACAUAUUUUAAGUAAUACAUAAAAUUUUGGUGGAAAAGUAAAGUAGUUAAUCGAGAUCACUAUACUUCUUAAACUACAAUAUCUUCAAUUUUAAAAUUUUCUUUUCUAUCAUGUCAGUUUGUGAUUACGAACCUCAAUCACUUCUUAUGUUGACAAUAAUAAGCCAUAUUUAUCAAAGUUAAACUUUACAUAAUAAUAAUUAAUCAUAUCUAAUGAACCACUAAAAUGAAUAGUUCGUGAUCGUUACGUAUGAACUACAUCAAGAGGACCAGUAAAGCUUUAUUAAUUAUAUGCUAGCAUAAAUGUAAUGUUUUACUAUUCUUUCUUUUUCUUUUCGAAGUGAUAAAGGAUUGAAUAUUAACGGGUAAGCCACUCUGCUACUUACAUUAUCUAGAAAUUUUGAGGAAGAAUUAAUGCAACGAUCCUAGUUUUGUCUUAUAUUUAUAUUCAUCAAUGUAUGACAUCCGUAUUCGUUCAUUCUGAAAGAGGAGAAACCAACCCAAUAAAAUGUGUGUACAUAUGGUUUGGAACAAAUGUGAAAGAGCCACUCAAUAUUGAGAUAGCGAGAUGGAGACUAGUACCAGCAAGAUCAUAUCUUUUGGGAAAAAUACACACUCUUCUUGUCACCAUCACGUCGUGAUAACACACCUAAAUGAAUCAUGCUGUGUCACUCACCGAUGGGUUUAAGUGUUUAACCAAUUAUAUUCCUAGAGACAUAACUGCAUAACUAAAAUUAUUGAAGAUGAAUCAUAUAACUUUGUUUUUAGUAUUAUACUAAUUAAACAAGGAAAAAUAUAACAAUUUUUUUUUAUAUAUAAAGAAAACAAUAUAGGAAACAGGAAAAAGAAAGUACAAUGAUUGUAAAAAUAUGGUUAGAAAAUUGGUAGCACAUGGAAACAACACCGCAUUGCUUCCCUGACAUGUUAAAGAGACCAGACAAACUCCCAAGUUGUGGGACACAUGACUUCCCCUUCUUACAUUAGAGCUUUCCAUUUUGAAUUGAAAAAAGAAAAAAAAACUGUAAUGAUUAUCUUUCAGAUAAUAAGUAAAUACUAUCAGAUUCAUGACGCAACAUGAUAUGUAAACGAAAGUAUAUGGUAACAUAUGGAUCCAAAAGUAUAUUUGAUUGUGAUGAUGUAUGGUUUUUUUGGCAAAGACUUAAAAGUUAUUGUCAGAUCAAAAUCAUAUGAACACCGAUUAUGAAUUCAUGAUGAAUACAUAAGAAAUAAUUAUAAAACCAUCUUAAAUAACCACUCAUUCCGUAUCUGGAUUUUUAAUGAUCCACACCUAAACCAUUAAGGUCAUGAUAGUGAUCUUAAUAGCAUGACCUUAAUAGCUAUCCAACAUAUAUAUAUAUUAUAUACGUUUAGUAAUACUAGGAUUCUUGGUUAUAGCAGCUGAAAAUAUAGGGCUAUUUGUUUUAGAAAAGUUUAUAAAUUUCAUUUUGGUAGAUCAAUCAUAGUCUUAGUGGGCUCUAGACACAUUAAUUGAGGCCUAUCACAAGUUUAAGACCAGAAAUUACUUAUAAUUUUUCUUUUCAUUCCGUAUGUAUGUUGGUGAUUGCGCCGCAAUGAAAGUUAUUAAAGGAAAAAUAAAACAUUGUCUUAUGUAGUGUGUCGUCGUUACUCGUUACGAAGGUUGUUGUAGUUCAAGUCAUCACAAAGCUUAGGCUGGAAUAUUAAUUACUUAGAUCCAUGCAAGGUGCUAGGACCUCGAUUAGUUUAUUUAUCGGCUAUGUGGCUGCAUAUGGAUUGUCUCUUAUUGAAGGCCUUGAUUUUCAUAAGAGAGCCCAUUAACAUCUUAACAAAUUUUAUUCUGUUAUAUAUCGUACAAUUUUUAUAUUUAAUGAUAUUUGGAAAAUGACGACUUCCCAAUUUUUUCUUGCAAAAUAAAAAGUUGUCUUUUUAGGUUCUUCCGUAUCACUUUUUCAUUUCAACUCUUCAUCGAAUUUUUGCAAGGGCAAUUUGAGAAAUUGUAACAUUUUAGGGUAAAAACAAUGAAAUAAAAUAUAACUUUGAAACCUCUUAGAGUAAAAAUAACACUCAUGUACACUAGCAACUGUACUCAUCAUUUUAUUUUAUUUUAAAUUUUUUAAAGUUUAACUACUUAAAUAUAACUUUUUUGUUGUACUCUAUGGAACUAGAGGCGAAUCUAAUGAGAAGUAAUCCAAAUCUAUUUCGAGAAUACAGUAAGUUUGUAAGAUAAACAAGGCUUAAAUAAUUAUAGAUUUCUAAUUACGUACUUAGCCAUAUAUAUAUACUGUAUACAACUUAUAUACUUAUUCUUGAGAGUGCUAUUGAGUAAUGAGUGGCGCAGAAAAAUACAUAGCCUUUUUGGGCUUUGAAGUAUUAAAAAUUUGGUAAUCAUCGAUUGUUAUAAGUUGCAAGUGAAUAUCUGGCUUUAACAAAAGCAUAUAAAUUCGGCUUUUAAAAAAGAAUCGUAAUCAUUAAUUGAGCCACUUGAAAGAUCAUCAAAGCAAAAAUAAAAUAAAGAUUAAUGAUCUAAUUAGUGUCUACAACCCUAAGACAAAGGAUCCAAUUCUUUUGUCCAAUGAGAGGCAGAGAUUAUCCAAGAGAGCUCUUAAGUAUACAAUCUUAUAUUAUGAUAGUUGUUGGAAUGAAUGCAGAUUUCAAAAAUAGACUAGUCAUAGUUGAAUAGUCUUAAUUUAAACAUUGGACAAAAAAAAACAUCUAUCAAAUACUAGAUGCUCGUACAUAGGGUGAUUUUUUUUAUAGGCAGAUUCUCCUAAAUAAUUUAGAAUGCUUUUAAGUGAUAAUAUAAAUUACAUGCUCUCUUGAGAAAGUUAAAUAAUGCUAUUAAAACAAACAAUCCAAAAAAGUAAUCUAAACAUAACAAACAAAGUAAGUACUGUGGUAGUAAUUAAUGGAAUGAAAAUGGAGACUAUAACUUACAUGAUUAUAUACAUAUAACAACAAUCAAUUUAACUGUACAAUUUGUCUAAAACUUUUCCUUUGCAUAUGUGUUUUGCGGUCAUAACUAAGCAUCAUGUUUCAAAUAUAUAUUUUCUAUAGAUAUAUACCUAAAUAUUGAUCAAGCAUCUAUCUGACGAUUGUAAGACCUUAUAUAUAAUAUAUUAGCUAAUUACCUAGUGAAUCUUAUAAGAAAGCAUACAUUUUUUUGUGACCACAUAAUUAAUUUUCAUUUUAUUUAUUCAUAUUUCUCACAUUGAUCCUUUGGUUCUAAUGUGCUUGUGAUGGAUCAAUCAUAUCUAUAAUGAAAGAGAUAUCAAGAAUCGAUGUAGGGGAAUAUGGAAAAUUUAAAGAAUGAAAGAGAUGUGAGAAAGCAACUUGCACUUAUUUUUGGCCUAAUGAAAAGUUUUAUUUGUUGGAUACUUAAAUCCCUAAAAUGUGUAUUCAUAUCGUUUUGUCGUGUGAUAAGUUUAUCACCUUCGAUAAGAAUGUUUGUUUAUAUGUUCGAUAUCAGCCGUUGAUUAUACAUGUGAUCGUAACGCUAGUCUGAGAGAGCAGAAACAUAAUUUUAUUAUCGAAUUGAAAUAUAGGACCGCUAAAACUAUAUAUACCCAAACAUGUUGAACUAAUUAUGUAACACUUUUAUUUAUCAUAAAAAGGCAAACAUCUUUUUCUUUUGCCAAAAGCAUAUAAACCCUAGCUACCCUUAAGGCUACUUAAUCGUUUAAUGAACGCUAAGAAAUACUCAAAAAUUUUCAAUCUUGUAAUGAUUUAAAAGAUAUACGAACACGUCACUCCUAAUAUUCCAAUUCAGUUGUUUUAGAUCAUCUAUCUCAAAUUUAUUUUGUCUAGAUUCUAAAUAUCAUAGUUGUAUAUAUUAUCUAAUGUUAUUAUGCGGCUGAACCACCGAACAAAUACAAUUGAAAAAAUAGUAAUAGACGAAUUACCAAAUACAUGAACGUAUUAAAAUGUGUUUUAACUAAACAUAAAACACAUUCAUAUUAAACAAACAGAAAACACAUUUCUCUUAUGAGCAUAAUAGUUGUUGGUUUGGGUUAUAAAAUGAGCAUUGUAGUAAAUGUACACGUAUCAAUGUGUAUGAAACGAAAGAGAGAAAUACAGCUAAUAUAUAUAUACAUGAUCCUUCUAUUUUUCUUGACGAGCUUUUUCCCAUAUUCUUAUUCUACGAUGUAUAAUUAAAUUAGGAGUGCACUAGAGUUGUUGUUAAUUAACUACUGAAUUGUACUUUUUGAUGAAUAAUUUUUUUUUGGGUGUAAAAGGAAAAAUGAAUAGUUAAUCACCGAUGGAUAGAUUCAUAAACAAAAAAGAGGAACGUCGAGGAUACGAUCUUUUUUUUUUGCUAAAUGUCGAGGAUACGAUCUUGUAACAUAUAUUAGUGCAAAUGACGCAUAAGUUCUAUCUAAUCCAUAAUUGCCUAUACACAUAAUGUUAAUAAAAUUGAUGUAAGCUUUUUAAGGGUGUUGAGUUCCUAUCGGACAAACUAUAUUCUUCCAAAAAACAAAAGAGAGGAAUAUAUAUUGAAUUAUGAUUCUUGUUCUUGACUCCUUUCUCUCUACGUCAUUUUCAAGCACAUUUUCAAUUUAAUAUUCAUCUUUUUAUUAAUAUGUGGUUUAUAAUCUGACAAUUCACCAAAAAUAUGUUUUCUCAUAAAGAAAAAAUGUUGAAGCGAUCUUUUUUGUGUGCAUAGUAUUAUACAUAUCUGAAUAUUAAAUGGUGUUUUAUAAGAUAUAAUUUCCCACAUUUUAGAUUGGAAAACUUGAUCAUGUCGUAAUGAUGGAUCAGCAUGUGUAACAAGAGAAGAUAGUUGAUUCAAAAAUAGGGUGUAGUAUUAUAAAUUUAGAAUAGGUCGUCUAGUGGUUAUUGCCCGAUGAUUUACUCACAUGUUAGAUAUAUGAAUCACGUUGAUCAACAUGCUAACAUAUCAAGUGAUUUUUUUCCAUCUAUGAUCAUAUCAUUACUCGGUUUCCUUUGAUUUCUAGCAACUCAGCUUUUUAAUCCAAUUCAUGAAACUUUAGUACUUGAAGAAAAGUAAAAUGAAAACAUAGAUAUUUUGGAAAGAGGAGAGUUGUUCAUUGCAUAUACUUAGCUAAUCAAUUUAUAGAUAUGAAAACAUUGAAAAGCAAACCGAGGUGAUACGACAACAUGAAGCAACACAAAGCAUAAUAGAAAAACCCACACCAAAACCCUACAAAGUUCGACCAACGUGCCAAAACCCUAACUUCCUUCCCACCAUAAUUAUUAAUUAGUGCUAACAAGUUCCUGAAACCGGUACAACAUCAAACGAAACCAACAUUCCUUGGAACAGCCUUGCACUUCAGUGGCUGCUUCAUCUCCAUAGACAGCUUGAGAACCUCUGCGAGCUCAACAUCGCCAGAACCCCUAACCCAUUCGAAAUUCUGUAUCAACUGACCGAUCCAAAGAUGAACAGUGGCUAGACCCAUUGCUUUACCAGGGCAAACGCGACGUCCAGACCCGAACGGAGCCAAUCUAAGAUCAGAGCCCAUGAUGCUCACAUCCUCACCACCAAUGAACCUGUCAGGAUUAAACUCUUCAGGGUCGGUCCAGAUUUUGGCGUCGUGUGUGAUGGACCACAUGUUGACCAUAGCUAUGGUUCCUGCAGGGACAAAGUUGGGACCUACGUGAACAUCGUGGAUAGCGAGACGGGCCCAUGAGAGGAGUGGACCAGGUGGAUGGAUCCUUAGGGUUUCUUUGACAAUAGCUUGGAGGUACGGCAGUUUUGGGAUGUCGGAAUCAGACAAGGAUCUUGUGUUGUUACUUGUAGCGGAAGCUAUCUCUUUGUAAAGCUUAUCUUGGAUGUCUUGAUGCAAAACCAUUCUUGCAAGUACCCAUUCCACUAGAAUGGCAACUGUAUCCGUCCCUCUAAAAAUCAUUUCCUAAAAAUAAAAUCAAAAGAUUAAAAAAUCUUAGACACAAAAUAUUAAUGAUAACUCACAUUACAAGAUUAAAACUUUUAUCUUAAGAAAAAAAAAAAAUAGUGAAAGUAGGUUACCCAAAGAACAGCAAUCAUGUCAGAAUCAGACAGCUUUUCAUCUUUUUGCAAGCUAAGCAAGACAUCAACGAAGUCCUCUCCACUGAGAGAGUUGCUCUUCUUCACCUUGUGUUUCUCAAUUAUUCCGCCGACAAAAGUGUUGACCUCGGAGACCAAAGCUCUACACCUCUUCCUCACUCCUUGGAAGUCAAACCAACGUAGAAGCCAAAAGUGAUCGCUCCAGUUAAAUAUCCCAAGCAACUCAUAGCCUUCACUCACCAGCCUCUCUAGGAAACAUCCAUCCCCAUUAACAUCAUCAAAAUCGUAACUUUCACCAAAAACAGUCGUCAUUACAUUAUUCAAAGAACCAAAGUGAACAAUCUUUUUCACUUCAACUUCACCACAAGCGUCAGACGUAACAAGGGUCUUGAUCUUCUCCACCAUCUUCAUACCGAUACCAACUCUAACACCUUCGAAACUCGCGAUUCUCCUCGGGCUGAAAAGAUGAGUGGAAGAGAUCCUCCUAAGAUUCCUCCAAUACUCACCAUAUGGUGCGAAUCCCAUGGCACGGUGGAACAGUAGCUCGUAAGCUGACUCCUUAACCGGCCGGUCCGCAAAAGCAGAGCUGUUCAGAAUCUCUUUAGCCGUCUCUGGUUCACUAGAGAUAAUGAAACGCGAAAACCCAACCGAGAAGGCCAUCAACGGAGAGGCCUUGAAGCGUUUGGCAAGAGCGGAGAGAACACGGUGAGGAUUAGAGCCGGAGAAGACGGAAAGAGAACCAGAUGGUCCCGGAAUGGAAACAUGGUUCUUCGAUGACCAGGUCCAGGCCCAUGCGAGCCCACCUGGUGAGAGAAAGAUAGCUCCUGUGGCUAAGAAAAGAGAGAGCCAAGCAAAGGCUUCGAAGCUGAGGAGGUUGAAACUGUUAAAGAACAGAACGUAAGCGUCCGGAGACAUCUCAGGCUGAGUUAUGGAACAAGAGAGAGUGUUAAGAGUGUGAUGAGAGAGAAGUGUUUUAAGAGUUUAUGAAGAAGGUAUGAAGUGUUGUUGCAUGGGAAGAGAGUUUAAAUAGAUGUGAUUUACUAGUUGUGUCAUUGAUAUUUUUAACUAAUUAAUAGGUUCUAAAUAAAAUUAAUAGUAAAUUAAAGGUUUUAAAAUUGUAUUUGCAUUGAAGGUAACGGGCAAGUCAAUGGCUUUUAGCUUAAUGGUGGAGCGAAUUUUGAUGUAGCUGUUUCUUUUUUUUGUUAUUUACUAAACUUUUUGAAAAUCGCCACAUUUAUAUUCAGUAUAAUAAAAUAAAUUAUUAGUACUAUAUUUUUAAGCUAAUUUUUGGUAUUCGUUUGAAAGUAAGAAAAUGAAUUUAUUUUUUCUAAGGGUUUUCGAAAAUAUAUAUAUAUAUAUAUAUAUAUAUAUAUAUAUAUCAGACAGAGUAUAGUGUGAUUCAUAUGGUUUGUGCGGAGAUUUGAAAGCCAAAAAAUUGGUAUGUUUUUACACAAUAAUUGGCAAAUUGUAGUUGUGUCAUGCAUAAAAUAUUGCAACGAAGUCAAGAUAUUUUCCUAUCACGUAUAAACACUGUGUUUUUUUUUUUUUUGGUUAUGUUGGAAAUACUUCACACUUGGAUAAACUUUUAUUACUAGAACUAGUAAUCUAUUAUAGCUAGCACUUAGCAGUAACAUUUAACAUCAGUGGAUAAUAUCAACCUCCCAUUAAAGCAGCUAUUCUAGAGUACUGUAUAAUAUAAUAAUCAGAAAAGUUUAAGAUUCACCGGCUCUCCUGACACAAAUUAAAACUAAAUGGGUGGAGUUAAUUAACCAAUAUUUCAUUGUUAGUGUUUAAAAAAAAAAAAAAAGGAGAAACUAUGCUAAAGAAGAAUCCGAUAUCAGAAUCGCACACAGCCGUCUUUGCCACUAUUACCAAAGCUAUUAAUUGUACGGAUUUAUUCAUAUUUUAGUCUGGCUUACUAAUUUUUUUAUAUAUAUAAUUUUUGAAACUUUUUGGUGGUGAGGACGAUUUAUUCACAAGUCUUCUUUCACUUUUCUUUUGGUUUAGAAUUAAAUCAAAUUAUUCUCGCUAAUUCGUAUUCACUAUUCCAUUCAAACUUGUUAUAUGAUUUUUUUUCCAACACCUACUAAAAAAGUGGGAGAACAGAAUUGUAACUUGUGUAUUACUGCACUCAUAUAAAUAUGUGUGUAAUAUAGAACAGAACUGGUAGUAAUGCUUCUUUGUUAGACUCAUAAAUAUGUUAGUGCAAUAAUAACAGAACUGGUAGUUGUAGUAAUGCUUUUUUUAGCUUUCUGUAACUUACUUUACACUCCUAAUAAAUACACAGUGAGUUUAAGAGAUCAAACGGUGCAGUUAAUACACAUCUGCAGCGUGCUCACAUGACGAACAGAACCAAACAAAAGAAGAAAAGAAAAGGUUCUGAUCGUUAUGGCUAAGCAUUGGAGCAUCUCAAAUGUUCGAGGCUUUCUUUCUUUUCUUUUUUUUUUUUUAAAUUUUCACGAUUCGGCUUUAUUGAGAAACCAGAAAAGAUAAGAACCGAGUUAAGAUUACAAGACACGUGGAAGGAGUCAAAUCAAUAGUAAAGUCAAUAUCAGUAUCAUAAUUGAAGAAGAAGAUCUUUGCCGUGUGAUCUUUAACUUGAAGAACCCUCCCGUGGCCA
RNAcentral lists this long non-coding RNA (111763 nucleotides) under Capsella rubella. Its description in RNAcentral is "long non-coding RNA (CRUB_LNC004640)". The record is from RNAcentral. Lineage: Eukaryota; Viridiplantae; Streptophyta; Magnoliopsida; Brassicales; Brassicaceae.